AUGUCCGGUCCGAUUGCUCGUGUUAGCUUCUCCGACAUGCCACUUCUUGCUUCCCUUGACUUUUCCACAAACUCCCUGACUGGGUGGCUCCCGACUAGCCUCGCCGGCUGUGGUGAGCUCAAGUCGCUCAACCUUGCCAACAAUAUAUUGGUCGGCACCAUCCCGUCGUGGAUUGGUGAGUUUGACAACCUUUGGUACUUGAAUCUCUCAAAUAAUUCAUUUGUUGGCGAGGUACCCAAGAGUUUGUUACGGCUCACUGGCCUCGCCGCCACGGGUCGUUCAUUGGGUAUGGUUUUCACUAACAUGCCCUCUUUCGUAAAUUACGAAAGAAGAGCACUCGAUGAACAACCAAAUACCAUAACUGGGACCAACAACACAGUGAGAUCUGGGCGCAACAACACCAUGUCUGAAAACGACAACAUUGUCAUGUCCGGAGACAGCAACACUGUGUCCGGGAGCUUCAACACCCUUGUAUGUGGGGACAACAAUGUUCUAACUGGUGAUCACCAUGUCGUAUCUAGGAGCAACCAUAUUGUAACUAACAGCUACAAUAAAGUAUCUGGGUGCACCAAUAAUGUAUCCGGCAGCCACCAUACCGUAUCCGGUAGCAACAAUGCCGUAUCUGGGAGCAACAAUACGGUAUCUGGGAGCAAUCAUGUCGUAUCCGGGAGCAACAAAAUCGUAACUGACGAUUAAUGAUCUGUCAGUGGAUUGAUUCCAUCCUCGAGAACGAGAUCCCGGAGCACAUCAGAGACUCGUGAGAAGAAGUUCUUCACCCAGAACCGAAAACCUAGGUACAUGGACCCCCAUAUCUUGUUCCAAGCUGGGAGGGCACCAUAAAGACCUUUUGUAUCUUUUACUGUUUUUAGCAUAUUUAAAUUUCCGCAACUAUAUACAUCCGUAUAUAGUCCAUGCGGAAAUUUCUAAAAGGGCUUAUAUUUAGAAACGGAGGAAGUUGUAUGUAUUUCCGUGCUUGCAAUAUUAGUGUUAACUUCCAGCCUACAAUGAGAAUUAUAUCAAAUGAUGCACUCGUCGUUUUUUGAUGAAUGUCUUUGUUACAGCUUCUGGUUAUUGUUAUUAGAUGUGUGACUCCUGUUGAAUGAUCCCUUACUUGAUAGUUUCGAAUUGGCCGCUAUUCAACACCAUUAGUGCUAAUUGUCAACAACAGCUUAUUCUUUGCCGAUAGAUACAAAUUGUGAGGUGGGGAAGUGGGUACAGACCGAAGUUGGGUAGGAAGCUGUUGUUGCUAGGUUACGACGAGGCUGUGGCAGUGCAUUGUUCAUAUACAGAUGGGUUGGACGUUAGCAUGUACCCACUUGCAUGAGCUGCACUUGACCUGACUUGGACAGGUUUUGGGAGAGAUGGAUUGCAGCACCCGAGCUCCACUGCUCUCUAUAUUUAAACAUUUUAAAAUUUGUAUUUUUGAAAUUUCAAAAAAAAUGUGAAUUUUUCGCAGGGAUACAUAUACACAUUCCGAAUACAGAAAAAAAAAUUCAGCUUCCGAAUACAAUUUUUUUGCAGGGAUACAUAUACACAUUCCGAAUACAAAUUUUUCGCAAGUUCCUGUAGAAAUCUCGUUUUGUUUUGGGCUACAGAAAAAGAUAAUUUCUGACACUAUAUAGGAGAAAAGGUGUGCCAUUUUCUGUCAGAAAUUUAUCUUUUUUGUAUUUCCCAAAAUAAAAAGUAUUUCUUUUUCAGCUUUUUACCAGGCCUUAGGAAUGUGUGUAUCUAUUCACGUAUUUGAUAUAAGAUUCUUUAAGCAACGAAACUGUGUUUUUCAAAAAUUUCAAAUACCAGGAGCCCUGGAGCCCGGUAGUUGCAGGCACUUUUUGAGGCUUGGGAAGGUCUCUCUCUGUCUCUCUCUCUCUCACACGCACGCACGCACGCGCACGCACGCGCACACGCGCACACGCGCACACAUGUAGUCAUAGGUGUGGCGAUGCAUGGCUUUGACUGGCUGCAGUGAAUUGUUGGUUUUGUUUUGUCCUUUUUCUUCUUCCUCCUCCUUAUUUUCAUCCUCUUGUUCCACGUACAUGCAUGCUCCUCCUCCUCGUGCAUUAUCUCUUUGUCUGUGACAUGCAUCCAUGUAUGGAUUUUUUUUCUCCUACGGUAAAAUUUCUCCCAUGAGGGCAAUUCUCGUUGUUUUUAUUCCUUUCCUUCACUUGCAUGAGCCCCCUGCCGGAUAUACAUCAAUACAUGCAUGCAGCACUUGCAUUAGCAGCCCUACGCGUUUGAGACGUGCUCUGUAAGAAAGUAAGCUGUUUUUGGGCUAGCUACAGUCAUUUCACGCUGUUUUUGUCGGUAAGUAAUUUUCCAGCUUGAAAAAGGUAUUUGGUCUGAAAAACCUGGAAACUUGCAUGAAAUAAAAAUACAAACUUGCAUCGAAAACUACAGAUUGUACAAAAAUAGGCUGGAAUCAUCGUAAUAGUUGGAGUUGCAAGAACUCAUCUACAAUACGAAACUAUCAAUCAACCAUGCAUACAAAAAGCGCAGAUGGUUUUUUUUACCUUUGUUGAUAUUUCAUCGAACACCUAGUGUGCGAGGAGGAGAAAUCCGUCCGGCGAGCCAUCAGUGGCUUGCGGCUGUCGGGAGGGGGUGGACAACGGCUACUGGAAGUGCUCCCUCGACAUGCAUACGGCGGUUAUGCAUCCGGAACUCGGAGACGUAGCCGUUGUCGCCUAAAUUAAAUGCCGCCGACUCUCUGCUCGGCCGUGGCGGUGGGGCGACCGCUGUGGAGCUCCGGCGGCCGCUAGGCCAUAAUGUAGGGGCACAACUGACUGGCCAUGGCGACUACAAUGGUGAAUCGAUGUGGCGGCCACGACGCGGGCGCAGGCCAAAUCGGGGCGGGCGGAGGAGCUCCGUUGUGCAAGGCGAUCAGCGGUGCGUCUUUCUUUUGGCUUAUUUGUGCUGCGGCCAAGCGAGCUCGAUGUAUCGGGUAUUUGCUUUAUAAUAUAAAGUAGGGGACCCUUUAUCGUAUAAGCAGUGCGUCUGAUGUGCGGAGCAUGCGAAGCCACGAGACUCAGCGUACAUAUGUACGCUGUGACACCAAAAUGCAAUAACAAAUGAUACAAAGCCUCAUUAUUAACUGCAUAUUUUCUAAUCAUUCUAAUCUUCAAGCGCAUUGCAUCCAUCUUGAUCUUGUGAUCAUCGACGACAUCAGCAACAAACAACUCCAGUUUCAUCUUCUCUUCUUCAAUUCUUUUCAAUUUUUUUUCAAAUACUCAUUUUCUUUUUCAACUAAAUUUAACUUCUCAACAAGAGGGUCGGUUGCAAUUUCCGCUUCACAUACCUCCUAAAUAAAAAUAUCUAUGUCAACUUGAUGGGAAGAAUUGUCAUAAACAUGAAAUGCAACAAAUAGUUAUCAAAGAGAAUAUACCACAUCCAAAUCAUAAACCGGACAAGGGCUGACGGAUAUCAAAUCCAUGCCACUAUGUAUAAUAAACAAAGUACGUGUAAGAAAAUUAUACAAGUAACUAUCUAAAUCUCAUAGACAUGAUUUUUUUUAUAAAAAGGAUAAGAAUAAGAGGCUCACCAAGGUGGUGAUGACGACAGGACGGUACGGGCGAUGGACGGUGGUUAGGACGGGGACGGGAUGGCACUAAGUAAACCACACCUACAUAUGCAAAUUAAGAAGUUAAUUUGAGCUCAAAUUGCAUAUAAAUCAAAUAAACUACCACAUAUAAUUACUCCCAAACUAAAACCCAAAAAUCACUAUACUUAUAGAGCAUUGCAAGAGCUAAUCUAGAAAUGAGAGAUGAAAGAACAAAGUUGCUGACGGUGUCCUGGACUAGGGGUACUCAUCACAUCGUCUCGCGACCAGGUGGAUCUGGCCGAGGACCCCUGUUGGGGAUAUGAUUACUGAGUUAAACCGCCCAGGAAGGGGCCGGAUUAACUCACAAGGAGUCCUGUGCAAGAGCCCAUGAAGAUGAAGGCUAUGGCGCUUUAACCAUGAAGACAUAGAGGCCCAGAGCCCGAUGGCGGAUUAGGGCCCAUAAUGGUAAACCGCCAUAGAUGUGUAACUUGUGUUGUAAGUCAGGGAAAGGAGAAACCGAGUCGGACACUUGUAUGAGCCGAACUCGGGAUCUUGUAAACCGGCCGGGCGUCAACCUGUGUAUAUAAAGGGACGACCCGGCGGCGGUUCAGGGACAAGAAACAACAACUCGAAAGCCAGACAUAUCGUGUUUGCCCCCUGGUAAUCGAGACCACAUCAAAAACACCCCAACUGGAUCGUAGGCUUUUACCUUCACCGCAAGGGGCCGAACCAGGACAAACUCCCUGUGUCCUUUGUCCGGUUUAACCCUUCUAAGCUAACCCGUUGCGAUGGCUCCACGACUAAGUCCUUUCACUAGGACAUCUGACGUGAUAAUUCCACGACAGUUAGCGCCCACCGUGGGGCGAUCGCACGAUGGUUUCAAGUUCUUAGAGGGCAAGUUCGAAGGGCUCAAGGGAUACGCAGUGGUCCGGAUGACUAAGAGUCGUCGCGGCAAGCUCUACAUCAAUGACACAAGCUGGGGCCCCGACGCCGGCUCAGUCGAGUACGGAUACCGGGUCCCCUUCGGAGGAAUUCACGUCUUCAUCGGCAAGAUCGGCGAACCGGGCCCUGAGUCGGACAUCUGCACCGACCACGUCGAGAUGGCUCAGCGUGCGAGCCCUACCCGGGGUCAGCCCGCCAUGAAGCAUGCGUUCGUAGGAUGUAUCCAUAGGAUCGAAUCUGAACCGGUGUCCGAUGGUGAGACGGCCGUUUACUCCGAUGGUGAGUCAUCUACCGGUGAGACUGAGUCUUUGUAUCAAGUUCAGGAUGGCCUGUUUGGGGGGUAUUCCGAUGGCAGCAAUAUUCCGGACCCCUUUGAACCGCCAAACCGGGUUGCAAUCUUCAUGGCUGGCACGCAACUCGUCCGACAAUCUUCAACAGCAGCGGCGAUAAUCUCCGGAUCAACAGCUGGGGCAGGUGGCCCUGGGCGCCCGUCGGUUCAAGUCUUGUCUGGAUUAUUGGACGCUUUGGCAACAUUAUUGACUGCUGAAGUUAGUACGGAAAAUCGGGAGGAGCAUAAUACGGAAGUCAGAAAGUUGCGAGAGCAGAUAGCUCAGGCUAAUUAAGGAGGACAUGGCUGCUGAGGAGACCAGGAUGGUCGAGGAACGAAUCGCUUUAAAUGCUAAGGCACAGCGAGUUCAUGCAGAGGCUUACCGGCUUAUGUUGCAUCAGAACGCUUCAAACGAAGUGAUGAUGAGAAGGCACCAAUCUCGUCUGCCGUCGGUUUACGAAGGAAGAAAUCUUUUUAACACGCCAGGAGUGGGCACUAGCAACCCGCCCGUGGUGAACCCGAUUGAAGCACCAAGUACAGGAGCGCUAGAUCAGCUGGGCAUGAUGGGUCCGCCUCAGCAGAAUCAUGAUCCUCCGCAAUACGCACCAGCUCCACCGGGUCAUUUUGCCACCCCUUUGGACAACAUGAUUGCUGCAGCGUCAAGAUUGGCUGCUAUUCCAAUGGAAGGUGACUCCCUGAUACGUCUCCAACGUAUCUAUAAUUUUUGAUUGUUCCAUGCUAUAAUAUUACCUGUUUUGGAAGCUUAUGGGCUUUAUUCUACAUAUUUAUAUCAUUUUUGGGACUAACCUACUAACCGGAGGCCCAGCCGAUAUUGUUGUUUUUUUUGCCUAUUUCAGUAUUUUGAAGAAAAGAAAUAUCAAACGGAGUCCAAACGAAAUGAAACCUUCGGGAGUGUUAUUUUUGGAACAAAUCAGAUCCGGAGAGACUGGAGUGCAAGUCAAGAAAGCUCCGAGGGCCCCACGAGAUAGGAGGGCGCGACCCCCUAUAGGGCGUGCCACCUGUCUCGUGGGCCCCUCGGGCGUCCACUGAUGUACUUCUUCCUCCUAUAUAUACCUACGGACCCCGAAAACAUCCAGGGGCACCACGAAACACAAUUUCCACCACCGUAACCUUCUGUAUCCGCGAGAUCCCAUCUUGGAGCCUUCGCCGGCACUCUGCCGGAGGGGGAAUCAACAACGAAGGGCCUCUACACCAACAUCCUUGCCCCUCCUAGGAGUUGUGAGUAGUUUCCAUAGACCUACGGGUCCAUAGUUAUUAGCUAGAUGGCUUCUUCUCUCUUUUUGGAUCUCAAUACAAUGUUCUCCCCCUCUCUUGUGAAGAUCUAUUCGAUGUAAUCUCUUUUUGCGGUGUGUUUGUCAAGAUCCGAUGAAUUGUGAGUUUAUGAUCAGAUUCAUCUAUGGUUAUUAACUGAAUCUUCUCUGAAUUCUUUUAUGUAUGAUUGAGUUAUCUUUGUAAAUCUCCUCGAAUUAUCGGUUUGGUUUGGCCUACUAGAUUGAUCUUUCUUGCCAUGGGAGAAGUGCUUAGUUUUGGGUUCAAUCUUGCGGUGUUCUUACCCAGUGAUAGAAAGGGUUGCAAGACACGUAUUGUAUUGUUGCCAUCGAGGAUAACAAGAUGGGGUUUAUAUCAUAUUGCAUGAGUUUAUCCCUCUACAUCAUAUCAUCUUGCUUAAUGCGUUACUCCGUUCUUAUGAACUUAAUACUCUAGAUGCAUGCUGGAUAGCGGUCGAUGUGUGGAGUAAUAGUAGUAGAUGCAGGCAGGAGUCGAUCUACUUGUUUUGGAUGUGAUGCCUAUAUACAUGAUCAUGCCUAGAUAACGUCAUAAUUAUUCGCUUUUCUAUCAAUUGUUUGACAGUAAUUUGUUCACCCACCGUAAUACUUAUGCUCUCGAGAUAAGCCUCUAGUGAAACCUAUGGCCCCCGGGUCUAUCUCUUAUCAUAUUUGCUUUCAAUCUACUUUAAUUUUGCAUCUUUACUUUCUUGCAUUUAUAUUACAAAAUACCAAAAAUAUAUUUAUCUUAUCAUACUAUCUUUAUUAGAUCUCACUUCCGCAAGUGGCCGUGAAGGGAUUGACAACCCCUUUAUUGCGUUGGUUGCGAGUUCUCAGUUUGUUUGUGUAGGUGCGUGGGACUUUUGAGGAGCCUCCUACUGGAUUGAUACCUUGGUUCAUAAAACUGAGGGAAAUACUUACGCUACACUUGCUGCAUCACCCUCUCCUCUUCGGGGAAAACUAACGCUAGCUCAAGACGUAGCAAGAAGGAUUUCUGGCGCCGUUGCCGGGGAGGUCUUCGCUCAAGUCAAGACAUACCAAGUACCCAUCACAAACUCAUCUCCCUCGCAUUUACAUUAUUUGCCAUUUGCCUCUCGUUUUCCUCUCCCCCCACUUCACCCUUGCCGUUUUAUUCUCCCUCUCUUUCCCAAUCUCCUCCUCUCUUUUCCGUUUGCCGUUUUCUAUUUGCUUGUGUGUUGGAUUACUUGUUGCCAUGGCACAAGAUAAUACCAAGUUGUGUGAUUACUCGAAUACCAAUAAUAAUUAUUUCCUUAAUACUCCGAUUGCUCCUCUUAAUGAUGUUGAGUCUUGUGAAAUCAAUACUGCCUUGCUGAAUCUUGUUAUGAAAGAUCAAUUCGCCGGCCUUCCUAGUGAAGAUGCCGCUACUCAUCUAAAUAAUUUUAUUGAUUUGUGUGAUAUGCAAAAGAAGAAAGAUACGGAUAAAAAUAUUGUCAAAUUGAAGUUAUUUCUGUUUUCACUUAGAGAUCGUGCUAAAGUUUGGUUUUCGUCUUUGCCUAAAAAUAGUAUUGAUUCUUGGAACAAGUGCAAAGAUGCUUUUAUCUCUAAGUAUUUUCCUCCCACUAAGAUCAUCACUCUUAGGAAUGAUAUUAUGAAUUUUAAACAACUUGAUCAUGAGCAUGUUGCCCAAUUUUGGGAAAGAAUGAAAUUGAUGCUUCGCAAUUGCCCUACUCAUGAUUUGAAUUUAUGGAUGAUCAUACAAAAUUUUUAUGCCGGUUUGAACUUUGCUUCUAGAAAUCUCUUAGAUUCGGCCGCGGGGGGCAUGUUUAUGGAAAUUACGUUAGGAGAUGCUACAAAAUUGCUUGACAAUAUUAUGGCUAAUUAUUCUCAAUGGACACCGAAAGAUCUUCUAGUAAAAAAGUGCAUACUAUAGAAGAAAUCAAUGUUUUGAGUGGAAAGAUGGAUGAACUUAUGAAGAUGUUUGCUACUAAAAAUACUCCUCUUGAUCCCAAUGAUAUGCCUUUGUCUUCUUUGAUUGAGAAUAAUAAUGAAUCUAUGGAUGUGAAUUUUGUUGGUAGGAAUAAUUUUGGAAACAAUGCUUAUAGAGGAAAUUUUAAUGCUAGACCGUUCCCUAGUAAUACCUCUAAUAAUUAUGGAAAUUCCUACAAUAAUUCUUAUGGUAAUUUUAAUAAGAUGUCCUCUGAUUUUGAUAAUAGUGUGAAAGAAUUUAUGAUUUCUCAAAAGAAUUUUAAUGCUUUGCUUGAAGAAAAAUUGCUCAAAGUUGAUUUGGCUAGGAACGUUGAUAGACUUUCGCUUGAUGUUAAUUCUCUUAAACUUCGAUCUUCUUCUCCUAAGCAUGAUAUCAAUGAGUCUCUCAAAGUAAUGAGAAUUUCCAUUGACGAGUGCAAGGAAAGAACCGCUAGAUUGCGUGCUAAGAAAGAAAGCUUUAUAAAAGCAUGUUCUUCUAGUCUAGAUGAAAAUAAUGAUGAGGAUCUUAAAGUUAUUGAUGCGUCUCCUAUCAUAUCUGUGAUUAUGGGACUGAUGAUGAAUCAACUUUGCCUAGAAGGCGUCCCAAAAAUUCGGAGUCUUUAGAUCUUAAUUCUAAAUUUGGUAAAAGAGAGAUUGGAGAAUCCUCAACUUCUAAUAAUGUUGAACCUACUAUCUUGGAUUUCAAGGAAUUUGAUUAUGAUAAUUGCUCUUUAAAAGGUUGUAUUUCCUUGUUGCAAUCCGUUGUUAAUUCUCCUCAUGCUUAUAGUCAAAACAAAGCUUUUACCAAACAUAUUGUUGAUGCCUUGAUGCAAUCUUAUGAUGAAAAACAUAAUUUGGAAGUUUCUAUACCUAAAAACCUUAAUGAUGAGUGGGAACCUACUAUAAAGAUUAGAAUUAAAGAUUUUGAGUGUUUUGCUUUGUGUGAUUUGAGUGCUAGUGUUUCCACAAUUCCGAAAACUUUAUGUGAUAUUCUAGAUUUCCAUGAUCUUGAUGAUUGCUCGUUAAAUUUGCAUCUUGCGGAUUCCACCAUUAAAAAACCUAUGGGAAGGAUCAAUGAUGUUCUUAUUGUUGCAAAUAGAAAUUUGGUGCCCGUAGAUUUUAUCGUUCUUGAUAUAGAUUGCAAUCUUUCUUGCCCUAUUAUUCUUGGUAGACCUUUCCUUAGAACGAUUGGUGCGAUUAUUGGUAUGAAGGAAGGGAACAUUAGAUUCCAAUUUCCCUUAAAGAAAGGCAUGGAGCACUUUCCAAGAAAGAAAGUCAAAUUACCUUAUGAAUCUAUCAUGCGCGCUACUUAUGAAUCAAGUGCCAAAGAUGGCACUCGUUAGAUCUAUCCUUGCUUUUAUGCCUAGCUAGGGGCGUUAAACCAUAGCGCUAGUUGGGAGGCAACCCAAUUUUCUUUAUGUUCUUUGUUUUUGUUCCUGUUUAGUGUUAAAUUCUGUUUCUACUUUCUGUUUAGAUGUGUUUGUAUCUUUUGUUUAGUGUUUGUGCCAAGUAGAACCUAUAGGAUAAACUAUGAUGAUGGUUGAUUUGAUUCUGCCGAAAAAGAGAAACUUUGCGCUCACGAGAAAAAAUUCAAUAAAUCACAGAAAAGUGCUUUUGCAUUGAUUCUUUUUGCUGAUGAUCAAUAAACAAAUUGUACAGUAUGUCCUAUUUUGGUACGAUUUUUAGAUUUCUGAAGCAUUAGUUACAGAUUGCUACAGAUUGUUCUGUUUUUGACAGAUUCUGCUUUUCAUGUGUUGUUUGCUUAUUUCAAUGCAUCUAUGGCUAAUAAAUUAGUUUAUAAGCCAUAAGGAAGUUGGAGUACAGUAGGUUUAACAUCAAAAUAAAUAAAGAAUGAGUUCAUUACAGUACCUUAUGUGGUGGUUUUGUUUUCUUUUACUAACGGAGCUUAUAAGAUUUCCUGUGGUGUUUUGUGUUGUGAAGUUUUGAAGUUUUGGGUAAAGCUUUUAUGGACUAUGGAAUAAAGAGUGGAAAGAGCCUAAGCUUGGGGAUACUUAUGGCACCCCAAUAUAUUCAAGAAUAGCCAAAAGCCUAAGCUUGGGAUGCCCCAGGAAGGCAUCCCGUCUUUCGUCUUCGUUCAUUGGUAACUUUACUUGGAGCUAUAGUUUUAUUCGCUACAUGACAUGUGUUUUGCUUGGAGAGUCGUGUAUUAUAUUGGUCCUUGCUUGUUAGUUUACCACAAUCAUACUUGCUGUAACACACCUUUUUGGAUAAGCCUAUUUGUUUAGAACUAGAUGAUGCCCCGUGCGUUGCUGCGGGACAGGUGUAAAUACAUAUUCAUAGAAUUAGAGAUAAAAUAUAAAGAAACAUUUUCUAGGUGCCCCGCGGAUUGCCGCGGGUGCAAAAAGAAUCCCGUACAUAAGUCUCAUAUACAAAGGAAAUAUCACUGAGAAUCCACAUAAACAAAACUUACGAUAUGUGGCUCGGUGUUACAAUUUCUACUGAUCCCUAGCAUCCGUAUGAAAAAUCAGCUUGUCAAUGUGAAAGUUUUCUUUUACCUAUAAAAAAACUUUGGUUACAAACUUUGAAUCAAUACAAUUAACCACAAUAAUUAAUUUUGCCAAGGCAUGAACAGGGUAUAAAUCAAAAUCACACUGUAUAAUCUAGAAUGAUAUAUGUUGCUUUAUGUCCAAGCGAAAGAGAUAUCCACUGCUGAAAAGGCAUAUGAAAUUCAGAGACAUAUAUUAUCAAUCAAGCACUUGUGUGGGACGAAUGGAAAAAAGAAAAUCAAAAUUGCAUUAACAAUCUAAAAUGAUAUCCGAUACCUUAUGUCCAAGUAAAAGAGCAUCUUCACGAAGUCCAUAUGGGAGCACAUGGAGCUUAUAAGCCUAGACCAGAGAGUGUCGGACGUGUGUGGAGUGGAUGAGCAAAUGUUGCAGAUUACAGAGUAGGGACUGGGAAGUGACCGGAAAGGCAAAAUCUGAACGACCUACCACAUAGAGCUGAUGCGCUAGCCCCAACCGUGGAGUACCAUUGGAAGCCAAGUUUGCUGAUUGAGUCGGAUUCCUCGUCACCGACGGCAACCGCAGGGGCAUAGCAAAGACGUUCCGAAGCCUCAGCGGUUGUGCCCUUCUUCGACGAUCCGGGAUUCUGGGUAUCCCGCAACGGAACAACAGUCCAUCUUGUGUUCCCACAAUCAAAGAGACACCGGAGGCGAGGCAGGCGAGGCGAGGAAAACCGGCUGGCGUGCGGCAGGAGAUUUGAAGCAGAGCAAAUGGGGUGCACAACGACAUGUCUUCCAUGACGACGUGGGUGCUCGGCAACGGAAUCGCGUCGCGACCCACUCUCAUAGUGGCAUCAGGACAAAGGAAGAGCAUCAAUGGUGCGAGAAGAUGGUAGUAGAGACAGGUUGAUAGACGCGAAGGCCGUGGCCGUGCCGUUUAAUCUAGCCUCUUCUUUGGGUAACGGAGGGCGAAGUAAUGAGGCGCGAUCAAUGUUUCGGUUUCAUGUGCAUUUGCGCCAGGGAGAGAUUCGGCCACGAGCCCGCGACAACAGAAGAGAUAACGGCGACGAUGAUUCAUAGCGGAGAAGUUUUAUUUUUUGAGCAAAUCAUAGCGGAGAAGAUGACCUAGUGCCGUGGUUGACCCCCAUGGGCUAUACAGCCCACAUGCAUAACAUACUAACAUUGAAUCGGGCCCUGUGUUUUGAUUUUCGGCCGAAAAAAGUGGACUUCGGCCGAAUUUCGGCCAUCUCGGCCUGGGGCGAAAAGUAUAUUAGGCCAAAAUUGCUCAAAUUUGGCAAAUUUUGGUUAAAUUUAAGUCAAAUUGUAGUCAAAAUUUGGUCAAAUUUCAGCCAAAAUUUUAGAAAAUGGCCGAAAUUCGGCCAUCUCGGCCUAGGGCGAAAAAAAGCUCAAACCGAAAAUCAAAACACAGAUCGGGCCCCAUGUGCGCAAACACAACCCACAUGCAGCUCGGGCAACCCACAGUUAGUACGUGGGUUUGUAAAGCCCAAGCGAUGGAAGUCGGGGAAGGCAGCCAGAGUUAGCGCACGACAGCUGAUUGCGUUCAAGCUUGAUCGAAUGGCUAAUAAUAAUUCAGGUGACGUGGCUGCACGAGAAUCCAAGAAAAUCAGGUAGUGGGGUGCUUCUAUUUAGAUAUAGAAGAUUUGCAAGAAUACUCUAUGUGCUUCACUUAUAUCUUUUGAGCUUAAUAGUUUUUGCUCUAGUGCUUCACUUAUAUCUUUUAGAGCAUGGUGGUGGAUUAAUUUUAUAGAAAUUGCUAGUCUCUCAUGCUUCACUUAUAUUAUUUUGAGAGUCUCUUAGAAUAGCAUGAUAUUUUCUAUGGUUUUAAUUUGGUCCUAAAAUGAUGAGCAUCCAAGUUGGGUAUAAUAAAAACUAUCAUAGAAAGUGAAUUGGAUGUUAUGAUCAAUUUGAUGCUUAAUAAUUGUUUUGAGAUAUGGAGGUAGUAAUAUUAAAGUCAUGCUAGUUGGGUGAUUAUGGAUUUAGAGAAUGCUUGUGUUGAAGUUUGUGAUUUCCGUAGCAUGCACGUAUGGUGAACCGCUUUGUGAUGAAGUUGGAGCACAAUUUUAUUGAUUGUCUUCCUUAUGAGUGGCAGUCGGGGAUGAGCGAUGGUCUUUUCCUACCAAUCUAUCCCCCUAGAAGCAUGCAUGUAGUGCUUUGAUGUUUGAUGACUUCUAAAUUUUUACAACAAGUAUAUGAGUUCUUUUGAUUAAUGUUGAGUCCAUGGAUUAUACACACUCACUACUAGGGAAAAGCCUAUACACAGAAUCUUAUCAGAAGCACGCUUUAAAAUAAGGCGCUGCUGCUAAUUAGCAGUAGCAUGCUCAGGAAUAACUCGCUGCUGAAACCAAUAUAGCAGUAGCACGCCCGCUCAAAGACGCGCUACUGCUAUAAUUCCCACGAGGCCGCCACGAGGCUAGUUAUAGCAGCAACGCGUUAUAACGACAGGCGCUACUGCUACGUAGCAUAGUAGCAGCGCAUUUCUGCAAUAAGCACUACUGCUAAAUUUACUACAAAAAUUUAGCCCCGUCUCCUCUAUCCGAUCCACUCACACAGUCACACACUAGCUCACUGGAUCCCCUCUCAAUCCCCCGCGCCGGUCCACCCCCGUCGCCCCUUCUCCGUCUGCGCCGCCGUCACCUCCUCCUCCUUGCUGGACUCGGUACCGGCCUCCUCCUCCGUCCUCCCUCUCCACUCGCCGCUGGCCGGCCCCUCCUCGCUCCGCCUUCCUCCUUCGUCCUCCCUCCACUGGCCGCGCCGGCCGGCCCCUCCUCGCUCCGCCUUCCUCCUCCAUCCUACUCUCUUCUCCCUCUUCGAGUCGCCCCUCCUUCUCCCUCCUGCCUGCUACAUUUUGAUUUAGUAGCUAGGCUAGUUCAUAUGCAACAUUUUGAUUUAGUUGAUAUGAUUUAGUUGAUUUAGUAGGCUAGUUGAUUUAGUUGACUUAGAACAUUUUGAUUUAGUUGAUUUAAUAGGCUAGUUCAUUUAGUUGAUUUGGUUGACUUAGAACAUUUUGAUUUAGUUGAUUUAGUAGGCUAGUUCAUUUAAUUAGUUGAUUUAGAACAUUUUGAUUUAGUUGAUUUAGUAGGCUAGUUGAUUUAGUUGAUUUAGAACAUUUUGAUUUAGUUGAUUUAGUAGGCUAGUUGAUUUAGUUGACUUAGAACAUUUUGAUUUAGUUGAUCGUUAAUCCUUUGCUCAUAUUGCUUUAGGAAAAAUGGCGCCACCACCACCACCACUAUGUCGACUGUGCAAGUCAAGAUGCGCCAACAGCCUUGCAACUGAUCAACGUCUCCUUCCGAGCAGAAAGACCCAAGCUAGCUGUCAUUUAUCUCAACCUGGUGGAAGAUGAUGAAGAUGGCGGAGAUGAUGAAGAUGAUGAAGAUAAUGAGGACCCACUCGAUGAAGAUGAUGAGGACCCACUUCAUGAAGCCAUCAUAGCUCAAAGAACAAGGCUGAGUGAGGAGGAGGUGUCCAACCUAUGGGACAUAAUUCCGCCACGUGCUGACUUUGUCGGGGUGCCAUUCGUGACUCGCUUGACAAAUACCAUGGUUGAUCGACAUGAUAUGGUAUGUUAUACUUACAAAUGCAAAUUAUCCAAUGAAUUACUUAGUGUACAGUCCAAUGAUAUGGUAUGAUGUGUGGAAUCUAGUCGAUGAUAUGUUUUAGUGUAGAGUUCGAUCACCUGCUUAUUAGUGUAGAAUCUAACGAAACUAUUAAUAGUGUAGAUAAUCCAUAUGUACUUAUUUGCGAGGCAAUUUAUUAAUUGAUAUGUUUUUCUUAUUCAGAAAUUGGCAAAGAGCAUAUCUGUGAGUUAUGGUAUCGAGCCUGAUGAAGAAGGCUCGGCUGGACUACGCCUUACUGCAAGGGGCUCCGUCACAACCUGUACUGACCGCGUGGAUACGGACGGUCGCACACACUUAAACUCGGUUGGGUGGAAGAAAUUCCUCGAUGGCAAGAAUCUUCGUGUUGGACAGGCCAUCCUAAUUACUAUCAGGAACACCAACCGCCCAGGCUUAAGGAUGAUGAUUGUCUUCGAUAUCAUGUAGAACUACAUAUGUGUGUGUGUGGCUAUAUCAUCUAGAACUAUAUAUGUGUGUGUGGCUAUAUCAUCUAGAACUACAUAUGAUGAUCGUCGUCGAUAUCAUGUAGAACUACAUAUGAUGAUGGCCGUUGAUAUGACCUUGUACUGCUUGAGGAUGCAUGUUGACUAUGCAUGAAAUUGUUAUCUAGUACUCCCUUCGUUCCAAAUUACUCGUCGUGGUUUGAACUAAAACUACGACGAGUAAUUUGGAACGAAGGGAGUACUAUCUAGUAAUGGUUUAUGAAUUUGAUAUCUACUAGCAGUACCUAGUAUCUAGUAUCUGAAAGGGAAACUGAAAGGGAAAGGGGUAAUGGGAAAAUGAUGAAAGAUAUAGCAGUAGCGAGGGAUGGCGAAAUCGCUACAGCUAGGUAAUAGUAGCGCAUUCUUAAAAAGCGUUGCUGAUAUCGUAAACAGUAGUAGCGCGGGUAAGGGCCGCGCUACUACUAUAAGUUAGCUGUAGCGCCUUAUUAGUAGCGCGUCCACCCGCGCUGCUGCUAGCCUCAAAACCCGUGCUACUACUAGGGUUUUCCCUGGUAGUGACUCCUUUCACCAUCCAUUAUUGCUAGCCUCUCUUGUAUCGUGCAACUUUCGCCGGUACCAUACACCCACCAUAUACCUUCCUCAAAACAGCCACCAUACCUACCUAUUAUGGCAUUUCCAUAGCCAUUCCGAAAUAUAUUGCCAUGCAACUUUCCACCGUUCCGUUCAUAUGACACACAUUACUUUUGUCAUAUUGCUCUUUGCAUGAUCAUGUAGUUGACAUCGUAUUUGUGGCAAAGCCACCAUCAUAUUUUUCAUACAUGUCGCUCUUGAUUCAUUGCAUAUCCCGGUAUACCGCGGGAGGCAUUCACAUAGAGUCAUAUCUUGUUCUAGCUUUGAAUUGUAAAUCCAUAAAAGUGUGAUGAUCUUCAUUAUUAGAGCAUUGUCCCGGUGAGGAAAGGAUAAUGAAGACUAUGAUUCCCCCACAAGUCGGGAUGAGACUUCGGACUUUACAAAAAAAAGAAAGGCCAAAAAAAGGCCAAAGAAAAAAAUGAAAGAAAAAAAAGAAUGAGAGAAAAAGAGAGAAAGGACAAUGCUACUAUCUCUUUUUCCACACUUGUGCUUCAAAAUAGCACCAUGAUCUUCAUGAUAGAGAUUCUCAUAUGUUGUCACUUUCAUUUACUAGUGGGAAUUUUUCAUUAUAGAACUUGGCUUGUAUAUUCUAAUGAUGGGCUUCCUCAAAAUGCACUAGGUCUUCGUGAGCGAGCAAGUUGGAUGCACACCCACUGGUUUUCUUUUGUUGAGCUUUCAUAUAUUUAUAGCUCUAGUGCAUCCGUUGCAUGGCAAUCCCUACUCACUCACAUUGAUAUCUAUUAAUGGUCAUCUCCAUAGCCCGUUGAUAUGCCUAGUUGAUGUGAGACUAUCUUCUCCUUUUUUGUCUUCUCCACAACCACCGUUCUAUUCCACAUAUAGUGUUAUGUCCAUGGCUCACGCUCAUGUAUUGCGUGAAAGUUGAAAAAGUUUGAGAUUAUUAAAGUAUGAAACAAUUGUUUGGCUCGUCAUCGGGGUUGUGCAUGAUUAAAUACUUUGUGUGAUGAAGAUAGAGCAUAGCCAGACUAUAUGAUUUUGUAAGGAUAACUUUCUUUUGGCCAUACUAUUUUGAGAAGACAUGAUUACUUGCUUGGUAUGUUUGAAGUAUUACUAUUUCUUAUGUCAAUAUGAACUUUUAUUUUGUAUUAUUUCGAUCUGAAAAUUCAUGCCACAAUGAAAGAAAAUUACAUUAUGAAUUAUGCUAGGUAGCAUUCCACAUCAAAAAUUCUCUUUUUAUCAUUUACCUACUCGAGGACGAGCAGGAAUUAAGCUUGGAGAUGCUUGAUACGUCUCCAACGUAUCUAUAAUUUUGAUUGUUCCAUGCUAUUAUAUUACCUGUUUUGGAUGCUUAUGGGCUUUAUUCUACAUAUUUAUAUCAUUUUUGGGACUAACCUACCAAUCGGAGGCCCAGCCCAUAUUGUUGUUUUUUUGCCUAUUUCAAUAUUUCGAAUAAAAGGAAUAUGAAACGGAGUCCAAAUGGAGUGAAACCUUCGGGAGCGUUAUUUCUGGAACAAAUCUGAUCCGGAGAGCCUGGAGUGCAAGUCAAGAAAGCUCCGAGGGCCCCACGAGAUAGGAGGGCGCGCCCCUUGUCUCGUGGGCCCCUCGGGCGUCCACGGACGUACUUCUUCCUCCUAUAUAUACCUAUGGACCCCGAAAACAUCCAGAGGCACCACGAAACACAAUUUCCACCACCGCAAACUUCUGUAUCCGCGAGAUCCCAUCUUGGAGCCUUCGCCGGCACUCUGCUGGAGGGGGAAUCGACUAUGGAGGGCCUCUACAUCAACAUCCUUGCCCCUCCUAUGAGUUGUGAGUAGUUUACCACAGACCUACGGGUCCAUAUUUAUUAGCUAGAUGGAUUCUUCUCUCUUUUUCGAUCUCAAUAUAAUGUUCUUCCCCUCUCUUGUGGAGAUCUAUUCGAUGUAAUCUCUUUUUGCGGUGUGUUUGUCAAGAUCCGAUGAAUUGUGAGUUUAUGAUCAGAUUCAUCUAUGGUUAUUAAUUGAAUCUUCUCUGAAUUCUUUUAUGUAUGAUUGAGUUAUCUUUGCAAGUCUCUUCAAAUUAUCGAUUUGGUUUGGCCUACUAGAUUUAUCUUUCUUGCCAUGGGAGAAGUGCUUAGCUUUGGGUUCAAUCUUGCGGUGUUCUUACCCAGUGACAGAAAGGGUUGCAAGACACGUAUUUUAUUGUUGCCAUCGAGGAUAGCAAGAUGGGGUUUAUAUCAUAUUGCAUGAGUUUAUCCCUCUACAUCAUAUAAUCUUGCUUAAUGCCUUACUCCGUUCUUACGAACUUAAUACUCUAGAUGCAUGCUGGAUAGCGGUCGAUGUGUGGAGUAAUAGUAGUAGAUGCAGGCAGGAGUCGAUCUACUUGUUUUGGAUGUGAUGCCUAUAUACAUGAUCAUGCCUAGAUAACGUCAUAAUUAUUCGCUUUUCUAUCAAUUGCUUGACAGUAAUUUGUUCACCCACCGUAAUACUUAUGCUCUCGAGAGAAGCCUCUAGUGAAACCUAUGGCCCCCGGGUCUAUCUCUUAUCAUAUUUGCUUUCAAUCUACUUUUAUUUUGCAUCUUUACUUUCUUGCAUCUAUAUUACAAAAUACCAAAAAUAUAUUUAUCUUAUCAUACUAUCUUUAUUAGAUCUCACUUUCGCAAGUGGCCGUGAAGGGAUUGACAACCCCUUUAUUGCGUUGGUUGUGAGUUCUCAAUUUGUUUCUGUAGGUGCGUGGGACUUUUGAGGAGCCUCCUACUGGAUUGAUACCUUGGUUCUCAAAAACUGAGAGAAAUACUUACGCUACACUUGCUGCAUCACCUUCUCCUCUUCGGGGAAAACCAACGCUAGCUCAAGACGUAGCACUCCCCCAUAGCGGUUGAGACAUGUCGGGCUAGGGAUUUACUCCAGACAGCAAUGGUUCAGCAACAGGCUUAUUCGUACAGUCGGGACAUGAUACACACUAACCCUCGUCCAAGUCGGAGUUACAGCCGGCGUGUUGAAGAGCCAGCUGUGUCAAGCAGUGGACGGAAUCAUCAUCCGCCACGGAGGCCUAACCUGGCAGGGGGAAGGAAGCGCAGGAUUUAGUGGACCAAGGACGAGCGCGCCGCGGCACCGGGUUGAAUGCACAGGACAUGGAGCGCCAGCUUACGCCGGUUCGUCCGACCACUACAGUAGAGCCAGCGGUUGCCUUUACCACUUUGGGGGUGUCGUGUCUCACACCGGCCCUGCACAAUGCGCGGUUACCCAAGGACUUCAAGGGCCCUCGGAAAGUACCCAAUUACACUUCUGAUUUACAUCUUGAGUCAUGUGUAGAAAGCUAUGAGAUGGCCAUGGAGAUGCUGGAUGUGGAUGGAGCGGUGUGUGCUAAGUACUUCACUAUGAUGCUAGAAGGAACAACUCGCACUUGGCUAAAGAGUUUACCACCCAAUUCAAUUGGGUCAUGGGAGGAGUUGAAGAGACGGUUUAUCAACAACUUCAAAGAUACUUGCAAGCAACCAAUGUCAAUUGUUGAUCUGGCUGCUUGUGUUCAAGCAGAGGGUGAAUCGACUACCCAUUGGGUACGCCGGGUUUCUGAGAUCUUACAUUCAUCUGAUCGGAUUAAUGCAGAUUCAGCAAUUAUAGUGCUAGAAGGCAAUUCCAAGUUCAAACCUUUGAAGUUCAAGUUGGGGCGGAUGAAGCGUCACUGCAAUGAUAUGGGAACACUCAUGGGGGCUUUGGUUAAAUAUGAUAACUCUGAUAAUACCAAGGAUCCCGAGUAUGACGAGGAAAAGCCGAGGAAGGGAAAGAAGAGCCGCAACACCAAAGGACAGCAACCCAACUCGGCGGGCAACGGUAACAACGGUAAACGAAAAGCAGAUAAUUCAGAUUUUGUGGCUAACACCAAUGUGCAGGGUAAUAAUCAAUGUCUUAAGGGUAAAUCGCCCCAGCGCGGCGGCGGUAUGAAUCUGGAACGUAUGUUGAAUCAGCCUUGCCCGAAGCACGGGACAAAGGAGGUUCUAGCCACGCACCUCUGGAAGGACUAUUUCAUUAUGCGAGAGUUCAAAAUUCUGACCUUUUCCGGUGUGAUCAGGGUCCAUCUGGCGGUUCAGGUCCUGGAUCUCAUGGGCCGGGUUACGGUGGUAGCGUUCAAACUCCGAAUUCCAGGGAAUCAAGGCAAUCAGGGCAAUCAGAAUAGCAGGGUGGUUAUAAUCAGUAGAAUAAUCAGGGAAAUCAGCAGCAGUCGGGUUAUCUGAGUCACCCGAAGCAAUUGAAUAGUGGGCAGUAUCAUGUUUUCACCUCUAGUUUGUGCAAGCGUGAUCAGAAGCUUCACAAGAGAGUAGUAAACAUUGUUGAACCGGCAGUAGCAUGUUACUUACGUUGGUCCGAAUAACCCAUUGUAUGGAGCAGAGAGGAUCAUCCACCCCGGUUGACAAUCCGGGUCAUUUGGCUUUGGUGGUGGCGCCUCAGGUUGGAGGAUAUAAGUUCACCAAGGUGCUGAUGGAUGGAGGGAGCAGUAUCAAUAUUUUAUAUUAUGAAACCUUCUGGCGCAUGGGAUUGACGGAUAAAAAUCUUAAACCGUCGAACACUAUUUUCCACGGAGUGGUACCAGGUAAAUCGGCAUACCCAGUUGGUAAGAUAAAUCUGGAGGUGGUAUUUGGAGAUGAUCAUGAUUCUAGAUCAGAAACCUUAACCUUUGAGGUAGUAAAGAUCCAGAGCCCAUAUCAUGCCCUGUUUGGAUGACCAACUUAUGCAAGGUUCAUGGCAAGGACCUGUUAUUUUAUCUACAGCUCAAGAUGUUGGGUCAUAAGGGGACCAUCACAAUACAUGGGAGACGUAAGAACGCUUUGGAUUGUGAAGAGGGUGAUGCGGCUUAUGCUGGGUCGGUUUGUGCGGCAGAAGAGUUAAAGUUCUACAAGGACAAUGUUGAUCUGGCAGAUAUGACUCCUCUGAAGAAGCCCACCACAGAGCAUGACCCAACCCUGAAGUUUAAACCGGAUGAUGAGACUAAAUUGUUGACUUUGUUACUGGUGAUUCAUCUAAACAGUUUAGUAUCAACACUAAUUUGGAUCUGAAAUAGGAAAGCGCGCUCAUCAAGUUCAUCCGCGAGAACCGGGACAUCUUUGCGUGGAAGCCUUCCGACAUGACAGGUGUACCGAGAGAACUCGCUGAGCACAAUCUCAAUAUUGAUCCCAAGUUUAAACCGAUCAAACAGUUUCUUCAUCGCUUCAACGAAGAAAGGCGCAAGGCCAUUGGCGAAGAGGUAGCCUGGUUGUUCGCUGCUGGUUUUAUCGUUGAGGUUUUUCAUCCUGAGUGGCUGGCCAAUCCGGUACUAGUGCUUAAGAAGAAUGGCACUUGGAGCAUGUGUGUGGAUUACACGGACUUGAAUAAAGCUUGUCCGGCCGAUCCUUUUGCCCUCCCUCGUAUUGAUCAGAUCAUUGAUGCUACGGCGGGUUGUGAGCGUUUGAGUUUCUUGGAUGCUUAUUCUGGUUAUCAUUAGAUCAAGAUGGCAGUUAAGGACCAGGAGAAAACAACUUUUAUCACUCCCUUUGGAGCCUUCUUUUAUGUAUCUAUGCCCUUUGGGAUCAAGAGUGCCCAGGCAACUUAUCAGCAUUGUGUGCAGAAUUGUCUUCAUACACAGAUUGGGCGCAAUGUUCAUGCUUAUGUGGACGAUAUUGUGGUAAAAUUCAGAAAAAAGGAGACAUUGAUUGACGACUUGAAGGAGACCUUUCACAAUCUUCGGGUUUACAAGAUGAUGCUCAAUCCGGCCAAAUGCGUUUUCGGUGUUCCGGCAGGCAAGCUCCUAGGUUUCUUGGUGUCUAACAGGGGCAUUGAGGCUAAUCCAGAAAAAAUCAAGGCUAUUACGUCUUUGGCUAAACCGGCAUGUAUCAAUGAUGUUCAACGUCUAGCAGGUCGGAUUGCAGCUCUGAGCCGGUUUAUCAGCCGUUUGGGAGAGAAGGCGAUCCCUCUAUAUCAGAUGUUGAGAAAGAAAGACACUUUUGUCUGGAGUAACGCUACUGAUGCGGCAUUUGAGGAUUUGAAGAGGCAGUUGGUUGAGCCGCCGGUCCUUGCCGCUCCGGUCGACAAUGAACCACUGUUAUUGUAUGUGGCUGCUAAUGUCCAGGCUAUCAGCGUGGCUAUUGUGGUCGAGCGCAAGGAGGCGGGGAUGGAAUAUCCGGUUCAAAGGCCUGUUUACUAUAUCAGCGAAGUGCUCAUCGAGUCAAAGCAAAGAUAUCCGCAUUGGCAGAAGCUGGUGUAUGGGGUUUUUAUGGCAAGCCGGAAGCUUAAGCAGUACUUUCAGGGCCAUCCCAUCAGAGUGGUCAGUUCUGCUCCUUUGGGCGAUAUAAUUCAGAACAGGGAGGCAACUGGCCGGGUUGCAAAGUGGGCUAUUGAGCUUGGACCGCACGGGCUGAAGUACAUGCCUCGGACAGCUAUCAAGUCUCAAGCACUUGUCGAUUUCAUCAAUGAUUGGACAGAGUUGCAGGCACCGAAAGACAAACUGGAUAACACAUACUAGACUAUCCACUUCGAUGGGUCCAGGCAAUUGGAGGGCUCGGGGGAUGGAGUUGUCCUUACUUCCCCUCAAGGUGAUAAAAUUCAUUAUGUUCUCCGCUUAAUGUUUCCUUGUACUAACAAUGCAGCUGAGUAUGAAGCCUUGCUCCACGGUCUUCACGUGGCUAAGGAAAUGAACUUAAGACGGGUACGAUGCUUUGGAGACUUUGAUCUGGUGGCUCAGCAAGUUUCUGGUACUUGGGACUCUAAGGAUCCGCUCAUGGCGGCUUACAGACAAGAGGUGGAUAUUGUGGCUGGUCACUUCAAGGGUUAUCAGGUUGAGCACAUUGACCGACGCAAAAAUGAAGCAGCAUAUGCUUUAAGCCGGCUGAGGUCUCACCGCAAACCGGUGCCACCCAAUACCUUUCUGGAUAUCCUGCAUAACCCGUCAGUUAAGUUGCCUACAGAGGAGGAUUUGGCUAUUCCUGAUCCGGAGGCACAGUUGGUGGUCGCUUUACAUGUUAUUCCGGAUUGGACGGUUCCAUAUUUGGCGCAUAUGAACCGGGGCGAGUUACCAGAAGAUGAAGUUUUGGCCAGACAGAUAGUUCAGCGAUCUAAGUCCAUGGUUAUUCACAAUGGCGAGUUACAUCACUUCAGUGUCUCAGGUGUGUUCCAGCACUGUGUUUCUCCUGAAGAGGGCCAAGAAAUUUUGCGUGAGAUCCACGAAGGAGAUUGUGGUCACCACGCUGGUUCAAAGUCCUUGGUUGCUGAAGCCUUUCGGCAUGGCUUCUACUAGCUGACGGCUCAUGCUGAUGCUCAGGAUUUGGUGAAACAGUGCGACGCUUGUCAGAAAUUCUCACGCAGCGCUCAUGUUCCGGCUCAAGAGCUAAGGAUGAUUCCAAUCACUUGGCCGUUUGCUACUUGGGGGCUUGAUAUGGUAGGACCUUUUAAGCGAUCCAAAGAUAAAAAGACCCACCUGUUGGUGGCGGUUGACAAAUUCACUAAAUGGGUUGAAGCGGAGCCAGUAAGCAAGUGUGAUGCAGGCACGGUGGUUCAAUUCAUAAAGAAGGUGAUCUUCCGCUUUGGCUUUCCACACAACAUCAUCACAGAUAAUGGCACGAACAUUUCCAAAGGUGAAAUGGAGGACUUCUGUCAAAGAGAGCACAUCCAGCUUGAUGUGUCAUCAGUGGCCCACCCUCAGUCUAAUGGUCAACCUGAGAGAGCUAAUCAGGAAAUCUUGAAGGGUAUCAAGCCCCGGCUUAUGGUUCCUUUGAAGAGGACGGCGGGUUGUUGGGUUGAAGAAUUGCCUUCUGUGUUAUGGAGCAUAAACACCACCCCAACCGGUCUACGGGUUAUACACCUUUCUUCAUUGUUUACGGGGUAGAGGCGGUCCUCCCAAGUGAUAUUCGUCAUGACUCGCCCCGGGUUGCCAAUUAUCUUGAAGAGGACAACGAGCAGGCACGUCAAGAAGCAUUGGACCUGUUAGAUGAAAAACGGGACAUGGCAUUGGCUCGCUCGGCGGUUUAUCAGCAAGACCUGUGGCGUUAUCACAGCCGCCGUGUUAAAACAAGAACCUUUCAAGAAGGCGACUUAAUGCUUCGGCUCAUCCAGGAUCACACCAAUAUGCACAAGCUAUCCCCACCUUGGGAAGGACCCUUUGUGGUCAGCAAGAAUCUUCAUAAUGGGUCAUACUACCUCAUUGAUGUUCGAGAGCACGCAGACUCACGCAAAGCUGAGGAGGAGACCUGGCGGCCGUGGAACAUAGCUCUCCUUUGGCCUUACUACACUUGAGCCAUAGGCUCCUCUUAUAUACAUAUUUUGACAAUGUAUAUAUUAUGAUCAAUAUAAUAAAUCGACAUCCUUGCUAUAAGCAGGGCCUCUGCUGUUUUUCCAAUAUCUCUUGAUGACAUGGGGGCUUCAGCUGACAAAGUGGAGUUCUAUCUGUCAAUCCGGCUAUCACGCCCUAACAUAGCUUUGGAGCUUCACACCCAAGGGGCCAAAGAGAGUCUUGUUGCUAUGCAUAGCUCAAACAUAGGCACCCAUAGAGCACAACUCACAAAGUUACUUGGGGGCUCUUUAUGCAAUGCAGCAAAGAGUUUGAAAGGACCCUUGUAAUAUGCUAUCAAGCACGGCUUGGAAGCCUGGUGUAUUCACCUAAAACCCCGGGUUAACAUGCCUUAUCAAGUAAGCCACUCCUAUCCAGGUAAUCCUGGCACGACCCGCCGAACGUUUGACAAGUCAAUCUUAUACAGACCCUGAACUUGUCAAAGUUAAAACGACGAUUGGUUAGUUGGAGGCCCAUCUUGAAAGGCUUUGCAAAAUGGUUUAACUCAGUGACCUGGCAGCCCAUGAAAAGCCUCGAAUUUGGGCCCGGCAGCCCUUGAAAAGCCUCGACUACACGGUUUGUUUGCCUUUAUCAAGAUUUUUCUCUUUUGAUAAAGUGUUGUGUUGAACCGGCGUCUAUUGACCCGGCAUGACUAUUAGUCAUUAAAUUAACCCGGUGUUUGUUAACCCGGUUUGGUUUUCAACUACAAGUUGACAGACCACAUCCAAUUGUAAACCAGAGUUUAUUAACCUGGUCUGGCAUUGACUAUACGUCACCAGGUUGAUCAUCCGGUGUUUAUCAUAACCCGGCAUGGUUUCUUAUGCACCAGUACAGCAUGGUGUGAGUUGUUAAACGCAAGUCUUGGGUUAUCACCCUUAUUACAAUCAAGUUGGUAAACCAACUAUGUGAUUCAAACAUCACAUGUAUGAUUUAAUUCAUAUUUUCAUAUUCCUAUAGCAUUGGUUAUAAACCAAGCUUUAUAUUGGAUAUUAUUAUUCGUCCGGCGGUAAACCACCAGGACAAUAUUUCCAUUCUAUCUUGUGCAGGAAUAAGAUUGCAUAAAAAUACUAAGGCAUAUAAGCAAGUACAACAAUAAUCCUGAUGGAUCAAAUAGUAUCAUGCAACACUACACGAUGGCGGUGGAUCAAAGUAUUUCAACUAGCCUAUUACAAGGCACUCGGAUGCCCAAGAGAAUAAAGUAUUUAUUUCACAGAAUUCAAUCUAUGGAAAUUAAACCGGCCGAUGGUCUACGAUUCAUCACCAGGUUAACGUGAAGUUGACAGAUCAUCUAGCGCCGGUUCACCCUCCUCCUCCCCAUCCACUGGCUGGAAGUCAAUGUUUGCCCAGUCAAUUCCAGACAAAGCUCGGAAGACGGCUUCAUCACUUAUAAGAUCUGACGGUUCAAUGUCAGGGGCAUAAGUAUGCUUACGGAUUGGUGGGAUAAGAUUCUGCACUUCAUUCACAGAUGCAUCAAUCCGUUUGUUAUCUGCAUCAUAGUUGGACCGAUGGACAGACAAGUCAGUUACUUUGGCCAAUCUGCUCGCAAGCGGGCGCAUCUCCUUCAUCAAAGCUUUAAGGGCAUCAUUGUCAAAGUGUGACCCGUAUGCUAUUUGGCUUGGAUAGCCAUUUCCAAUGUUCUCCGGAUCAAGAUCAGCUAUCCAACCUUUGGCCCGACUGAGUGCAGAUAAAGCGCCAGCCCUUGCAGUAGAUCUCUUCAAUUCUUCCAGCUGAGCAGGAGUCAUAGAUAAUCUGGCCAAUGUAUCCAUGAUUAAGGUCGGUGGUGGUUUAUUGUAUGAGGCUGCGCGGAUGACCCGUUGAGCGCCAGUAUACAACUGCUCUAUCAAUGUGUAGGCAGCCUUCAACUUUUUUCGCAUAUCUGAGCCAUGAUGAGCAAUACGACUACCUGCAAUGGUUUAAGAAAUUACUGUUAAACCGGCAUGAUCAAAGAUGUUUCCUAAAAAGCUGAAGAAGAGUACUUACCAAAGAUAGCAGAAGUCAUCGCAUCGAUUUGCCGCUUAAAGCCACUCAGCUCUUCUGCUACCGGUUUAAGUGCUGCUUCAGCAUCUUCAGCCCAUUUCAGCAAAGCGGCCUUUUCAGUCUCCCAGCCUGCCCGCUCGUUCUUGAAGCCAUCCUUCAAUUGUUCCAUGGACAUCAAAGCGUCCUUCAAAUCAUGUGUUGCUUUUGAGGUUGCAGCUUGCUGGGACUUAAUGUUUUCCUGGAGGUCGGCAAUUUGGGCAUCCUUGCUGGUUAAGUCAGCCUGCAAAAGGCAGAUAUUAAGAUGGUAAUACUUUUUUCAUAGUCCCAAGCACAUAACAAGUUAUACACUUGGCACUUGGGGGCUAAUGCGGAUUGUUUCUCUCAAGCUGAUAUUUUAAAGUCCCAAGGCUCAAUACAAGUAUUCAUCUUGGCACUUAGGGGCUAAUGCUUAUUUGAUCAUAUAAACUGGAUAUGAAGGAACUCAACAAGGAUAAGCCUUGCAACAUAAAGUACCGGUUCAUCUUCAAGAAGAUAAACCAGCCCUUGGGGGCUACACAGUUGAAGUUUUUCAUAUUGAAGUACCGGUUCUUCUUCAAGAAGAUAAACCGGCCCUUGGGGGCUACACUGGAGUAGACAUGAAGCAAAAGAAUAGUUUUAUGAAAUGGUUCGAGCAAUAAUUACCUCAUAGCGCUCCUUCAUCAAGUUGACUAAACCGGCUUCAUAGUCACAACUUGUGUAUAGGCGGUUUAGAAAUCCAGAGUGGAGUUCCUGAGCAGUGAGGUUAGCACAACUGGCUAAAUCAGUCUUCCACUUGCCUUUGCCCAUAGCAGCAACUUCUUCCUUGGCAGUAUGCUUCGCUAGAGCAACCGGGUUACCAGGAAUAGUAUGACCAGUACCAGUAAUGACAACGUCGUCAUCACCAUCUUUGGUUGUGCUUGGCGGAAUAUCAGUAUUCCUGGUUGGACUUGGCGGAUGGUCUUCAUCCUUGGCUGGACUUGGCGGAUCAGUAGGAUGGUUCAUAACAUUACUCUCAUCCGGUUCAACAAAAGUAUCUUGAACCGGAGGUACUGGAUCUUCCUGAACAACAUCGGUAUCCAGGUCAUGAGGUUCAAGGGUCUUCUCCGAUUCAAGGGUAUGAUUAUCAUCAAUUGGAACAGUGAAUUUGGCUUUCUUGCUAAGCCUGCCUUUAGCACUGAGAAGAGUAAAGUACAGGCAUUAGUACAGUAAACCGGAGCAACAUAUAAAGUAAGUAUACUGCACUUACCCAGGGACGGUCUUGAGUGGAGGCAUCUGUGUGGUCAAUGAAUCGCCAGAGGAUGAAUUGGAAGCUCCCUGAUAAUUUGAAUCAGACGAAUUAAGAGGAUAUCGAAAGCAACCCGCCUUGGGAUAAGAUGUAUUGGAAGUACAAGAGACCUCUGGUCGGCGUUUGCGAAUCGGAGUAUCCGGUAAACCAGAGGAUGUAACCUGUUGACCACUGUGACGAGUUGUGCGACGAGCCUCAUGUUGAUGUGUCUUCAAAGAAAAGUGCGGAUCCAAAUGAGCAAGAGGAUGUGAAUGUUUUACUUUCCGGACUGCGCGAUGGAGUUUCUGUACCGGCACAUGAUCUGAAUCAGAGGAAAGGGAAAUUACCUCUACAUGGUCAGCACGACUUGCCUCCACAUCAUCCCGAUAAUGAUUAUUGUCAAUAAGGUGCAUGAAAAGUGAACCAAGUGAAUCAAUUUCUACCUCCGUGUCUGAGUCAUCAACAUCUUCGGCCGGAUCAGAGGAUUCGGCGGUUCUCUUCUUAGCAGACUUCUUGGUAACCUUGGACUUAGCCUGAGGCGCUCUCACCGGUUUGUCUUGAGCUUUGGCCGGUUUGACCAGCGUUUUCCUCUUCCAAAAUGGAUCAUUGCUCUGCAAAGGUAAACAGAAGGGCUGUCAGAAAGUGUCAAAAAGGGCGGAGUAAAAUAGGAAAAAUGCAAUUCUUACAGCUGGCGGUUUAUGGAGAGCACAUAAUGGACGCAGCCCAGUUUUGCUGCAUUCAGCUACCAGUUCAUCCAGCAUCCGCUUGACAAAUUCAGUAAUCACGUCAUCAGUCAAUUGAAUGUCAAUAUAAUGUUGAGCAUCUUUCACAUCUCCUGUAUACUCGCACAUUAAACCGGAACGACGACUUAAAGGCAAGAUACUCCAUGAGACCCAGCAACGGACAAGAUCGAUACCGGUCAAACCGUUUGCCAUAAAAGCCCGGACCUUAGAGAUCUGUGUGGCAUAUUUCAUUCGCUCCUUAGCAGUCAGACAUUGAGGCAGUGGAUGUUCAUUACUAAGCCGGUGAGCACAAUAACCCGGCAGAGGGUUUUCAUCUUCAGGGGCAAUGUUCCGGCAGUAAAACCAGGUUUGGUUCCAAUCCUUGGGGUGGCUAUGAUGUUUGGCAUGAGGAAAACUAACUUCUUUCCUCUUCUGUAUUGACACCCCGCCAAGUUCAGUAUUGGGGCCAUCGAUGAAUUCAGUAUCGCGGUUCAAGUGAAAGAAACCUCUAAAUAGCUCAACGGUUGGUUCCUCUUGCAGAUAAACCUCACAAAACAGUUGAAAGUUGCAAAGGUUGGACAUAGAGUUUGGUCCAAUGUCUUGAGGGUGGAGUUGAAGGCUGGCAAGUACAUCACAGAAAUUUUUUGAUCCAGGAGGGCUAAACCCCUGGUCCAGAUGAUGUACAGACACAAUCACCUCUCUGUCUUGAGGUUCAGGAGGACAUUCAGUACCUGGGACACUCCAAUGAAUAAUUUCCUCUUUUGCUAAAUUGCCAGUCACAACGUACUCAGUCAGUUGUUCUUUAGUGACCCGGGAACGGACCCAAUUGCAAGUAGAGAACUGCUUGGCCAUUGUUGAUGACAACUGUAAAAGAAGUUCAAAAUGCCGGUUCACGGUUCAAUAUUGAUAUGUAUAAACUGGGGUCAAACCGGAGGAUUUAGUCAGAGCAUAUGUGCACGUCAAACCGAAUUCUUAUGUUUAGGUUAAGUUGGCGGUUUAAGUGAGGGCUAAUGGUGCCUGGCGGAUUGUCAUUUUCUAAAGGUUAAACCGCCUAUAGUGGAGGAAGUAGAUCCGAACAUUUCACUAAGUACUGUAGAAACAUGUUUCACAGGAUGGUGUUAUAAUUUUGGAUCUACUGCGGUUCAGUAAACAAAAAUUUCUGAACCCUAGAAUGGAGACAUCAGAACAGCGAAGAUCUAGAUGGGAUUUAUCCAGGAACGAAGAGAUACUAUGGUGAAGCAAACUAAAGCUACAGCUUCGGCCGCAAAAGGAGGAUAUCAAGUUUAUAUAGAUUCGAUGAUACAAUAAGGGCAAAGAGACGAACGAGGAUGAACACUGAUGAACACGGACGAACACCAAAAUCCUAAUACAGAUCUGAUAAGUUGGGAACAGGAGAACUUACUGGGGCUGCGGGGCAGCGGAAGAGCGUCGCAGUGUUUCUGGUCAAGAACAGGUUGAUGCAGUGGCCUUGUUGGUGCAGAUGCAAAAGUCGACGGCGCCGGUGAUGCUUGAGCUCUUCGGAGUCGCGAGGAAGAAGAAGAGGCAAGGGGGAAAAAGGAAAGGACCCCUGGGCCUAUUUAUAAGGCGAAUGGAUAAGUAAGGCAAGCGCAUGAAUCGAGGAGCCCGAAAAUGAAUGGGGCACAACUGUUGCCUCGAUCUUCGGAGAUCAAUUAAUAAAAAGAAAUCUUUAUGAGUUUUUUACGCAGAUGACGUCACAUCGGUUUAAUGUGAUUCCCGAAGAUGACGUCACGACAGUUUACAAGGACAACAUGGAGAUGUUCAAAUCAGAGUUUCUUUAAGUGGAAGAUUGACAUGAACAAGUUCAAAUCAAUCUGGGGCCUAAUGUUGGGGAUAUGACUACUGAGUUAAACCGCCCAGGAAAGGGCCGGAUUAACUCACAAGGAUUCCUGUACAAGAGCCCAUGAAGAUGAAGGCUAUGGCGCUUUAACCAUGAAGACUUAGAGUCCCAGAGCCCGAUGGCGGAUUAGGGCCCAUAAUGGUAAACCACCAUAGAUGUGUAACUUCUGUUGUAAGUCAAGGAAAGGAGAAACCGAGCUGGACACUUGUAUGAGCCGGCCUCGGGAUUAUGUAAACCGGCCGAGCGUCAACCUGUGUAUAUAAAGGGACGACCAGGCGGCGGUUCAGGGACAAGAAACAACAACUAUAAAGCCAGGCAUAGCGUGUUUGCUCCCUGGUAACCGAGACCACAUCAAAAACACCCCAACUGGAUCGUAGGCUUUUACCUUCACCGCAAGGGGCCGAACCAGGAUAAACUCCCCGUGUCCUUUGUCCGGUUUAACCCCAUUAAGCUAACCCGUCGCGAUGGCUCCACGACUAAGUCCUUUCACUAGGACAUCUGACAUGAUAAUUCCACGACAACCCCCAUGGCGGUUCACUCAUGGGCCACUUCAGGCAGCCCAUGUCGCAUACAAGGAUUAUUCCACAAGACUUGGUGAUCAAGACAAGGACUCCUAUCCACCAACGUAUUCGGCUAGGACUCUUGUUAUCCUAGGCCUCUGGUGCAUUAUAUAAGCCAAGGCUAGGCUAGUCGAUAGAUCAUUAUGAAAAUCAUACAAGCUAGACUUCUAGGGUUUAGCCAUUACAAUCUUGUGGUAGAUCAACUCUUGUAAUACUCAUAUUCAUCAAGAUCAAUCAAGCAGGAAGUAGGGUAUUACCUCCAUAGAGAGGACCCGAACCUGGGUAAACAUCGUGUCCCCUGUUUACUGUUACCAUCGACAUUAGACGCACAGUUCGGGACCCCCUACCUGAGAUCCACCGGUUUUGACACCGACAUUGGUGCUUUCAUUGAGAGUUCCAUUGUGUGAUCGGUAAAGGAUCGAUGGCUCGUCUGCAGAUUAACUGCGACGUCAGCAUCUUUGUCAUCAGCUCGACUGGUCAACUCGGCUUGACCGAGGACUGUGCCCUACCUCCGAUAGUCAUGUUCGAACGAGUGCCUUCAUUAACAUCAACUCCGAUCUCGAUCAUGAUCAUGGAGGAAUUAUCCUUGGAGCUCGGGGGCUCAACGUCAACACUGCCCUCAGGCGACCGAGCUAUUUUCCCGGAGAACAAACUUGUAUCCCCUGCCACCACCUCCUCGAGCAUCGCUUUGAUGAUUCCUUCGAUGGAAUUGUGUGGAAUUAUGUCUAUAACAACCAUGCAAAAUUUCGCGAGUUCCGAUGGAGGAAUCUCCGGCAAUCUACGAUAUACCAGAGCCUUGUCAAAUUUGGACAAGAAUCUGGACGAUUUUAGGGCGUGGUCUCCAGAUCCAAGCUCGCUCGGAGGUCCUUUGGAAGAUCCAACCGUUCCUCCGCUGCGGAAUUCUCAUAUCUACCACCCCUCAAACUUUCAGCUCGAUCUGACGGUUGAAACUCCAGGAACGUUCCGAUGAGUGGACCAAUUUUCUCAUGUUUUUUCUUCGCGAGAACAAAUCCGAGCCUAGUUCAUCUUUUUUAUGAACGGGAUUUCGGACAUCCUUUUUGAAGGAAGUUCUGUAUGGGGUAUUGUGUUUUGUUCCCAAACACAUCCCACAAAUUUUAAAGUCUUUCCCAAUAUGGUCUUCAAUGCACCGGUGUCAAACCAGCCUGACAACGUUACUCCACGGCUGCCGACCUGCGUUAAACAAGUCGUCCCUUUGUUGAGCCGAUCUCAACUUCUUCGGAUCAUCAUCUCAGCAAGCCGGACAAGUGUUCGGCACCGUGAAGGAUAGAUCACCACCAACAUCGCCGCCCCACGGAUCAUACGGAGCGGGCACACCGGCAUCGCCGCACGGUCACUUCAUCGAGCUGGCAUUUACCGCGUCAUAAGUUAUGACCUGCACCGUCAUGUGGCGGCAUUGUUGGUUCUUCAAGCCGAUGUCCAUCACGCUGAACUGCUUCAAUACCUCGGCUGACACGGCAGCUGCAAUGUCUCCUUACCGACCUGCUCCGUCACCUCGGCUAGACCGGGGGCUUCGCCAUCCCUUCUUCAACCUACUUCGGAGACUUCGGCGUCGUCAACCGACUAGCUUAGUCACGUUAUCUAGACCGGGGCUUUGCCUCGGUGAGCCAACCCUUACCAGCAUCACCAUGCCGUCACUUCACCGCCAUUAGGCAAUGGGUGUGCGGAUCAAUUCUCAAUUUUGGGAGUCACUUUUCUUCGGACUGCUACAACAAAUAAACCAGGUGCUAUUAAUCCUAGCAAUUUUUGCUUAUUUGGGUUUUAUUUUUCUCAAGAAAUUAUUAUUCUGCUUCGUUCCAUCAUCUGUACACAGGCCUAUCAAAUGGCAGCCACAUUAACAACGGUCGCGUGGUGGUUCGGUCAGUUUCCGUACAUAGUUUGGCGAACGCCGCAUCCGGAACUCGGACUGACCUUUGAAUUCAGGCUUUGCCACGCCUUUACCACAUCACGUUGUUGUCUGGCAUCGACAUUGACUUCGGCGCUAUGACACAUAUUUUUAAAUAAAUUAUCUUGCGUAAAUUAAUUACGCGAGGAUUUUUAUAUUAUUAUUGUCGGCCUGCACUAUUUUACUUGUACAUGUAAUCGACUUCGACUGCGUCACUUGGUCACUUUGACAAGCCGACGCCGUCGUCCCAAUCGGCUUAAAUCAGCUCGCGUGAUUACCUUGUUUGUCGAAUUGCCAUACCGACAUGCUCGGUCGCUUUGGGGACUUCGGCAUCGCUGAGAGAGCCCUACCUCAUCGACUGUUCCACACACGAGCCAUAUUUCUUUUAUUACUCACUUUGCAUAAAUUAUUAAUUAAUUAUUUAUUUAUUAUUACUACUAUUAUCUCCGGUUUGCACUAUUUUCUGUGCACACGUAAAUGAUUCGGGUCGGGCAGUGUUAUCUCCUCGGCGUACUGACAUAGCACGUCACCUCGGCUGGACUGGGGGUUUCGUCAUUGAGGGAGUCCUAGAUUAGGGGGUAUUCGGACAGCCGGACUAUAUACUUUGGCCGGACUGUUGGACUAUGAAGAUACAAGAUUGAAGACUUUGUCCCGUGUCCGGAUGGGACUCUCCUUUGCGUGGAAGGCAAGCUUGGCGAUUCAGAUGUUAGAUCUCAUUCUCUGUAACCGACUUUGUGUAACCCUAGCCUCCUCCGGUGUCUAUAUAAACCGGAGUGUUUUAGUCUGUAGGACAAGAACAAUCAUAAUCAUAGGCUAGCUUCUAGGGUUUAGCCUCUACGAUCUCGUGGUAGGUCAACUCUUGUAUUACCUCCAUCGAGAGGGCCCAAACUUGGGUAAACAUCGUGUCCCCAGCCUCCUGUUACCAUUGUCCUUAGACGCAUAGUUUGGGACCCCCUACCCGAGAUCCGCCGGUUUUGACACUGACAUUGGUGCUUUCAUUGAGAGUUCCUCUGUGUCGUCGCUGUAAGGCUCGAUGGCUCCUUCAAUCAUCAACAAGGACGCGGUCUAGGGUGAGAUUUUUCUUCCCGGACAAAUCUUCGUGUUCAGCGGCUUCGAACUACGGGCCAAUUCACUUGGCCAUCUGGAGCAGAUCGACAGCUAUGCCCCUGGCCAUCAGGUCAGGUUCGGAAACUUGAAUUACACGACCGACAUCCGCGGAGACUUGAUCUUUGACGGAUUCGGGCCUACUCCAGGAGCGCCGGACGGUCACGACGGGAACGACUUAGACCGGUUGUCGGACGGUAUUCGGGAUAACGCACCUGCAGCGGCUCUGGACCUAAAUCCAAGGCAGAUCGCGUCGUCCGAGGACGGGUGGAUGGACCCCGCCACGGAGGCCGCAUACUCAUCGGCGGUAGAGCCGAACACAGACUCCACCUCUAAGGAAAUCUGUGUCACCGGACCCCAGGACGUGUCUCCGGCCUCAGGUUCCAGAUCGCGUGCAUCCGGGCCUAUCGAAUUUGAUUGGGCUCCGAUAAUGGAGUUCACCACCACGGAUAUCUUUCAGCACUCGCCCUUGGGCGAUUUGCUGAAUUCAUUAAGGUCUCUCUCUUUGUCAGGAGACUCUUGGCCGAACUAUGUCCGGCUCGAGUGGGAAGCAGAUGACGAAGAAAUUCGUCACCCACCCACCACCCACUUCAUUGCCACUGUCGAUGAUUUAACCGACGUGCUCGACUUCGACUCCGAAGACAUCAACGAUAUGGACGACGAUGCAGGAGAAGAACGGGAACCACCGCCCACAGGGCGCUGGACAGCCACCUCCUCAUAGUAUACAUAUAUAUGGUGGACACACCCAAAGAAAACAAUGGCGAUGAGGCAACAGAGGAUAACCCCUUAGGAAAGCAAUCAAAGCAUGGGCAUCACCGAUGCCGCUCUAAGCCCCGCCACAGCAACACCGGCACAGGAGACGAAAACAAUCCGGAUGGUGCCGAAGAUUAAUAUAAUCCCAAUCAACCUACCUUCGAGCAGACCGAACAGGAGGACGGGAAAGCUAGCCCAGAUGAACAGGCGAUGGACGGAGACUUGGAGGAUGACAAUUAUAUGCCUCUCUGCGAAGAUGGGGUGAGCCUAGGCGAUGAUGAAUUCGGCGUGCCUGAGGAUCCCGUAGAGCAGGAGCGCUUCAAGCGCCGGCUUAUAGCCACUGCAAGAAGCCUGAAGAAGAAGCAGCAGCAGCUCCAAGUUGAUCAAGAUCUGCUCACAGACAGAUGGAAUGAGGUCCUGGCAGCCGAGGAAAACGGACUCGAGCGCCCCACCAAAGGUUACCCAAAGCACAAGUUGCUACCUCAACUCGAGGAGGAGGCCAUAGAGCCUACACUACUAGCACAGGACGAGGCUGACCAGCCACCUCGUGGCCGAGACAAAGGGGUGUAUUAGCCCGAAUACCAACCCGCACCCCGACGCCCAUAUACUAUGGCCCGGGGCAAUACACAGGACCUGCGACAUAUUGGAAAACAAUGCAGGACAACCAAGAUCGAUCUACGGAUCGCGGGGGCGCGUCACAUCACAUGACGAUGAUCGUCAUGCCGGAUACACUAACAAUAAGUUCGACCGGGCCGAACAUAACCGACCAGACUUAGUUGGACUGCGUCGUGACAUAGCCCGGCAUAGAGGCGCCGCACACCCCCUCUGCUUCACUGAUGAAGUAUUGGAUCAUGAAUUCCCAGAAGGGUUCAAACCCGUAAACAUCGAAUCAUACGAUGGCACAACAGAACCCGCGGUAUGGAUCGAAGAUUUCCUUCUCCACAUUCACAUGGACCGCGGUGAUGAUCUACAUGCCAUCAAGUAUCUUCCCCUUAAGCUUAAAGGACCAGCCCGACACUGGCUGAAUAGCCUGCCGGCGAACUCCAUCGACAAUUGGGAAAAUUUGGAUGACGCGUUCCUCGACAACUUCCAAGGGACCUACGUGCGACCACCACAUGCUGAUGACUUAAGUCACAUUACCCAACAGCCCGAAGAGUCAGCCAGGAAAUUCUGGACUCGGUUCCUAACUAAAAAGAACAAAAUUAACGACUGUACGGAUGCCGUAGCCGGCCUUUAAGAAUAAUAUCCGUGACGAGUGUCUUGCCCGACACCUCGGCUAAGAAAAACAGAAAUCCAUGGCGGCCCUCACGACACUCAUGACCCGCUUUUGCGCGGGCGAGGACAGCUGGCUGGCUCGCAGUAGCACCACGCCAAGAGACUCUGGCACCUCAGAUGUCCGCGAUAGUAACGGCAAGCCUCGGCACAACAUACAUAAGCGUCGGAACUAUGGCGACAACACCGAAGACACGACAGUCAAUGCCGGAUUCAGUAGCUCCAAAUCCGGUUAGCGGAAAAAGCCGUUCAAAAGAAACAAUCCGGGAUUGUCUAGUCUGGACCGCAUACUCGACCGCUUGUGCUAAAUUCACGACACCCAUGAUAAACCAGCUAACCAUACUAACAGAGAUUGCUGGGUGUUCAAACAGGCCGGCAAGUUGAAUGCCGAGAACAAGGACAAGGGGCUGCACAGCGACGACAACGAGGAGCCCCAACGGCCGAACACAGGGGGACAGAAGAAAUUUCCUCCCCGAGUGAAAACGGUGAAUAUGAUCUAUACCACCCACAUCCCCAAGUGGGAAUGAAAGCGUGCACUAAGGUACGUUUACACGAUGGACCCGGUCGUCCCAAAGUUCAACCCAUGUUCAUCCUAUCCGAUCACUUUCGAUCGCAGGGACCACCCUACCAGUAUCCAUCAUGGCCUGAACCUGCUUUACCAGGACACAGUGUGCAAAAUGGGCAUUGAUCCCUCAAGGAUCAAACCCACCAAAACUACCUUUAAAGGUGUAAUUCCAGGCGUAGAGGCCUAUUGUACGGGCUCAAUAACACUGGAAGUGGUCUUCGGAUCUCCAGAUAACUUCCGAAGGGAGGAGUUAAUCUUUGAUAUCGUCCCUUUACGUAGUGGCUAUCAUGCACUGCUUGGACGAACCGCAUUUGCUCGAUUCAGUGUGGUACCACACUACGCAUACCUCAAGAUGAAGAUGCCAGGACCUCGAGGGGUCAUAACAGUCAAUGGAAACACAGACCGCUCUCUCUGUACGGAAGAGCACACUGCGGCCCUUGCGGCAGAAGUACAAAGCAGCCUUCUUCGGCAGACCGCCAAUUCGGCGAUGACAACCCCGAACACCAUCAAGCGAGUCCUGAGUACUCUGCAACAGGAUCGGCAGGCACGCCAAGAGCUCAACUAGCAAUCUGGCCUCCAUCCAAGUCCCAUUCAGGCCGCAUUUGUGUCGCGCGUACACAAUUACGGACUCAAAAUACCACGGGCAUAGGCGGAGGCGCGAUGAUGAUGCGGUCCACAAUGCGGCUCAACCGCCACGAGACCCGCAUACCUCUAUAACCUUCUUUCUUUUUCAGGACCCUACUUUCGGGCAGCCCCUUCAGAGAGCCUAAUCAUCGGACUCGUCAUAGGAGGGACAACCAAGGGGGCAAGAGGCUUUGCACACAAGGGAAUACUUAGGUGGUCUUUGUUAACGAUCAUUAUGCCUGUUUUACAUACCCACAUGCAGCCUGCCCUUGGAUAGGACAUGUCAAAUAGUACUAUUUUUGCUUGUCGCAUUAACUUGUACACAUACGCUUUGACAUAUUAUUUAAAUAACAACGGGAAACAAUAUACAGCGUCAACUUAUUAUUACUAUUUUCAUAUUUUCCCUGGACUGUUUAUUUAAUAUUGCAUCCCUACACUCUGGUACGUUCAGUUUGCUAGGGGCUUUUUAUUGUGCCCCAUAACACGGCAAGAAAAGUCCGAACACUUUUGAUAUUGCGGCACCCCGAACUUAUAGCAUUAUAUGCAUCUGCCCCGAAUCAUGUAUUGGGUCAAUAGUUGGGUUUGGCGGGCUCCCUUGUUUUGGUACCUUACGUUCCGUUAUAUCGGCUAAGGUAGUGCAGGGAGAACUACUGCGAUUGUGUCCCAGUUCUUCCGGACGAGCAUCUCAGUAGAGAAAGCGGAAAACUGACUGUCAUGAUGCGGUGAGAGUUGGUCGCUGUUCGAGAGGUAUUAAAUCCUUAAAGAUUUUUUCCUCUUCAGGCGAGGAAUCGGCCUUGUCCGGUUUAUGCAUGUAUAGCGCCCCAAUUCGGCUUUCCGAAUACUAGGGGCUUCACCAAAAUUUAAAAUUGUAGACUUCUAUGGCUAAGUGAGAGUUAUAAAGCCGCAUAGUCCGAUUGCCUUGUUCACUGUGCUAAACACCUCCUUAAAGGACCAAGAAUUUGUAUACAGAGUGUUUGGGUUUUCCACAAACACCCCAGUACUAGUUACACGGGGGCGGAAGCUGACGACUUGCCUACUUUCAGAAUUUUAUAAACAGCCGCACAGAAGGUAAUAUUUCAAAUCAACAAAGCGUCAUAUAGCGCAAACGAACUCGUUUUCAUAUUACAAAGAUGACAUGAGUACAUUCACUCAACGAUUAUGUCCUUGGUACAUUCAUUGGCCACAAGGCAAGCGCCUUUUAUAACGCCAUCAUAAUAUUUCUCGGGGUAGCGAUGCGCCUUACCCUCCGGGGGUCCAUCCUUCACCAGCUUCUCUGCAUCCAGUUUGGCCCAAUGCAUCUUUGCACGGGCAAAUGCCCGGCAGGCACCUUCAAUACAAACGGAUUGCUUGAUAACUUCAAGCCACGGACAAGCAUUUACCAUCCGCUUUACAAGGCCGAAGUAACUGUCGGGCAGGGGCUCGUCAGGCCACAUCCAGACUAUGAGGUCCUUUAUGGCCAGUUCGGCCGCCUUGUGGAGUUCAACCAAUUGCUUCUGUUGGUUACUUAGAGGCAUUGGGUGUUCGGCUCCAGUAUACUGGGACCAGAACAGCUUCUCCAUCGAGAUCCCCUCUUCGGCACGGUAGAACUCCGUGGCAUUCGAUAUGCUGCGUGGUAGAUCUGCGAAUGCCCAGGGAGAGCUCCGAAUUCGAUUAAGUAAAAGAAAUGUCUCCUCCACAUGCUUGCUUCGCAUAUUGAAGGCCUUACCCGCCGCUAUCUUCUUGGCCGUCUGGAUUUCCUAGAGGGCCUUUUGGGCUUCGGCCUUGGCGUGUUCCGCGCUCUGGAGGGCCUUGGCAAGCUCAGACUCUUGCGUCUUGAAGUCAUGCUCCAAGGACUCGAACUUCUGGCCGAACUCCUGGAGCUCUUGCUGUACCUCACUCACCCGAGAAUCUUGCUUUUCACGCUCAGUACGGUCCGUGGCUGCUUUAUCUUUGGCCUCGGAUAGCUCUUUCUUCAGGGCCGCCACUUCGGUCAUGGCCCCUAUUAAAAAUCAUGAUGCUUUUUGUUAGCGUCACCAAUUUUUUCCUCUAUAUGACACACGGACGGGGUAUCACUUACUUCGUUCUCUUCGAGUUGCCUCUUCAUGAGGCUGAGCUCUUCUUCGGCCUGCUUCAGGUCCCGUUUGAGUCCGGCGACCUCCGCAGUACGGGCGGUAGCGGCCAGCAGCAACACCUGCUUACUCACAUAGACAUUCAUUGUUAGACUCCUGCGGAUUAAAAAUUGACCCUCCGUUUGGCUUUUCUUUCCGAACACCAAACAGAGUAUCAGGGGCUACUGUCUAUUAGGUGAUAUUUUCUCACACCUUUCAUCACUUACCUCAAAGCCUGUUAGGAGGCUGGUGCAGGCUUCUGUCAAUCCGCUUUUGGCGGACCGAACAUUCUCAAUCACCAUACUCAUAAGAGUAUGGUGCUCUUCGUCAAUGGAAGCAUCGCGAAGCACUUCCAACAAAUUAUCUGAUGCCUCCAGCUGGAUGGAGGUCAUCGGCACGGCCGGCUCGCCCUCCUUAGAGAGGGGCUACCUACUUGAAUCCGAAACCUUUGGAGGCUCCGGCGCAGUAACUGUCUGGGAGCCAGACUUGUUGUGGCUCCCGUCCGCAUAAUCCAUGGGGAUCUUACCCCCCACAUGCCCGGUGGCUGGGAUUUCGCCUUGGGGCGUCUCUAGAACCGCCAUCCCCUAUUCUGGUAUCCUUUGGGACAACACCUCGGUGUCAUCCGCGGGCCAAGGGGAGGUGGCCGUUGGGAGUGAAUUCAUCUCCGACUCGCUCAGGGACCCGUCCGAAGACGAUACCUCGAGGCGGGACCCAGUCGGACUACAUAUGCGUGUUCGGCAUUGUCACAAACCAUGAAAUUAAGAUGCAUGAAAAAUACUAUAGAGUGUGGAUACUUACUAUCUCGCCAGGGGCUUGCCCCUGGGCAACCACUCCUCCUCGCUGUAGGCGGCCGCGGUGGAGUGAUCCGGAAGGGAUGCCUUUCCCUUCUUCGGUGUCCUGGCCUCCCCGUAUGGGGUGGCUUUCCUCUUCUUCUCCUCCCCAAUGCGGGGAGGGGGAAUUUAUUCAGGUUUCCCCCCAUCUCCGUGGGAGGAAUUUGCCUCGGCGUACUCGGACGACGAGUCUAUUACAGCCUUCACCGGAGACCUUUCCUGGUCCCUGCGGCCGCUUUCUUGGACCUUUCGGCCUCCUCAGAUGGGGCGGCCUUCCUCUUCCUCUCCUUCCCUUCAUGGGAGGACUGUGCCUCAUCGUCUUCAGAUAAGGCAUCCGGCGCAACCUUGUGCCGAAGACCCUUCCUGGUCCCCGUGGUCUUCUUUUCGGCCUUAUUAUCCGGCACCUUGUAAGGCGCCAGAACCAGCAUCUCCGUGAGGAGUGCGGUUGCUAGAUCUUCCGGCAGCGGAGCCGGGCAGUCGAUCCGCUGCGCUGUCGCCACAUAAUCCUGUUUUGAUAAGCAUGGUGACUUAAAAUCCUCCCACGAGUUUUCUGGGAAAGGUACAUCUUGUGAUGUUCGGAGAACUUACUGGAUUGGCGAGGCACGUGGCGCUGAGUCCGCGGUCCUCGGAAGCGGGAGGAGGUACUUCGGCGGCCUUGAACAGCACCUUCUAGACGUCUUUAUGCGUCGUGUCGAAGAGCUCUCGCAGCGUUUGGUGUUCGGCUGGAUCAAACUCCCAUAUAUUGAACGCCCGUCUUUGACACGGGAGGAUCCGGCGAAAGAACAUGACCUGGACCACGUUGACAAGCUUGAUCUUCUUGUCUGUCAGGACCCCGAUCCUAAGUCACACCGAUCUGGCAUGUAACACAUCAUAUCACUCUGCGGCCUCACGCACGGUAUUCCCACGGGUGCCACCUUACCUGGCCCGGGACCGUUUGCACCUUUUGGCUCACAUAUAUGAUAGUGCCGCUAGCAUCCAUAUGACAAAGAACCCGGGCUGACAUGGCUAGUCGUGAACCCAAAGUGGCACUAACUUACAGGGACAUGCAUACAUGACCCAGCAACGAACGUGUCGGUCAUCAGCGAGUGAAUCUGGGCUGUAGCAACUGGGCUAGCAGGACUCCGGUAAACCAGGCUGUAGCAGGCUAACAGGACUCCGGUAGACACCGCGUGACAUUUCCCCGAAGGGAUAGACACAGGAAUGAAGAAGGACACAUGCCGGCCAGCCUAAGUGUUCCGGAGCAGUAUAAAGCUACCAAGGCUCAGUGGAAGCACUAGGAGACAUUUCCCGGUAAGAGAGGCUACCAAGGAUGAACAACUAGAUAGUCAGAUCCCACACAGACCAAGCAUUUCAAUAACAUACACACAAUAUGCUCGAUAUGUGCAAAUACAACAUGGCAUCACAACAUGACUCUACAACUCAAGUAUUUUUCAAUAGGCUCCGAGGAGCGAGAUAUUACAAUCAUGGGUCGCAUGACCCAACAUUCAGAGCAUACAAGUCAAAGCACAUGCGGAAGCUUAACAUGUCUGAGUACGGACAUCUACAAAAGAAAAAGGCUGAGAAGCCUGACUAUCUACUAGAUCCUGCCGAGGGCACAAGAUCGUAGCUGAGGUAACAAGCUAAACGUCAAAGUCCACAUGGAACUACUAGCGAGACUGAAGUCUCUCUGCAAAAACAUAAAUUAAGCAACGUGAGUACAAAUGUAACCAGCAAGACUUACAUCAGAACUAACUACAUAUGCAUCAUUAUCAACAAAGGGGCGUGGGGUUUAACUGCAGCAAGCCAGCUUUGACUCGAUGGCUAUCCUGAAUUAUGACUGUAAGUAUCUCUUUUGAGGUGACGCACACGAGUCCACAUAUUCACCAUAUCAAUACACCACUAUGGAUCCGCUCCCGUCUCCCUAUGAGAACGCCAUCCAUAGCACUCACGUAUAUCUUGCGUAUUUUAGAGUAUCCACUUUCACUUGUCUAUGAACUGUAUAGGCAACCCAAAAGUCCUUUGCCGCGGAAACGACUAUUCGAAUAGAUCAUAUUAACCCUGCAGGGGUGUACUUCUUCACACACGCUCUCACCACUUACCGCCGUUUACACGACAUGUACUCGGCAACCUUCAAGCGGAAGCCCAGCGAGGGUGUCGGCCACGACCUGACUAACCACACAAGUCUCUCAUCCAGGUUUAUCGCCUAUUCGGGUUCCAUCCGCAAGGAGAUCCGGCCGGGGUGUCGCUCACGGCCCCAAACGAUGUGUGCAGGGUUCCCAAGCCCACCAUCCGGGUGCCACUUGGUACACCGGGCCACUGUGCCUAGUCUGUCCCAAGCCCACCUGUACCGGGUGCCACUUGGUAGACUACUAGCACUACCUACAAACACCAGAAACUAGCUGCAACUCUUGGACACAGAUCGAGUUGAUUAAUAAGUCGAGAGAGUCAAUUAAGGAUCCCAAUGUGUGGUAGUAGCUGUUAAUGGAUCACAAACACAGAACUCAGUUCCUGAGGACGGCUGCAAUGAGACAACCCACCAUGUACUCCUACACGGCCUCUCACCGCUACCUUUACCAAAUCGUGUUCACACACUUAGCUCACACACAGUAGGACAUGUUCACACACCUCCAAUUCAUUCCCGAUGAAACAGACCUGACACAACUCUAAGCAAUAGCAGGCAUGACAAACAAGCAUGAAUGAGUAGGCACAUCAGGGCUCAAACAACUCCUACUCAUGCUAGUGGGUUUCAUCUAUUUACUGUGGCAAUGACAGGUCAUGCAGAGGAUAAGGGGUUCAGCUACUGCAACAAGUAACAAAUAUGUCAUUGUUGUCCUAAUGCUGUAAAAGAGAGCAGGAGCGAGAGAGUGGGAUUUUAUCGGAAUGAACAAGGGGGUUUUGCUUGCCUGGCACUUCUGAAGAUAGCAUUGAGUCUUCAUCAGUGUCAACGAUCACAAUGUCGGUACAACGUCUACCGAGGGGGAACAACACCGGCAAACAGAGAAGAAACACGAUCAAUGCAAUGCACAAUAUGAUGCAUGCUAUGACAUGGCAAUAUGAAUGUGUUUUGGGCUAAUGCAAGCUAGAACAGGUUGAGAUGAGUCCAUUUGAACCAAAGAUUCAAAUGCAAACCCAUUUUAAAAGGUCGUAUUAGUGCAUUACCUUGUUUCACCUAAACAGCAAGGUUAAAGUGUUCUAUCAUGCAUGAGAAUGGUACAGAUGGAUAGAUUGCAUUUUUCUGAUCAUUUUUCAUAUAUAAAUUGUUUGAUUUGGAGCUACGGUUGAUUUUCUAUGAUUUUUAGAAGUUUUGGUUAUUUUCUGGAAUUCCUUGUAUAAGAAAAUUCCAGUAAUUAGUUAUUGCGUCAGUGUGACGUAAGUGGUCAAAGGGGACGUCUAGGUCAAACUGACCUGUGGGCCCUGCGUGUCAGUAGUUAGUUUAACUAACUAAAUUUAGUUAGUGCUAAUCCUGGGUUAGUUAGCAGGGCGGGCCCCACCUGUCAUAGACCCAAGGGUCAAAUUGGGCCCACCUGGUCAACUCAGUCAACAGGGUCAACUCGCCGGCGUUUAGCCGCCGGCGAGGUCAGUGGCGCUCUUGUGCCUCGGGUUUCCUCUGUGGUGCUCCAAAUGACGUGCGGCUAGGCGCGUUGGAGAGCUAGCUCGACGGCGCGUCGGGUGGUGGCCGGGGUUGCCGGAGUCGACGGCGGUGAGCUCGAUUGCGGCUGCCGGAGUUCGGUUGCACUCGGAACCGACGUUGUGGUGCACGGCAUGUCGAGCGGUGGGGUCCUAGGUGCUCCUGCAAACGUGCUGAGCACGGUGACGCUCUCAGACGCGGCGGAGGUGGGCUCUAGCCACGGCGGCGAAGAAGCGCAACGGCGGCGAGCUUCGGUCGGGGUGGCCAAAGGGGCUAGAGGAGGAAAUCAACAGAGGGAAGAGAGGUGUUGGGAUCAGGGGCUCGCGGCGAUGCCGAAGAGGAGAUCAGCGAGCCUGGGGAGGUCCUGGCGGCGCCGAAUCGACCGGAGGCGAGCUCGGGUGCCUGGGGUUGAAGAUGAGGCAGAGACGUCGCUGUGAUGCUCCCGUGGUCGAACAGACUGGUGUAGACGACGGAGGAGAUGACGCCGGUCCUUCUGGAUGCUUCGGCAAGGCGAGGGGUGGACGGUGGCCACGGUUUCACGGCGGCAAACGCUUGGCGGUUGCGGCCAUGGCGAGGAGAGGGCAAGAGAGAGGGCAGAGGGGGGAGAGUGAAACGUCCAGGGGGUCGGGGCGGCACCGAAGAGAAGGCCCGAGGCGUCGUGGUGGCCUCAGUGACGCAGGCAAGCAGGGAGGUGUGUGGCGCCGCGGGCGCGCGUGCGCUGUCUCCCUCCUUUGCCUACUGGCAGAUGUAGGUGAUGACUGGCACGGGCCAGGUGGGCCGGCCCAGCCAGGUAAGUGGCCUGUGGCCUUUCUCUCUCUCUCUCUCUCUCUCUUCCAUUUAGUUCUAUUUUUCUAUAUUUCUGUAUCUUAUGGGCUUUAUUAAAAAUAUCUAGGCACUUCCAAAAAUCAUGAAACUGCUCAAUGUCACUUUUUGGAAUAUUUCCAACAGCAAACAUUUCAGUUUGUGAUUAUUUGAGCAUUUAAAAUAUUAUUUAGCAAAUAAAUGCCCAAAUGCAAAUACCAUAUGAUUUAAUUCAAAAAUCCAGAAUGGCCUAGAAAUAUGUGCACCAUUUUUGGGAGAGGUUCUAGACCAAUGCAAAAAUGAUGAACUUUCUGAAGGGCAUUUUGGGUUCAUUGAGAAUAUUUUUAUUUGAACCUAGUUGAUUUGAUCUGGUGCUAGGGUUUGAGCAAUCCCCAUUUCAGGUUUAAAAGAAAUUUAAACAUGAUGCAUGAUGCAACACAAGACUAACUAACUCAGAGCAGAUCAGAACUAGGGAUGUGACAUUGUCUAUCAUAUUUUUGACACAGUACUUGAGUCCUGUCAGCUCUGUAGGUUCGCCACAGGCCAGACCCUUCUUUUCAGAGGAGGUGAGCCGCGUGGGGAUGCCAGAUCGGAAUUCGGGGGCCGACGCCCAGUUGGCAUUGCAUGGCUCGGUGAUGUAGAAAUACCCCGAUUGCCACCCUUUCACGGUCUCCAGGAAGGAGCCUUCAAGCCAGGUAACAUUGGGCAUUUUUUCCACCAUGGCGCCUCCGCACUCCGCGUGCUGGCCACUCACAAUCUUCGGAUUCACGCAGAAGAUUUGUAGCCACAGGCCGAAGUGGGGCUUGAUGCGGAGGAAGGCCUCGCACACGACGAUAAACGCCGAGAUGUUGAGGACGAAAUUUGGGGCUAGAUCGUGAAAAUGUAGCCCAUAGUAAAACAUGAGCCCACGUACGAAUGGGUGGAGUGGAAACCCCAGUCUGCAGACGAAAUGAGAGAGGAACACUACUCUCUCUUGAGGCUUGGGUGUGGGAGUAAUUUGCCCCUUCGCCGGAAGCCUGUGCGUGAUGUUUGCGUCCAGGUAUCCGGCCGCCCGAAGCUUGGCAAUGUCCUCCUCUGUAACGGAGGAGGCCAUCCACUUGCCUCCCGCUCCGGACAUGUUGCGAAUGGUCCUACGGAGAAGGUGAGAACUUGGGCGCUGGGGCUCAAGGGUGCGAGAAUGGAUGAGCAAAGGAGGAAGAAGGCAUGGGUGAAAAUGGGGGAUCCUUAUACCUUUAUAAAGGCGGUGAAAACUGUGCGCCUCCCCGCUUGCCAGUCAAAAUCACUCAUUUUCCAGGCGCCACGAUUGAUGGUGCGGUUGGGUUACCCAUACCCGUAUUGAUGAGAAUCCCGUGAUAAGGGGACACGAUCUCUGCUUCGACAAGACGUGCAAAGGAAACCACCUCGCAAUAUGUGCGGUGGCUGGUUGUGAGAAAACGGUUCGAAUAAUGACCGGACCAUGGCGUGAUGUCAUUCAACAGAAGUUGUUAGUAGAUUUGAUUUGUCGAACAUUGUGCUCUCUACGGUGGUAUGUGGAAAAAAAAUUGCAGAGCCGGACACGAUCCUUGUGUUCGGAAUCUUCUACGGAGUAUUCGGAUAUGGAAACCGCCUUGCAAUGCCGAAGAAAAUCUGCGUGUCGGACUCAUCGUCAUUGAAGCCUGGUUCAGGGGCUACUGAGGGAGACCUGGAUUAGGAGCUAUUCGGACAGCCGGACUAUAUACUUUGGCCGGACUGUUGGACUAUGAAGAUACAAGAUUGAAGACUUCGUCCCGUGUCUGGAUGGGACUCUCCUUUGCGUGGAAGGCAAGCUUGGUGAUUCGGAUGUUAGAUCUCCUUCUCUGUAACCGACUCUGUGUAACCCUAGCCUCCUCCGGUGUCUAUAUAAACCGGAGGGUUUUAGUCCGUAGGACAAGAACAAUCAUAAUCAUAGGCUAGCUUCUAUGGUUUAGCCUCUACGAUCUCGUGGUAGAUCAACUCUUGUAAUACUCAUAUCAUCAAGAUCAAUCAAGCAGGAAGUAGGGUAUUACCUCCAUCGAGAGGGCCGAACCUGGGUGAACAUCGUGUCCCUAGCCUCCUGUUACCAUUAGCCUUAGACGCACAGUACGGGACCCCCCUACCCGAGAUCCACCGGUUUUGACACCGACAAUCAUCACUUCAUCAACCCACGCCGGGGACUUCGGCAUCACUCUGCCGGCCUGCAUUGGCUGAGCCAUGUCACUACCUCGGAAUGCCGAACUCCUUGCCCGGGCACCUCAGGCUUGGAGGCUGGGACCUCAGCCAUACCGAGGACUGUGAACCUUGUCGGAUCUGUCACGGAUCAAUGGGCAUCUUCGUCCCGCCACAAGCCCGAAUGGCGUCAUCAACAUCGAGCACAUUAAUCAGCUAAGUUGCUUUCAUGCUCAAAAACUUUGUUCGGUUCGACCAAGCAUUAUACUUUUUGGCAAAAAGUUGUUUGUGACAAAAUUCCUUGUCAAAACUUUGUUUGUGACACACAAAUUCAAAUACCCCAUUUAUUUGGGGGCUUCCUUUAUAAAGACUCUCCUCUUGCAUAUGAUUAUACUUGUAUGGCUUCGUUCCUUGUUCGUGUAUUACACCACAAUAUGCACCAUGUUGACUUAAUUAUUCCGCAAGCUGGAUUGCCUUGCUCCAGUAUUUACCCCUACGUUUCUGAUUGUUCGGCUAGGGAGUAAAGGGAGCACCUCUGCGAUUGUCACGAUCGGGUCAUCCGAGCUCGGACCUCAGACUGGGUGAAGCCGAAAGCUAGCGCUCUUAUUGUUUUCAAUCAUGGUCGGCACAUAACGGAACUCAUGUGUACAAAAAAUCUAUUGCACAAGUCUCAUAGUAACAAUGAGCAACCGAAAAAAGGUAUCGGUGGGGGUACUAUUUUCUUCGAAGAUGCUUCUUAAACUUCGUCAGUAAUAUAGCAUAAGUUCCCUGAGCGUGCUUUGUCUGUUACAGCCUUAUGGCCUGAUUGUCUGGUUAUCGGAAACACCAUCGAUAUUCUCUACAUGUGGGGUACAUAACACUUUUCAGCCCUUGACCGAAGAGGGAGAAGUUGAUGGUCAGUUAAGACGCAUUUAAAGUUCAGGUGAAUACAAAUAUGAUAUAAGUACUUCGGUACAUACAAUAAUCAUUAUACAUAAAAUUCUUUUACCCAAGUCACUUGGGGGUUCUUAAAAUUUAUAUGAGCUGUUUUAUAGUAAAUGUGUUUUCUUCUGGGUUGUUGCAAAGUCUUUUUCUACCGCUCCUUUUUCGACUCGAGUGUAUGGUCAAUAGACAGAUAGCCUGUCUUCUCUCUAAAAGCCGCUCGAGUUUAGUUCGCUAAACUGACCUCGGAGAAGUACUCCGCCUUUGGGAUAAGGAACUUGAAGCCGUAGGCUGACCUGCGUGAAGUCUUGAGAUCGGAUAUGUCAUGUUAAAGCACGACAAAAGCACAAUUUUUUUCCAAUUUUGGAUUGGCACCGAACACUUGAUCUUGUUCGGACAUCAACUUUUUACUGACGUUUUUUGGUUUUCCAAGCUUAUGGCACUUUUAAACUAUUUGUGUGUUUCCAGCAUAAGUCUCGCAGUGCAACAACGGACACCUUUAGAGAUUCGUCAAAAACAUUCUCGGAUAUUUCUAUAUAUGCAUCGGUUUGAAAUUGUGUCUUCGGUCAAUAGUUGGGUUGCCUGGCUCCUCUGCUUGCCUCCUAGGUUCCGCUUUGUUCGGCUAGGUGUGCAAAGGGAGAACCACUGCGAUUGUGCUUCCAGCUCGCAUGGUUAAGCACCUCAGUGGAGAAAGCCGAAAACUGACUGUCACAAUAAGAGUAAACUGGUCAGCGAUCCGAUGACUAUGUUAAAUGACGGGCCAUUCAUAAUAUUGGCCGAAGUGUUUACGGCUUGAGCUCGGCUGUCGCCAAACACUAACCGGAGGCUCGUAGUUAGCUUCCCCAGUUUAAAGCUCCUAUGACUACGUGAAAGUUAUAAAGCCCGCAUAUCUGAUUGCCUCAUUUCCACUAACACAACCGCCUUCGGGCACCGAGACGUUGGCUAAGGGUUGCCUUGUUAUUGCGGAAACACCCUGCGUAGUAUCUACAAAGAGGUAGAAGCCGACGAUGGGCCACUUUCAACUGAUAAACGGUCGCAACGGAGUCAAAAUAAACAUAUCAUCGGCAUUUGUAUUUAUUAUACAAGGGCCGCCUUCCAUAAUCAUCGUUAUAAAGCCAUAAAUAUGCAUCAAUUUGACUUAAGAUUUUUGCCAAGCUGGGUUGCCUGGCUCCUGUGCUUACCCCUACGUUCCCGAUUGUUUGGCUAGGCGGUAAAGGGAGCACCUCUGUGAUUGUUACUACCGGGUCAUCCGAGUUAGUACCUCAGACUGGGUGAAGCCGAAAGGGAGCAAUCUUAAAAGAUCAUAUUGGUCGGCAACAACGACAGAUUUUGGUUCAUUAAUACCAUAGAGUUCGGGAACUUUCCCCGAACUAAAUCCUCAAUAUUUUCCUCCCACAUUGAUCGGAGGUGAGGUUUCAUGAUCAUGAUAAGCAUGACGACCCAAAGAAAGGAACCGAUAGCGGGACUAUUUUCCUUGAAAGAUGUUUCUUACAUUAAGUAAUAUAACAUAUCUCUCCACGUAACUUUGUUUAUAAAACCGUAUGACCAGAUUGCCUUGUUUCUCAUAAAUCUUUGCUCUCAUGAAUGCUUUAUAAAUAAGGACAAACACUCCCCGGCUGCUGGCCGAGGAGGUGGAAGCCGAUGGUCGGUCAACAAAGUUUUAUAUAAUGCGGACCCAAGCAUUAAUGAUGUAAAAUACUUGGAUACAUAGGAUCCUAAAUUGCCAGUAAAGUCGAUUUAUUGCAGCUCAUCUUUUAAAGACCAAGCGAGCAACUUACAUAAAUCUCUCCUAAAUCCCAAGUGGCAUCGAUUUCCUAUCUAUUAAGCCCCUUGGGGCCAACCUUGGCUAGCCCAGCUUUCGCUGGCUCUAGCUCCUUUAAGAGAUCUUUAUUCUCUUUUCGAGAAGUUUGUGUUAAACACAACAAAAUUUUCUGUCACACGAAUAUCGAUCCUUAAUUCAGCCACCUAUGCCCAUAUUAAGGCUCGGGGGCUACUGGGCUUCACGCUCAUUAUUUAUUUAGAUAUAUUAAAACUGAUCACCUUUCCAACCAUCUCAGGCCAUUAGCAUUCUUGGCCGUCGGAUCUUCAAUUCUAAGCUUUUUUGGCCGUCUAAUCAAACUCUUGAGCACUACUUCUGGCCGCUGGACCGGGCAGCUACUCUGAUAACUAAAUUGAAGGCAUGCAGUUAAUUGGCAGCUACUCCAGCGGGUGUUUAGCGAGGCAUUAAAGAUGCAUCAAUGGCGCAUGUGGGCGAUUGGAGCUGAUCAGGGGCACAUCGAUCCCUUGAUCUAGUGUUGCCACCCCACCAGUGUCUCGGGGGCUACUACGUUGCCUGUUCAAUGCAGAAAAUUCAAAGUGCUUAGUGUUCGGCUUGACCGAACUAUGGGCAAACGCGUCUUCGGACAACAAUAGGUACCAUCUGGACCUAUAUGGCGUCAAGCUAACAUAUUGCGGCAACUUCUCAAGACCCUCUCUCAAGGGCCCGUUCGCCGAUCACUAUUAUCUCUAAUAAUAUUACACUGCGUUUCUAUUCCUACGUAUGCUGCCGAGCUAGGAGUUAAUUCUCAGGCCGAUUUUGCAAAUCGACCUGAGUCUCAGGGGCUACCAGGAUCAACAGUUUUAUGUUUUCCUUCACGUGCACCUCGGGUUUAGACCGACACACACCUUGAGGGCUACCAGAUAUACAUAUACUGGCUAUAUACCUCGACAGAGAGUAAAUUGUACCAAUCAAAAAUAUAAACAAAAAUCGGCCCGCGGUCGGAGUGGUGCACCACCUCGGAAGCAGUCCGGCAUAAAGCUCGGGCUCCAGUGGCUGGCUCCAUAGAGGACAUUUCCGGCAUUAAGCUCGGCUGAAUUUGUUCAAUAUUUUAAAAGACCGAGGUAGUUUACGACACCUCAGACGCUGACCAUCGUUGGAGCUCAGAAGUGGUCCGGCUUAAAGCCCGGAUUCGAAUGGCUCGUUCCAUAGAGAACUUUUCAGCGUUAAACUCGGAUAACCUCCCUCAAACUUUUUCAAGCCAAGGUGAUCUAUGACACCUUGGAUAUAGUCCGGCGUUGGAGCUCGGAUAUAGUCCGGCGUUGGUGCUUGGCUGCAAAAGAUAUCUCAAAUGCAGUCCUGCGUUGGAGCUCGGAUGCAAGAGGACACUGCCGCACGGGAACAACUUCAAACCCGAGGUGUGGCGUAAAAAAUAAUCCUAAGGAAUUGAUAAAGGCCGAGAACUUAAAGGGGCUCCUCGGAUACCCGAUGUGUAAACCCUUCGGAUUCAUUUCGGCAAUCCUCAAGAUCAAAGACGAGAAGAUUUAUUGAACCAGUUUUCAACACCGACGACCGAAGAUUAAGAACAGUUUGAAAGGAUGGAGGAGCGUCCCCCACUUCAAGACCAGUUCAGGGGGCUACUGACGGUGUCCUGGACUAGGGGGUACUCAUCACAUCGUCUCCGGACCAGGUGGAUCGGGCCGAGGACCCCCAUGGCGGUUCACUCAUGGGCCACUUCGGGCAGCCCAUGUCGCAUACAAGGAGUAUUCCACAAGACUUAGUGAUCAAGACAAGGACUCCUCUCCACCAGCGUAUUCGGCUAGGACUGUUGUCAUCCUAGGCCUCUGGUGCAUUAUAUAAGCCAAGGCCAUGCUAGUCGAUAGAUCAUUAUGACAAUCAUACAAGAUAGACUUCUAGGGUUUAGCCAUUACGAUCUCGUGGUAGAUCAACUCUUGUAAUACUCAUAUUCAUCAAGAUCAAUCAAGAAGGAAGUAGGGUAUUACCUCCAUCGAGAGGGCCCGAACCUGGGUAAACAUCGUGUCCCCUGUCUCCUGUUACCAUCGACCUUUGACGCACAGUUCAGGACCCCCUACCCGAGAUCCGCCGGUUUUGACACAGACAGUUGCUAACCUUUGCGAACUUGGAUGGAUGGGGUGCCUUGAAAUCUUGACAAAUUUUGGUAAAAAUGGAGGUGAGCUUGAGAAAGAGGGGAAGAAAACAGAGAUGAGGGAAAAAACAGAGCGCUUCGGCUCGGGCUAGACAAAGCACUAUAUAUAGUGAUCUCUUUAGUCUCGGUUGAUUAUACAAACCGGACUAAAGGUGCACCUCUAGUCCUGGUUUGUGACACGAACCGGGACUAAAAGUGUUCGUGGGGCCCCAGCCUGACACCAGCCUGCCACCACCCCUUUAGUCCCUGUUCGUGUCAUGAACUGGUACUAGAGGUUCAACAUGAACCGGAACUAAUGAUGCCCACCCCACUAGCCGUUGGAACCGACACUAAUGGUCACAUUAGUACCGGUCCGUUUCCAAACCAGAAUUAAUGGGGCUCACGUAAAGUCAUUUUUCUACUUGUCUUGCUCCAUAUGUAGUCACUUGUUGAAAUCUCUAGAAAGACAAAUGUUUAGGAACAGAGGGAGUAGAAGCCGUCGGCCAAGGAGGGCCGAGCUCGAUCUCCCUUGGCCGGCGCGGUACCUACUUUGUGCUGGCGCUCCAUUUUCCCUUUUCGCGUGCGUCGAACGGCGACAAUGAAGAGGUAAGCCAAUUUAGCCGACUGCUGAGGGUCAUGUCUCCGAAUUUAUGGAGGGGUCAUGGCUUCGCGUGUGUUGGCCUCUGGAUAUCGGUCUCGAAUUCAUCACACGGAUGAAUGUCCAGACCAUCCAAACACCGGCAUUCGGGGCAAACAACGCCAAUGCCAAAUUCUUACUCAGAAUGUCAACAUCCAAAUGGCGCCUAAGGGUUUUUCUAGAUAUUUAGCAUAUAUAAUUCGUUCAAACUUUUUGAACUGCAAGUUCAUGAAAAUGCUCAAAAAUGGGCUGACAAUGUUAUUUGUGUUAAUGAAUCUAUGUUUAGACCUUAUCCAAUAUAAAUAAAAGACACCCAGACAUCAGGGUGCGAAAACACGACCCCAAACAUUGAGCUUAUUAGUUUUUUAAUUCCAGAAAAUGCAAAUAAAAUGUGAAAAAUAUGAAAACUGGCAUGGUGUCAUGAUAUGAUCCCUAGAUGUCGUAGUAAAAAUUUGAGUAGUUUUCACAGAAGUUAUGACAUACACUUCUUGGAAAUUGAAAAUCUCUCAGGAAGAAUCAUGGUUUUGAAAAGAAAUUGAUCGGGUUUGAAGGCAAAGUGUUAGUUGCUUUAUCAUUGGACCUUGAAACUUUUUCUACACUCAACAUACACCACCAUAUGCUACAUGCCGUAAUUUGGCAUUUUCAGGGUUUGUUUAUUUAAGUUAUUAAGUGAUUUUCUAGAAAAUCAAUGGAUAUAAUUCAAAUUUAAACUGCAAGUACAUGAAAAUGUUGCUAAAAAUGGGUUGAAAAAUUCUAUUUGUGUUAAUGAGUUUACUUUUAGACCUGAUCCAAUAAAAAGAAAAGGCAUCCCAAACAUCAUGCUGCCAAAACUCGACCCUAGACAUUGAGCUUGGCAUGGAGAAGAUCCUAAAGGUGGUGCUCCAUGAUUGUUUACAUGCACUCUCCAUUCUUACUAUCCUACUAUUCUGAAUGAUCUCUCGAAACAGGCUUGCAUACACUUUUAUUAAUAAAGCCACACUCUCCAUUCCUACUCUUCCGAUUGAUAUCUCCCUUUUGUCGUUUUUUUUGGAAAAAAGGUUUAAACCCUAUCUCUACAUCAAUCAAUGCAUACACCCAUCUUUAUUAAUUAUUCAACAAAGUUUUGACAAAAACAUGCAUCAAGCCACUUGAAGCCACCACUCACACCUAUAUCAAUGCCACCGGAAGCCAUCACUCUCACUCCCCAUAUCUAAAAUCGGUGUCGUCGCCGAUCCAUCCGCACAAUGUAUCGGAACGAAUAGCCGAUGCAGAAAACCUAAAGCGUACACCACUGCACACAUUUUAGAAGCCGCAAUUAUUAUCGAACCGCUGACUCAUCUUCAGAAAAGAGACCCGCAUCAUCCUUGCCAGUCCGGCCCUUCAUCUAUGCCACCACGGCGCCGAACAGCACCACCUCCGUACAAGCAAACUGCUGAGCACGUUGUGCUCGCCGUCGGUACACUGCAACACCAUGCUGCCAAGUACCACAGUCCCACACAGCUUGAAGUCUCUCGAAGAUCUCGUGCGUAUCACCUGCCGAACAGGCAUGACACGACGUAGCACCUAUUGCCAAGGAAUGACUUGACAUCUCCACUGAAGCUCCGUGCACGACGAAAUCGCUCCACCUCCUGCCUCUGUCUUCCAGGGCUACUCCACAAACGAUGCUCCCAAGAGAGAAACGACACCGUAGUGUCGCCAUCGUCCGAUUUGAAAGACCAGAUCCUAGGGUUUUCCCUUGAGCACCACGAGUGGGUCGACAUUAGUUACACGACGAUGCCUUCAUCAAGGUAACAACGUAGAACGCCGCCAUCACCCGCCGUCGGCUUGGUUUUCACCGGAAAGUAUGUCUCCCCGAUUCACAGCCGAGACUACAUGACGGGUCUCGUGAUCCGACCACCCAGCCUCAAGCCGACCACCUCCGACGGAAGAGACGACCAUCACCGCCAAGCCUAGGGUCGCUACCCCAGGUGCGCGUGAUGCAGAUCAAGACCAGGAGCGCCAGUCGCCACCUGCCGCCCGGAGAUUCGAUUUGCCAGCCGCCACCGUGCCACAUGAGACACGCAAACAAGGCAGAGAUCCACCACCGCCUUCGGCCACUGCCGCCGAAAGGGAAGCAGUAUACUCCGACCUGCGCCACUUGCCGGCCAGAUCCGGCCGCUGCCUCGAGCACGCCCCUCCCACCACGCACUACUAGGAAAAGGCCUACUAAUGGCGCACCAGUUUUGCCUACUAAUAGCGCAUCACUGGUGCGCCAUUACUAGCACGCCAUUAGUAAUUUUUACUAAUGGCGCACCACUGAUGCGCCAUUAGUAUCUGGUAUACUAAUGGCGCACCACUGGUGCGCCAUUAGUAUAGGCCACAGUGCUCCAUUAGUAUAGGCCACUGGUGCGCCAUUAGUAUAGGCCACGGUGCGCCAUUAGUAUUUUUGAAUUUUGAAGGCGGGAAAAUAGAAGUGGCGCACCAUCUAACCCCCACCGUGCGCCAUUGCUAUUUUUGAAUUUUGAAUUUGGAUCUGGAUCGUGAUUUUUUUGCCCAUUUUUUGCUAGUUUUUUUGCUCGUUUUUUGGCAUGAUAUUAUUUCAAAUUUUGUUCCUGUUUUUGGAUCUUGUACGUUCUUUUGCCGUGUUCUUUUGCCGGAGAGGAGUUCGCCGGAGAGGAGGAGGAGGAGGUGACCGGAGAGGCGCUCGCCUACAUCGCCAGAGAGGAGGAGGAGGUCGCCGGAGAGGAGUUCACCGAAGCAUCGGAGAGGAGGAAGGAGAAACCAUGAGGGAAUGGGAGGAGAGGAGGGAGGAGGAGCUCACCGGAGAGGAGGGAGGAGAAACCAUGAGGGGAGGGNNNNNNNNNNNNNNNNNNNNNNNNNNNNNNNNNNNNNNNNNNNNNNNNNNNNNNNNNNNNNNNNNNNNNNNNNNNNNNNNNNNNNNNNNNNNNNNNNNNNNNNNNNNNNNNNNNNNNNNNNNNNNNNNNNNNNNNNNNNNNNNNNNNNNNNNNNNNNNNNNNNNNNNNNNNNNNNNNNNNNNGGAGAAGGAGUGGAGGAGAGGAGAGGAGGAGAUGGAGUGGAGGAGAGGAGAGGAGGAGAUGGAGUGGAGGAGGUGCGCCCAGCCAUAUAUACGACAUAGUAAUGGCGCACCGUGGGCAGGUGCGCCAUUACAAACUUUUUUUUAUUUUUUUGACUUAUUUUAUAUUUUGAAGGCGGGAAGAUACUAAUGGCGCACCAUGGGCCGGUGCGCCAUUAGUAACUUUUUUUUUUGUUUUUUGACUUAUUUUGAAUUUUGAAGGCGGGAAGAUACUAAUGGCGCACCAUGGGCAGGUGCGCCAUUAGUAACUUUUUUUUAUUUUUUUGACUUAUUUUAAAUUUUGAAGGCGGGAAGAUACUAAUGGCGCACCAUGGGCAGGUGCGCCAUUAGUGAGUUUGAAUUUUUUUUUGAAUUUUUUUGCCUCUCCAGAUCUUAAAAGCCCUGUAUCUUUUUUUCUGUUAGGUUUUUGAGGAUUUUGAAAAUGUUUAACGGGGUUCCCCCAGUUAAAUUCGGAUGUAAUUUUUCGAGUAGAUGAUUUUUCAUAUAAAAAACUUUUUCAUCCGAGUUAGUAUGCAAAAGUUAUGCUCAUUUUUAUAAAUUCUCGAGAGAUUUUGCAAAUGAUGUCGAAAUUCAUAUUUGCAAAUUUUCCCAACAACUAGACCACAUAUCACAUGGNNNNNNNNNNNNNNNNNNNNNNNNNNNNNNNNNNNNNNNNNNNNNNNNNNNNNNNNNNNNNNNNNNNNNNNNNNNNNNNNNNNNNNNNNNNNNNNNNNNNNNNNNNNNNNNNNNNNNNNNNNNNNNNNNNNNNNNNNNNNNNNNNNNNNNNNNNNNNNNNNNNNNNNNNNNNNNNNNNNNNNNNNNNNNNNNNNNNNNNNNNNNNNNNNNNNNNNNNNNNNNNNNNNNNNNNNNNNNNNNNNNNNNNNNNNNNNNNNNNNNNNNNNNNNNNNNNNNNNNNNNNNNNNNNNNNNNNNNNNNNNNNNNNNNNNNNNNNNNNNNNNNNNNNNNNNNNNNNNNNNNNNNNNNNNNNNNNNNNNNNNNNNNNNNNNNNNNNNNNNNNNNNNNNNNNNNNNNNNNNNNNNNNNNNNNNNNNNNNNNNNNNNNNNNNNNNNNNNNNNNNNNNNNNNNNNNNNNNNNNNNNNNNNNNNNNNNNNNNNNNNNNNNNNNNNNNNNNNNNNNNNNNNNNNNNNNNNNNNNNNNNNNNNNNNNNNNNNNNNNNNNNNNNNNNNNNNNNNNNNNNNNNNNNNNNNNNNNNNNNNNNNNNNNNNNNNNNNNNNNNNNNNNNNNNNNNNNNNNNNNNNNNNNNNNNNNNNNNNNNNNNNNNNNNNNNNNNNNNNNNNNNNNNNNNNNNNNNNNNNNNNNNNNNNNNNNNNNNNNNNNNNNNNNNNNNNNNNNNNNNNNNNNNNNNNNNNNNNNNNNNNNNNNNNNNNNNNNNNNNNNNNNNNNNNNNNNNNNNNNNNNNNNNNNNNNNNNNNNNNNNNNNNNNNNNNNNNNNNNNNNNNNNNNNNNNNNNNNNNNNNNNNNNNNNNNNNNNNNNNNNNNNNNNNNNNNNNNNNNNNNNNNNNNNNNNNNNNNNNNNNNNNNNNNNNNNNNNNNCGAGGGUCCAAUGUAGGUUGAGGUUGAGACGCAAAUAGUUGGGAGAUCGGUUUUUUCUAUGAUUUACUUCCAAAUGAUAUGGUCGUAACUGGUCAUAUACAUGUCUAUGAGUUGAGCUCCAUAUGUCCAAGUUUUAUGUCUUUCCAUAAACAACGCUCCUCUGUUCUAAUAUACUUUACCUUAUAGACCGUUAUGAUGUUGCAAGAAACCCGAAUGCUGAAACUAAUGUAUGGCAUCAGCUUGGCGUACUUGGUACCACCCAGGAUUUAUAUCAGACUUUUCGGUGCCAGCUAUCAAGGGUAUCAAUAGGUGCUGAUCAAUGUUGUGUUGUGUUGCUAUUGGGCUCCCUUUCUUUAAAGUAUUGCCCUUUUUUAAUACAUCUAUAAUUAACUCGUCUGGUUUCUGUAGUUGUUCUUAAUUUUCAAAUUAUGAGCUUUUCAUUUGUAUGAGUGAUAAUUAGAAGAUUAUUGAGGUCUAUUAUGGCCUUACCAAACAUCAAAUUAAUCACCAUUAGUUGUAUGCCCAUGCUUUGCCGCCGAAAAACAAGGAGACGUGUAAAUUUGAAAAAUUUAUUGAAAGGUCAUACAUACAUUGCAUAAAUGUGUAGCUUCCCCGACUACAUUGUCCUCUUUCCUGCCCCCUCUCUGGCAACCAUCACAUGUUAAGUAACAUGAUUGUAUUAGGAAACAUAGAUUAGACCAGGAAUUAUUCUGGCUUGCCUUGUACUCCAAGUAGAUUAUGUACUCCUAUAUAUAUGCCCACGAGGCUCAAGCAAUACAAAGGACUAUUCCACCAAUCCUCUCUCUCCUCUUCUAACAUGGUAUCUAUCGCAAGUCGAUCCUAAACCCUAGCCGCCACCGCUUCUGCACCUGCCCGCCGCCCCCGGGGCGGUCGGCCUCCAUGACCGCCGCCGGGGGCCGCGCCGCCCGUACCUAGGGUUCGUCCGCGGGUCGUGUUGACCGGCUGCCCUAGAGAGUCUUUUUCCCGAGCCCUUGCUCCAGAUUUUUUUCGCUCUCUCGCCGGUCGUUUUGAUCGGCGUUUUUCUUUUUGGUUUUCCGAUCUAUGCUUGAUCGGUAUGCGUCGCCCGCCGCCGCCGUCGACACCGAGCGCCUCUACUUCGACCCCGGCGCGACCAGCCGGCCUCUCCUCCGACCAGGCAGCCACGCGCGACGAGGUGGCCCGUCAGGACCAGCCGUCGUGCGGGCGUCGGUCCACCCGUCGCCCUGCGCCGGCUGUCACCGCCCUGCUUCGACCGGGACACCUGCAUCGCCCCGACCCGGUGGCCACGCGCCACGCGAUGGCCAAUCAUGCAUAGUCGUCGCUCGCGUGCCGGUCCGCCCAUCGAUCCACAUCACCCGCCUUCGCCGCUCUGCACGGCGGCCCGGCGGUCUACCUCGCCGGCCUCGUCCUCGGCUGCGUCAGGCUUGUCGGCUGCCCUCAACUCGGGCACCGCUGCUCCGUUGGUCGCUCGGGCCUUGCUGCUCGGGCGCCGGUGUUGCUUUGGCAGCCCGGGUGCCGGUGCUGACAAGCUCGUCCGCACGACGUCUCACGCCGUCUGUCGUCACCGAUUUCAUCUCGGACUCCGCCGCCACCACGCCUCCACCGGGCGGCGUCCCCGACCUCGCGCGCGAUCGGCUUGAUCACCCGCUCGCCGCCGCGAUCCGCCUCCUCUACGCCGCGCAACCGACCUAGCCCAUUGGUGACGCGCGCCUCCGCAGGUCCCGUGAAGAUCGUCCUGAGUACCGCGCGCCUCUCCACCGAUCGAGUAUCGGGCUGCCGCUGCGUCGCCCCGUCGGGCCGCAGCGCCGCCGCCCCGUGGUUCUCCUCGUGGCUGCAUCGACUUGUGUGUCGCUGAUGCGUCGCCCCUUCGGGCCAUAGUGCCGCGAUACGCGGUCCCCGCCGCCGCCCCGAGGCCAUCCCCGCGGUUGCACCGACUCGCGAAUCGCCGUUGCGUCGCCCCUUCGGGCCGCAGCAUCGCGGCCCACGGUCCCUGCCGCCGCCCCGAGGUCUUCCCGCCGUCGCCCCGACCCGCCUGCCGUCGCUGCGUCGCCCCUUCGGGCCGUAGCGCUGUGGCCCGCGGUCCACUCCGCCAUCACCGCGCGUCGACCUCCCGUGGUAUGCGCCGCGCCUUCUCCCUUGGCGCGGGAACGCCACCGUCCGCGCCGGUCUUUGUCACGCUGUCAGGGUUCUUCACCUACUUCGAGCACCGCCGCCGCACUCCUAACCUAGCCGCUGCCACCGUCAGGCCGCCGCCGCCGCUCUUCUUUGGCCACUGCCGCCGCUACCUUAGUAGCCGCCGUCGCCGCCCGUCCACCCCCUUCGUCUUCGUCCAAGCACCAGCCUGUCGCCAGCGUCGCCGUCAUCUACGCCGACCACUUUGUCUACUCCGACCACCGUUGGUGCCAUCGGCCCCGCGCCGAAGGACGCCGCAAUCGUCGUCGAGUUCUUCUCUGUUGGCCCCUCCGACUUCUUCGACAUGGCGUAUAGCUCGUGCAGGUCCCUCGUCUACGCAUGCCCGAUGCUGACAACACCGAUGCGUGCCUUCAUCCACGACGUGUCCCCGGGCCUGGCAAGCAUGGUCGGCGCUUCGUCAACUUCGUCUUCAUCCGUCUACGCAUGCCCGGUGCUGGCAACAUCGAUGCGUGCCUUCGUCCAUGAUGUGUCCCGGGCUUGGCAAACCCGCUGCGAUGCGUCGUCAACAACAUUUUCUUCCCGGUGCACCCCUACUCCGACACCACUGCGCCCAUGCUAAUCAGGCGCCCCCUUGCACCCGCGGCUCCACGGCGACUUCCUCGACACCGGCUACCCCGACUCGACAUCAACCACGGCAUUCUUCACACGGCUACCUCGACCACGGCUUCACCACCCACGCUCUCGGCUACAUCGACAAACGGCACAAAGGGCUACCGUCUGCUUGAGCAUCCUCGUCCGUUUUCACUCCAGCCACGACUCCGCGAUCCAUCGACCGUUACGACUGUGGGGGGUGUCCGUCGGCUUGCCUUCGAAUUAUUCUCCAGUCUCACCGUCUGCGUCACUACCGUUGUGACUGCGGGGGGGAUGUUGAGUAACGUGAUUGUAUUAGGAAACAUAGGUUAGACUAGGAAUUAUUCUGGCUUGCCUUGUACUCCAAGUAAAACAUGUACUCCUAUAUAUAUGCCCACUGAGGCUCAAACAAUACAAGGGACUAUUGCACCAAUCCUCUCUCUCCUUUUCAACAUCACACACCUCUUUAUUUCCCAUUCUCCUUUCCAUGUGUUCCUCUAUUCUCAUCCUGACCCCUUCUCCUCCAUCUCUGCUCGCCCCUUAACCUUAUCUUUGUGUGUUAGGCUUCACCGUUGUCUUCUCAACUCUGAUAAAUCCAAGUGAAUACUUGGAAACCCAUAGCUUUUGUCUCAAGAGGCUGACACAAUGUAUAAAACCCAUCACCUCGAUGUGGAUAAUGAAGGAGACAACUAAGACGGCAGCCACCACAUGCCACCAUCGUCUCUAGUUCCAUAUUUGUGGACACGUCCCGUUGUCCGCUUUGUCGAAGUCUCCGCCUCUGACUCACUCGAGGGUAAUAUCUCACGGCCGGUAUGCUCACGUGCAAGAGAACAUCUUAGUGUGGAUUUUUUUCGAAAAGGAGGAUGACCCCUGCCUCUGCAUCUGAGAGAUGCAUACAACCAUUUUAUUGAUUAUUCUCGAGGACCUUACAAAGUAUAACAACAAUAUGCCUGAAACCGCCAUCUUGACAGCAUCUGCCGCUACACCUAUCCAAAUAAUGAAGGGGUACAAGCUGGACCACAUACCCAUACCUCUCACUAAGCCUAACAUCUAAAGCCGGAGGCCCGACCGAGCCAUCUGCCGGGUCCGGGGCUCAAACCGGUCUGACGCACUCACAUGUGUUGUCGCCGCCAUCUUCCACUAGUCCAUCUUCAGAGCAGAUUGAGGUAACAACCUUGGCAGGUCCUCCGCCAUCAACGCCACCAUGACGCCAAACGACGACCUUCACCUACGCGAGCCUUGGCAGGUCCUCCUCCAUUGACACCACCACGACGCCAACCGACGACCUCCACCUACGCGAGUCCAUCUCCAAGCAACGGACGUAAAUCCAUGCUAGGAAAGGGCCACACCACCGCCGUCACCCACCACCCACAAGUGCCACCCAACCCCAAGGUUCCCAAAGCAGUGCCUUCAAGAAGGCAAUGGCGCCGUGAGCGCCGCCUGCGCCCAACAGAGUUAGGGCUUUAGCCUGGGAGACCUAGGGGAAGGUGAAAUGAGGAGAUCAGUCCAUGCCGACGCCUCCAAGGAGGGAAACGGCGCCCUCAGGCAUCGCCAUCGGCGCGGCCGGUCAUGGCCGGCCAGGAAUUUCGCCCGAACUAGAUUUCCGCCACCAGCAGCACCUCUUGUGCAAAACCGGCGAACAAGAGGAAGCGCGGCCCGACCAAGCUGGCCCGCAUGCCGAAUAGGGGAGGAAGGGAGGCGCCAGAUCGCGCACACCGACCGCCGCAGAAGCCGCCGCCGACCACCAACGACUACCAGAUCCCGCCGCCAGCGCGGCCGGGACACCGGAUCCACCACCCGCAUAGCUGUUAGCCGGGCGUGCCUUGCCAAUGGAGCCGCUGCUCCAGAUCCGGCGUUCCCCACAUGUGAACAGGGCAACUGAGGCCCCACCGACACCAUCGUUGGCGCCCCAAACUUGCCCGACGGCUGCCUCAGGUGGCGGUGAGGGAGGAAGGAGGGGAUGGGUGGGGAGGAGGAGGCGGCUAGGGUUCCUUAGUGUGGAUCCUACACUUGUAUGUCAAAUACUCCCUCCAUUACAUACUAGUUUCGCUCAAAAGGAGUCCUAAUCCUACUACUACUAUAGGUGCAUAAUCAGAAUCUGACUAGGAUACACCACUACACGUCAUGUUUAUUCCUACAUUCACCCUCUAAACAUGACGUCCUCGGUGCGACUAGAUCCCAAAUACGAUGACUACUACUCAUAGGCGUCACCGUCGGCACUGCCUUCAUCGUUCCUCGCAACAUUUUAGGGACCAACUUUACUGCCGAUAGCUCAUCCAUUGCUUGACGGCAACACUCUCCUUUGAUCACAUUUUCAAACUUCACCUGUUCUUCGGUGCUUGAUAGACUGUCUUUCCUAUCUUCGAGCGUGACCAAACUUCGGUCUAACUUUGAGUUCCAAGCUCUUGGCGCUUGCUUCAGCCCGUAAAGUGCCUUCUUGAGCUUGUAAACUUUCCCUUGUUUGCCUUUCUUCUCGUAGAAGAGGGGUUGUUCCAGGUACAAUUCUUCUAUGAGCUCACCAUUGAGAAAAGCGGAUUUAACAUCCAUAUGAUGAACUUUCCAAUCCUUUUGUGCUGCCAAAGCUACGAGCACUCUCACCGUCUCAAUUCGAGCAACUGGUGCAAACACCUCCUCAUAGUCAACUCCUUGACGUUGUACGUAGCCCUUUGCAACGAGUCUUGCCUUGUACUUCACAUAAACUCUCUGCCGCGAUCUGUUCGUAGAGCGCGAACCUUCACCUUGUGUUCCAUCUCCGUUGCAGCCUUUAGCUUCUUGAACGCUUCAAAUGCCUCAUCUUUAGAUCGUAGGAGAACAACCCACAGGUAUCUUGAGUAGUCAUCUACUACAAGGAAGAAGUACUUCUUUCCUCCGUGAGUUGCUGGGGUGAUAGCUAGGACCACAUAGAUCGCCAUGGAUCAGCUCGAGUGCAUCACUUGCACGCUAGGUAGACUGAACAGGGAACGGCCGGCGGUGUUGUUUUCCAAUCAAGCACCCGUCACAUACUCGAUAAACAUGGUCAAUAAACGGCAUCCCAGAUACCAUCUCCAUCUUUGACAUCUUAAAGGCGUAGAAGUUAACGUGUCCAAAUCUAGCAUGUCAUAACCAUGAAUCAUCAUCACUCUUGGCGAGCCAACACUCCGGUUGAGAUUGAUCAAGGUUGAGGAUAUAAAGCCUGUUCCGCGUGCGAUUCACACGGGCUAGCACGUUUCAGAGGUUGUCAAAGAUCGUCAUCACUCCGUUCUCAAUAUCCACGUUGCAUCCAUUCUCAUCAAAUUUCCCGACAAAGAUGAUGUUGUUGCGAAGUCAUGGGAUAUAGUACACUCCGAUGAGUAUGCGAUGUUCUCCCGUGAGACCCUCGAAGAGGACAGAAUCUUGCCUGCAAAUCUCCACAUUUGAAUCAUCACCGAACUUGACCGAGCCUUGAACAUCAUAUUCUAGCUCGAGGAAUUCUCCUUGCACCCUGUCAUAUGGUUACGGGCACCCGUGUCUAGAUACCACGACACAUUUUGGCUACCGGAUAACUUUGGUGUUACUUUUUUCUCAUGAAGUAGCACCUUCCGGGUUGGUUUCACAACCACCAUAUCAUAAACUUCGGCCAUUAGAAGACCUGGACGUUCGUAUUCCUGCUUCGCCAAAUUUGCCUUGAUCUCCCGCUUGUUAGGCUCCGGAUAAUCCUUCGCAAAGUGACCCAUCUCAAAGCAGUUAUAGCACUUGAGCUCGGACAUAUCCAAGUUGCGUGGCUUCCGCUCUUUAGACCGGUCCGCCUUACCACGACCUUGUGGCUUGCCUUUUCCUUUGCCUUUUCCGGUUUGUCCGCCGCUCUUCGCGUUGCUUGAUCCUUCGCCAACGUUGUGCCUUCCUUUGCUACUUGGAGACCCCUAAUCUGCGACGAGUAGAUGAGUUGGUCACUACCUCCUCCUUUGCCUUUCUGACAACCAUGAUCAUUCUAUUCCCAUGUCCGCAAGCAUCCGAUCGCCUCCGUUAUGGUCAUGUCGUCGAUGUCGUAAAGCUGAUCGAGCGUGCCGAUCAUGUACGUGAAUUUAUCAGUCACCAAACUAAAAAACUUCUCCACAAUCUCGGCCUCCUCGAGCUUUGCACCGAGCGCGCGGAUCUCUCCCACCAAAGUAGUCAGACACAUGGCAUAGUCAUUCACCAAUUCAGUUUCCUCCAUCUGCAACUUGUGAAAUUGACGCUUCAGCACUUGUGCCCGAACCUUCGUGACGUGAUCUUGUCCCCUCAUCCCAUUGAUUGCGUUCCGCACCUCUCUUUCUGUCUCGAACUCCGCCAAUGUCAUCAGCACGGAAUCCGGCACAGGCUGAGCUAUGGCGGCCAUGGCACCAUCGUCACACUCCUUGUUGACGUCGUCGUCCGUGAUGGCCUCCCACACUUAAAGGGUUCGGAGAAUAAUCUUCAUCUUUACCGUUCACACGCCGUAGUUGGCGUCUGUAAGCAUCGGACUGGAUGGGGAUGUUGUGAUGAGCCAGUACGUUGGCGUCGCCGGCUCCGCCACUACUGGUUGCUGACUUGCCUCCCUUCUUAACCUUGUCGCCGUUCUUAUUCGCUUUGGAACCACCGUUGUCGGACUUGACCGACUCAGCAUGGCUGUCCCCAUCAUAGAUCGUAGAUCGUCAAGGCUCUAGAUACUAAUUGUUGGCUUCUGAACUGUAGUUCAACUCACCCGGGAACUACACGUACGACGUGCAAAGCUAGCUAGCUAGAAACCAAGCAGGAAAGCUGCUGGAUCGCGUCUAGCCGGCGACUUGCGUCUACGUAUGCCAUGCCAUAGCUUCUGUACGUGAGUGAGCUAGCGAUCAAUUCACGGCGGCGGAACUCGUGUGUAACGUGGCGAUGGGUGGAAAACACAGAUCGGUAUGAUGGCCAAAGGCUCGUAUCGAGCCUUGCUCUUACUUUGUAUUUCGUUGCUCUUUUUCGUUGGUGAUUACAGGUGCUAUAUGUGAGUAUAUACUACUCACUCCGUUUCAAAAUAAAUGUUUUGAGCUUAGUACAAUUUUGUAUUAGAGCUAGCACAAAGUUAAGACACGUAUUUUGGGACGGAGGGAGUACUAUUAUAGGUGCCUAAUCAGAGUCUGACGAGGAUACACCACUACACGUCAUGUUUAUUCCUACAACAAUUGGCGUGCUGUAUGCUAAAAAAAAACCAAUUGGCGUGCUGCACGUCUGAUCCGUAAUGGAUUGGAUACUUGACAAGGACCCGAGUGACGGUGACUGCGGGUCUGGCCUGAUCUCCGCCACCCCUGAACGCCGACGGGGAGCACGCCAUCGCCAUGAAGUGGACGGCAGCCCUCCGCUCGCCGCCUGUCUACACCGGCUGACGUGUUUUUGGGCACCCCGCACGGAUGGGGUCUGUACAAUCUGCUGAUCAAAGUACAGUAUGAUGCAUGCAUGGACGUGUCCAAAACUAUACCGGUCACUUGAAUUCUGAUGAAUAUAUGCUGUAAUUAUCUCAGAACAAGUGAAUUGCCGGAUGAAUUCUAUUUAGUUCAACUCUGCAACUGGUAGCAACUGACCGAUUCCCGUAAAAUAUUGGCCACAUCUUUUCUAACCUUCACCGUAGAUCUGUGCUUACCCAAGGCAAUCUCCUCUUAUCUUUUUUUCUCGAAUACGCACGAGUGUGCGUACUAUAUUAUAAAGAAGGGAUCGGGGUAAAGAGCCCGUCCACGUUAGUGUUACAGAUUACAUAUUUACACUGAACACUAACUCCACACUCCACCUAUCUCUCCUAAGUCUACGUACUCUCCCCUGCCCACUCCUCCACCUCGGCAAAGAAGGCGUCCAUGUCUCCUCACAGUAUGCCCGCUUGUUUCCAUAUACGGCCCUCUCGGAUGACUGCCUGGAUGAUCCGGUUCUUCGAGGGUGUGGCUCCGUCAAAGACGAUCGAGUUGCGAUGCUUCCAAAUCUGCCAUAGUCCUAGAAUGAUGAUUGCGUUAGCAUCCCUCUCAGCAGGCCUUCUUCCUCCCUUGUCUUGACACCACGCCCCGAGGUUUUCCCUUGCAGAAGGUAUCCACUCCGGCCUUCGCAAAGGGUGACAGAUCGCCGUCCACACUUCCCGUGCGACAACACACUCAAGGAGGACGUGAUUUAUGCUCUCCUCUUCUUGGCUGCACAUAGGGCAGUACUUUUGAUGGUCCAGUCCACGCCUAGCUAGCCGGUCGGAUGUCCAGCACCUGUCCUGGAUUGCAAGCCACGUGAAGAAACGGCAUGGCGCCGGUGCCCUUGAUUUCCAAGUGAAAGCGGCCGUGGGAACGACCUGCCUGCCCCAGAACUUGGCCGCAUAGGCGCUCCGCACUGAGAAACAUCUGCUAGCCUCCCAUGUCCAAGAGAUGGCAUCAUUUUGUGCUGGGUCCAGCUCAACUCGUUGGAUCAUCGUCCACAAUUGCAGGUAUUCACGCAACGAUUCAGCAGUGACCUCUGGGCUCACCUGGGUGACCCAGUUGUCGUUCAGGAGCGCCUGGGAGACGGUGCAUGUCCUUCUUAUUUUCCUCUUGACUCGCUCGCAGGCCAAGGGUGCGAUCUCUCCGAUCCUGUGGCCUUCAAGCCAUCUAUCUUCCCAAAAGAGCGCCGUAUUUCCAUCCCCUAGGGUCCAGCGAGCAGCCGCGUUGAAUAUCUGUGUUGAGGUUUUUGGCACCGUGAUGUCAAACUCCGCCCAUGGCCUUGUUGCAUCCGAUCGCUGUAACCAGGGCCAUCUUGCUUGCACCGCCUUGUUCAUCCAUCCUAGGUUGGGGAUGCCUAGUCCACCUGCCCACUUCGGGGCGCAGACCGAAUCCCAAGCGACCGCGCAGCUGCCACCGGACGAAUUCGCCUCCGCGCACCAAAGAAAACUGCGUCAUAUUCUGUUCAUUGCUGAGAUUGUCUUCUACGGGAGGCCAAGUGCCAUUAUCGCAUGUAGCGGUAUUGCACACAGCACGGACUGUACAAGGAGCAUUCUUCCACUCUUUGGCAUCUUCGCAGCUUUCCACUUUGGCAACGCCAUGGCAAGUUGAUCCACAAGGCCUGAUAGUUGAACAUGGGACUAUUUUCUGAGGGUGAGCGGCAAUCCAAGGUACUUGCACGGGAAGCUACCUCUCGGACAUCUCCUCUUAUCUUAUUUAAUGGUAACGGACUAGAGUCAAACGAAUUACAAUUUCCAAUUAUGCUAUAGGCUAUAGCAUUGCCCUAGGUUUAGGGUAGAAUAAUAGACUAGAGUCUAUCGAAUUUCAGUCGGCACACAACAACAAAAACCAAGUUCCAAUUUCUGUCAGGCUUGUGUAACCAUUAGAUAUGUGAAUAAAAGUACAACAUGAGCUAUCAUUAUUUUUAACUGCACGAUGUACUAUGUUAGAGGGCAAUCUUGAAUUUGUAGUGAACGGUUUGUUUUAGAAAACCAGGCACAGAAGGUCACAUGCACGCACAUGCACUUACUUCUAUGAACACACAUACAUGUACACCCUAUAAGCAUAUCCGAGAGAGCGUGUCGGCGAGUCUUGUGAUUGAUUGAGUCACCAUAGGAGCCUCGCUAUCGAUUGAAAGAAUAUUUGGUCUCAAAUGAGACUCACAUGUAUGGAACUUGAGGUAUGAUCCGUGAUGGGCUUGACUACAACUACCAUCCUAACUAUUGAACCACCCGUUGGUUCUCAAUUUACAUUACACAGAUGAAUGGUAAUUAACUUGUAGUACUAUUGCAACGAACAGGUUCCUCGCAUAGAAAUAGGGUACACAAGAAUACAAUCACACACAAAAAGAUCUAUUCCAUCCCCUCCGGUAAUGGCGGAUAGGUUGAAGCUUUGUCCCCUCCAUGCUACGCAACGAGAGACCGCGCACUUGCCUCCCAUCUGUCUGGCGCUCCAGUGCCCGGCGGCGGCGAGGGGAGUCUUAGUGAUUCUUUGGGCAGUAGUUUAGGAUAGGUUUCUUAGUCAUCAUAGGGACGACACCUUGGUAAGUGGCCACACUUCAUCUUCGAACUGGUUUUUCAUGUUUCGAUCCUCCUCGAGUUCGUCCGUCGAGACCGAAUCCAGCGCUCUGACGUAGAUUCCUACUAUCUCCUUGUGGCGGUGAGGUUAGGGUUUAUCACUGUGCAUCCAAGAUGGUAAGAUUUGGUGUUAGGCGAUUCAGAUCAAUUUCAACAGUUCAAUGACAACGACAAUAACUCUGAAGCGUUGGCCUUAGGGCUAAGUGCUCGAAGACUUCCUAGUUGUGGUCGACAAGAUUAAGUCAGCUCCAGUAAAGGAGCAGCGACUGCGAUGCGUCGACAACUCUUUCUUGCGGCGGUAGUGAUUUUUCAAUGGCCUUGGGAUCUCGAUGUAAUCUACUAUAUCACUAUGCUCUCUAGGGGUAAAAGGCCUCACAAUCAAUUGAGGUGUCCAAUUGGAAUUGGAUCACCCAAUUUCAACCAAGUCAAUAAUUCUCAAAGCUCUCAUUAAAUUCUGUUAUACUAUACACUAUGCUUCCUGAUUUUUGAGUCAUCACAAUUAACUGAGGUCUUCAAUUUAGAACUUGGUCACCUGAUUUUGACCGGGUCAAUAAUUUCUCAAGGAGCUCUCCCAUUUAAUUAUUUUAUUUCACCAUAUUUCCUAAUUUUGAAGCUCUUUUAUUCGAUUGAGAUAUUCAAUUUUGAAUUUGGUUUACAAUUUUGGUCGGACCAACGAUUUUUCAAAUCAAUCAACACCAAUCGGCUAGAAAAACAUAUCAACCCCGUGCACCCUCUUACCACAUAGAAAAAAGAGACGCCGCCAUAUGAUGAUACGGUAGCACCAAUAUAGUACAUGUAGGCACCGACGCAAAAAUAUACCCACAAAAGUAUGAGUUGAUUACUACAUAACACAGAAUCACACCAUGAAAGACCCACAAAUAACCGCAUUAUAAAUAAAUAUAAAACACACUCCAUCAUCUUCCCCAUCCGCCAAAUUAAAUAUUCCAUCAGUUCCAAAAUACAAGAGGUAUUAGUUCUUUGGAAAGUCAAAUUUCUUUAACUUUGACCAAGUUUAGAGCCAAAAAUAUCGACAUCCACAAUAUUAAGCCAAUUUCUUUUGAAAAUUCAUUUCAUGAUGAAUCUAAUAACUCUAAUUUGAUAUUACGAAUUUUGAUAUAUAUUUUCAUACAUGUGAUCAAACUUAAAAAGGUUGGACUUUUCAAAAAAGUAAUACACCUUAUAUUUUAAAACAGAAUGAAUGACUUUUUAAAAGAUUCCCAACAACACCAAUGGUGCAGCAAAGCGUGCCCAACCCUUCUAGUUCCCAUUAUGUUUUGGACACUUCAUUCUUCUGGUGAACCUUUAUAAUAGAUCCGGGUCCCUUUCACAACAAAAGAAAAAGAAAAUUGAACAUGCUCUUCAAUGAUCUUAACCUUAUGUAGUUUCGGUGUCCCAAUUUGAUUGCUAGAAAAAUAAGUUUUUAUAUCUUUAUUUCAUGCCCAACCAGGCACCACAUAUUAUUUGGUAAUUUAUUAUAGCGCUGUGGCAUUUUCCCAGAAUUUUCCUAUUAGUUGAUGGAACUAGUCGGCGUAAGAAAAGACGACGUAGUCCUUGCGUGCACCAGCCCUGUCACAAUCCGCCAUCUCUUCCGAGCCUAUCCACAUCACCCACAUCAUGUAGGUUGGCGUACAUGAGAUGCCACACGAGCGCCACAGUGCAUCGUAUCUUUUGAUGCCCGCAUAAUAAAAUAUUUCCAGUAUUCUUUGUGUUCCCUCUUUCUCUAUGCAAUGGAACUGUGGCCGCACGGGAUCACUGAGCUAGCCAUAUGUGACAAGAGCCGUAUCUGUGCUUGCAUAAGAGCUAGUCCAGUAGUCGCCAUAGCAGCCCCGCAUAUGCAUACAGAGCAUUUCAUAUGCAUUAUGGAGGCCGUUCAGACAAGACGAAAGUCAGUCUUUUACAAGGGCUGCAUUCGUAUUGUAGGACCUCUAGUCAGUGGCAUGUUCUUUUUUCCUCCAAUCUUCAAUACACAUUUAGUUAAAUGAAUAACAUGUUAAAUCCGAGCACGACGGCGAGGGCUUGGAUGACCACGGGCACGAAGGUGAGGGCGAGGACGAUUCUGUUGGGUAUUGAUUUCGGUGGCGAUAGUGGCAACUUGAUUCCAGCAGUGGUGACUCGAUUCCGACGGUGAUACUCAAACUGUGGAUGCCUGUCAUAAUGCUUUUCACAAUUUCAAGCAUCGCCAUUGAUUUCACGAAUUCACAGCUAGAGCACACAUACAUAGCACAUGAUGACAAACUGCUCGUCCACAUGCACAGAUCCACCCAAUGAUAAAAAUUAUACUAAACAUUUUGGGGACACAUAAGAAAACAAUUAAUGAAAUCGUUGUAUGUCCCAUGAAAUUGUGAGUAUAAGUUUUGACAUCGCUUCACGGUGAUCCCACUCAUACCCGAGAUCAUCACCAGUCUGUCGGCGUGAUAGUGGAGGUUGUGGAUGGCUAGAAGGAAAGUGUAGGCUACGGGCGCCGAGAAGGCAAGUGGAACUUGUGGAUCUUUUCAUAGCUGCGUCUCACACCACCCUGAAGACCAAGGCGGAUCGGCUGUUCAGAGUCUUCACCAAUUUGACCAGGGCCAAGAAGCUACUCCCUCCAUUUUUAUAUAUAAGGUCACUGUCAGAAUUACAAUUUUCAGCUAUAUUAGGUCACUAACAGUAAUCGAGACAAAAUUGAUGGUGUUUGUCUCGUACUAGCAACCAAGGGCAAUAAUAUCCCUUGCAUGCAUGUAGGAAUAAGAAGUUUGGUUUGAAUGCGCUGCAUUAAUCAACCAAUGAGGAGUGAGAUGGUUGUCUUGUUGUGAGUUGAACAGAAAAAUACACAUUAAUUGAUACACCAAAAAAGGAGGAAAGCUAGAUUUCAACAAUGGAUAAAACCGACAUUAAUGUUUACCUUAGUACCUGUAAUAUGAGUUUGCGGCGUUGUAUACAAAAAUGGAAGAAAUAUUAUAGUUGGACCAGCUAGUAACCUUCGGCCUGAAGGAAGCCAUUAAGACAGACGAGAAACUAAGGUCCUGUUUGGUCCAUAAGUCCUAGGAUUUUUUUGAGUCUCAACUAAAAAGUCGCUAGUCCCUAAAAAGUUCCUAUCUGUUUGGUUUCUAGGACUAAACAUAGACUAAAAGACCAUGUUACAACUAAAAAUCCCAAAAAGACUCUUCCUCAGGGUCUUCUUUCAUAAGUUCCAAAUGCCCAUUCUAAGUCCCUAUAAAUCCCUUAUGCUUGGUUUAGAUGGGACUAAAAGGGACUUUUUCAAGUCCCUACAUCAAUAAGUCCAUGUAAACAAACACCCCCUAAGGAGGCGACAGGACGGAGAUCCAGACGGUGAUGCGUGAGCUCGAGAAAAGGGACGAUCUACUCAAGAGUGAAGAGCGCGAAGGAGGUGAUGCAGGACAUGUUCUCAGUCCUUUGGCCCAACGAGCUACGAGCAUCUUUGCCCUUGUCAGCACAAUGAAGCAGGGGCAGUGAGGUUGGGAUUUUUCGUUCCGCAUGCAAGACGAAAAGAUUGCGAUGAUUACAUGCCGUCAACAGCUCGCUCUUGUGACUAUAGUGGUCGUUCAGUGGUUCAAGGAUCUGAUUAUAAUUCUUCAUUAUGGUGAUGUUGAACAUGUAUAUAUGUAUGUAGGUCCGGGUUUUGUAUGAUGCAUCUGUAGUGUCUCUCUCCCCCUUAAUCUACUUGUAUCUUGGAAGACAAGACACCGGUCGCACCCCUUGUACUUAUAUAUGUGCUUAGUGCACGAUCAAUGAGAAUAUCGAUGCACACAAUCCCUCUUUCCCAAACUUACAUGGUUUCAGAUACCGUAUCGAUCCUUUCUUAAUCGCUUCCGCAACCCUAGCCGCCACCAUCUGCUGUUGCCGCCGCUACCACCUCCCCAUGCCCUGCCCCCCUUCCCGCAGCCGCGCCCUCCACCAGCCAUCGUGCCGCCGCCACCCCUUCUCCAACCCUAGCCGCCACCUCCACCCUAGCCGCCUCCCCUUCCCUCGCGCGUCGCCACCAUGUCCAUCGCCUCAUCUACCUCCAACCCCUUUGCCAGUCCAGACCCCGCCGACAUUCGCGACAUCAACAUCCAUGACCGCGUUCUUGUGAUCCUCGAUGCCACCAACUCCACGUACUACACGUGGAAGACCUAUUUCUCGCUCCUUUUCCAUGAGAACAAUCUCGUGGAUCAUGUCGACAGCACCGUCGACUCUCGCGCCAUGGUGAACGACUCCAAGAGGACUGCGAUCGACGCUACGGUCAUUCGGUGGUUCUUCACCACCAUCUUCAAGGACCUGUUUCACACGGUCGUGACUGAUGGGGUUGAUGCACGCGCCAUGUUGGUCAAGCUCAACGGCCUCUUCACCCGACAACAAGCUUCAACGUCGCGUCUUUCUGCAGCAGGAAUUUUUGACUAUGAUCAGGAUGAAUAGUCCAUUGAUGACUAUUGCCGCCGCCUCAAGACGUUGUCGGAUGAGCUCCGUGACAUCGGCGCCAGGAUUGAUGACGACCACCUUCAAAGCACGCUCACCGCCAGCCUCAACGAGGACUUCGGCAACGCCGCCGCCAACCUCACCUUGAUGUCGGAGCCCUCCUUCCCCAAGUUUGUGGCAUACUUGCGGUUGGAGGAGCACCGGAUGAAGGGGGUGACGAAGCGCGUGCAGCACCACGCCCUCACCGCCGGCACCUAUCAUGGCACCCCACCACCACCCGCGUCGUGGCAGCAAACGCAGCCCCCCGCACCCCAGGGGUAUUACCCCCUCCCGCCCGCGCCCCCCACUCCUCUCGCUGCUCCCUAACAGCGGCCUCAAGGCGGCGGGCGGCCCGGCAACCGCCGCCACGGCGGGCGCAAGCAGCAGGAGCAGGCGCACGGGGGUGGCCAGGAGUACGGGGGGCACCUCAUCAGCAAUAGCCCUCCCCGUCGUGGACUUAUGGCACCAACCCGUGGACAGGAGUUGUCCACGCAUACUCGAUGCCAGUGCCCCGGCCCCCCGCCCCGGGCAUCCUUGGGCCCCGUCCGGCGAGGCACCAGGCAAAUCUUGCCGCGCCCUACGCCGCCCCCCUACCCGGCCCUCCCUGCAUCGCCGACCACGGGUGGCUAUGGUGCCGCUCCAGAGCCACCUUAUGGCAGGUUCUACCCUCCCCUGGUGCAGCCGCCGUGGGAUCCCGCCCUCCUCGCCGCCUUGCACUCGGCUCCGCCACCUAGCAACUACGGUGGCGGCGGUGACUGGUACAUGGAGUCGGGCGCCACUGCUCAUAUGACAUUUCAUCCCGAUAACCUUACGUCUUCCACUCCCAUUCAUACUCCCACUCGCAUCACCGUUGGUAACGGUUCCUCUUUACCCAUUACACAUGGCGGGUCAUAUGUCGUUUCCAUCUACUUCUACUCCUAUUAACAUAUCUAAUAUUCUUGUCUCUCCUGACUUAGUCACAAACCUUGUAUCUGUUCAUCGCCUUGCUCGUGAGAAUCCUAUUACUGUCGAAUUUGAUGAUGUUGGCUUCUCUGUGAAGGACGCCCGUACACGGAUGGUACUCCACUGAUGUGAUAGCCCCGAUGAGCUCUACCCGGUGCAUCCCUCUGCCACCACCGCCACCCGUCCAGCCGCCCUCACCGCUAGCAUCGACCUUUGGCACACUCAUCUCGGUCAUCCCAACUCCUCGGUUUUGUGUCAUAUUCUUCAGAGUUUUUCCUUCUCAUGUAAUAAGGUUGACAACCACACUUGUGCGGCAUGCCGUCUCGGUAAGCAUGUUCAUCUUCUGUUAGCGAGUCUACACACAUUUCCACUUUUUCGUUUCAAUUAUUGCAUAGUGAUGUUUGGACGUCCCCGGUUGCAAGCAACACGGGCUAUCUAUACUAUUAGGUGAUAUUCGAUGAUUUCUCUCAUUAUGCGUAGACGUUUCCUCUCCGUCGCAAGUCCGACGCCCUCACCAAACUCACCAUCUUUUAUUCAUGCGUAGACAGUUUGGUCGUCCUAUCCUUACACUACAAACUAACAACAUAAAAGAGUUUGACAACGUCGCCGUCGGUAAUCUCCUCACUUCUCAUGGCACCAUCUUUCGCCUCACUUGUCCUUACACGUUCUAGCAAAAUGGUCGCGAUGAGCGCCUCAUUCGCACUCUUAAUGACUGUGUCCGCACGUUUCUCUUCCACUCCAACGUGCCCCCUCGGUUCUUGCCACUGCCAGCCUCCUCAUUAACAUCCGCCCGGGCCGCCCUCGCUGGAACUAUGCUCCCCACCAGCUCCUCUUUGGUGCGGCCCCAUCUUAUGAUGGCCUUCGCAUCUUCGGGUGCCUUUGUUAUCCUAGCACCGCAUCCACCACUCCUCACAAACUCGCUCCCCGGUCGCUCCCUUGCAUCUUUCUCGGUUAACCGCCCAACACCAAAGGUUACCGGUGCUAUGAUCCAGUGUCCCACCGCAUUUAUACAUCGUGGCACGUGUACUUUGAUGAGCUGGUGUUCCCUUUUCAGCAGGUACCGUCCCUCCCCAUGCAGCCUUCAACGCGUCCCGCGGCGCAGCUUGCCCCCGCCACCACCUACGACGGGUCGUCCCCUUCGUCGAGAAGUGCCCUGGCCCAGGCCCGUCCCGCGCACCCCGCACCCUCUAGCCUGGCCGGCCCUUCCAGAGGCCCCGCAGACAUGGCGGGUUUAGCCGCCCCCUCCAGCGGCGCCUCAGGUGAGGCCCUCUCCACGGACGCCCCUGCCGCCAUGGUCUCCGGUGCCCCCUUGGGUUCUCCCGCCACCGCAGUAUCUGACUCGGUCCCGCCGGGCGCUGCCGCAGAUCUCUCAGCAUCAUUGGAGACCGGCUCGCCCUCCUCAUCGCCGAUCUCCACUUCAGCUCCGCCGACGACGACUGCACCCCUCACCGGUUUGGUCACUCGGGCUCGGACCGGGACGUUUCGUCCUAGCACGCGCUACACCUCCGACGAGUACGCAUGUGUCGCGUCUUCCUCGACCCCGUCUCCGCUACCCACCUCGGCUCGCGCAGCCCUUCGGGAUCCGAACUGGCUUGCUGCGAUGCGUGAGGAGUUUGAUGCCCUACAGCGUAACCGUACGUGGCAGCUUGUACCGUGGCCUCACCGUGCCAAUGUUAUCACUAGCAAGUGGGUUUUCCGCCACAAGACUCGCCCCAACGGUUCCCUCGAGCGCUAUAAGGCACGUUGGGUGGUGCGCGACUUCCGACAGCACGCUGGUGUGGACUUCACGACACCUUCGCCCCGGUUGUCAAACUGGGCACGAUUCACGCCGUUCUCCAGCUGGCUGUCUCUCGCGCCUGGCCAGUUCUCUAGCUCGACGUGUCCAAUGCCUUCUUGCAUGGUCACCUCGAUGAGAAGGUGUUUUAUUAGCAGCCCACUGGCUUCGUCGACAUCGCCUAUCCGGACCACGUGUGCUUGCUCUCCCGUUCUUUUUACGGGUUGAAGCAGGCACCUCGGGCCUGGUACCAAUGUAUUGCGGCCUUCCUCCAGCAGCAGGGGUUCUAGUCCACAUGGUCUGAUAUCUCCCUGUUUGUUUAUCAUGAGGGCGCCGCUAUCGUGUGCCUUCUCCUGUACGUCGACGACACCAUCCUGACUGUGUCCUCGCUAGCGUUACUUCAGCAGAUAACCGCUCGCCUUGGCACCAAAUUUGCCCUCAAGGACUUGGGGGCUCUCCACUACUUCCUCAGCAUCGAGGUCGUUCGCCGUGCCACUGGCUUCUUUCUGCAUCAGCAGAAGUACGCCUACGAGCUUCUGGAGCAAACGGGCAUGCUUAAUUGCAAGCCUGCUUCCACGCCUGUCGAUACGAAGGCUAAGGUGUCCGCCGUCGAGGGAUCCCUGGCGUCCGACGCUCCCUUCUACCGCUCCAUCAUCGGUGCUCUUCAGUAUCUCACGCUAACGCGGACGAAUAUUAAGUAUGCUGUUCAGCAGGUGUUGCUUCACAUGCAUGCCCCUCGUGACACCCAUUGGGCUCUAGUGAAAUGUAUCCCCCGGUACAUACGUGGCGCCAUGGCUAUGGGUCUCACCCUGACGGCGUCCUCUGACACCGGCCUCGUCGCCUACUCCGACGCCGACUGGGCUGGGUGCCCCGAAACACAGCGCUCCACCUCCGGCUACUCUAUCUACCUCAGGCCCUCUCCGAUCUCGUGGUCAUCUAAACGACAACCCACGGUUUCAAAAUCGAGCGCCAAGGCUGAGUACAGGGCUAUGGCUAAGGCCGUCGCGGAGUGCUCCCGGCUCCGACAGCUACUUCAGGAGAUGCUAUGUGAGGUUCCCAAGGCCGCGAUUGUCUACUAUGACAACUCUCCGCGGUCUACCUCUCUGCCAACCCUGUUCAUCAUCGCCGAACGAAGCAUAUUGAGCUCGACAUCCAAUUCGUCCGGGAGCACGUCGCACUUGGUCGUGUUUGAGUUUUGCAUGUGCCCACUGAUCAGCAGUUCACGGUUCGCAGAUGUCAUGACGAAGGGACUACCUACCUCGACUUUCAAGGGCUUUCGGUCCAGUCUUUGCGUCACCGGCGACGCUUCGACUGCGGGGAGGGGGGUGUUGAACAUGUAUGUACGUAUGUAGGUUCGGGUUUUGUAUGCUGCACCUGUUGUGUUUCUCUUCCCCUGUAUCUACUUGUAUCUUGGGAGACAAGACACCGAUCGCCCCCUUGUACCUAUAUAUGUGCCUAGUGCACGAUCAAUGAGAAUAUCGAUGCACACAAUCCCUCUCCCCAAAAUUUACAGUUGAAAUGCUUCGUACUUUUGGUGGAAGCUUAUAAUGAAUCAUGUCCUUUUCGCGAAAUAAAUAAAUAAACUAAACAUGUUCCUAUGUCUUUAUUGUUUCGUCGUCUCACUUGGUUUUGCUAGAAAAAUACUGAGUUUCUAUGUCUUUAUUUCAUGCCCAACCAGACGCAUUAUUUGGUAAUCAAUAAUAGUGAUGCGGCAUUUUUCUACAAUAUCUCCUAGAAUCGGAUAGAAGUAGUCGGUGUAAGAAAAGUCGAUGUAGUCCUUGCAUGAUACUAGGCCGGUCACAAUCCGCCCUCUCUUCCGAGAUUAUCCACGUCAUCUAGAUUGGUGUACAUGAUACAUUGAGAUGCAAUUAUCACUAUGGGUGCGGCUAAUCUGCAUCCGGGCUCAUCUGCACCCACGCUUAGAAAAAAAUUCAAAAAAAAUACCGAAAAAAUUCAAAAAAUUCCAAACUUUUUUGUGGUGGUAGAUAAUUUUACGUGUGAGGUGCGCCCCGAAAUUCAACUCAUUUGAGCAUCUGAGCAGCUCUCGGUAAAAAAGACAAAAUCAGGGUCUGUAAAAAUGUGUAUUGUUCACGCACUGUUUUGACCCCGAUUUGUCUUUUUUGCCGAGAGCUGCUCAGAUGUCCAAAUAAGUUGAAUUUUGGGGCGCACCUCACGCGUCAAAUUAUCUACCACCACAAAAAAGUUUGGAAUUUUUUGAAUUUUUUUAGUUUUUUUUUGAAUUUUUUACUGAGAGGGAGCAGAUGAGCCCGGGCAUCGUUUUGAGUUUUUCUUAUCGCUAUAGUGCAUUCUAUCUUUUGACGUCUGCAUAAUAAAAUCAUCCCAGUAUUCUUUGUGUUCCUCUUUUUCUGUGCCAUGGAACUGUGGCCGCACGGGAUCACUGUAUUUCACUGAGAACACGCAUAUCUGUCCAGAACUUGCAUAGGGAAAAUCUCCCCUCUCAAUUAGCUAGCUUGAGCCAGCAUCAUGUCCACGACAAGGAUUGAUGGACUAUGGCCGAGCUGUCCACGUCAAAGGCACGGGAGUUGAGCAGUACGAGUUGCUAGUUGGGAAAUAUCUGAGUGCACUCGUGCUUGUGAUGCUGCCGGUGCACCGGCUCUCCAUAGCACAUUUUAAAAUGUGAAAAAAAUGGAAACAAUUAAGCACAUCCAAACAACAUCACUAUUUGAUGUCGUAAAUUUUUAAAUCAAAAUUAUCAUUUCUUGAGAUAAAGAAAUGUCAACUUUAACACUAAAUAGUAUAUAAGUUGGGCUUUAGAUUUGAUCCAUUAUCACAUUGAUGUUAAAUUUAUCAUUUCUGUAUCUCGAGUAAUGUUUCUAAUUUUGAUUUGAAAUUUUGUGACAACAAAUAUGGAUGUUCUGGACGGUGAGGUUAGGGUUUCUUGGUGUGCAUUCAAGACGACAAGAUUUCGGCGACUGCAUGGCGUCGGCAACUCGUUCUUGCAGCGGUACUGGUCGUCCAAUGUUCCAGGGAUCUCGAUGUAAUUCUUAAUUAAGCUGGGAUGUUUUUGUACUUCUCGUGAACAUUUAUAAUGGAUCCAAGUCCUUUUCACACAAAUAAAUAAGUAAAGUAAACAUUUUGCUCAGUGGUCUUGGCCUUAUAUUGUUACGUCGUCUUACUUGAUUUUGCUAGAAAAUACUAAGUUUCUAUGUCUGCAUUUCAUGCCCAACAAGACCCACAUAUUAUUUGGUAACUAGAACAGCAUAGUGGCAUUUUUCUACAAUAUUUCCUAAAAUCUAUAUCAGUAUAAAAAUACUCGAAGAGGCGUAUCCAAGUAAUUUCUUUCAUAAAUCCAUGAUAAUAGAAUUACCUAGAUUACUUCCAUGGUGAGCUCUCAACAUGUUUAGUAUGCAAUAAAUACAUAUAUCUAUAUCAAUACAAAUAUAAAAAGACUCAAAUGGGCGGAUCCAAGUAAUCUGAACCAUCAAGUCAGGUUAAUCCAACGACCUAUGCUGCUUCAAUGGUGAGCGCUUAACAUGUUUAGCAUGCAAUUAAUAUCAUACUGAAUAUCAAUAUUAGUGCUAGUCACAUAAUUAAGGCGUAAAUAAUAUCCUAUCAGUAUUUGCAUGCAACUAAUACGUGGUCUAAUAUCAACGUGCAUGACAUGUGCACAUUUAUUAGUAGUAUACAAAAUAUCAAUACCAACACCAAUCACAUAUUACCAUGCAAUCAAUAUCCUAUCUAGUACUACAAUUAAUACCUAAUCCAGUAUCAUCGUGCAAUUAUUAUUCUUUUAAAUAUCAGUGUGCAGGCAAGUACUCCGUCCGUUUCUUUUUAGUCUGCACAUAAGAUUUGGUUAAAGUUUGACUUAUUUUACGGAAAAAAAUAUCAACAUUUACAAUACUAGUGUUAUAUGUUAUGAAAAUUAAUUUUAUGAUACAUCUAAUAAUAUUGAUUUCAUAGUGUGAAUGUUAAUAUCUUUUUCUACAAAGCUAGUCAAACUUUACAAAGUUUGAUUUUGACCAAAUCUUAUAUGCAAACUAAAAAUAAACGGAGGGAGUACGCAUUUACUAGUCGGAUAGAAGUAGUGGGCAGAGAAAAGUCGACAUAGUCACAUUUUACCGUCUCUUUUGAGAUUAUCCACAUCAUCUAGAUUGGUGUGCAUUUAUUUUGCGAAUACGCAAAGCUUGUGUAUCCAUUCAUCGAUAGAAGAAGCUAAAAUGUUAAUGAAGGCAUGGUACAUCACAUGGCAAUACACUAUUAGGGAAAACCUUAUACACAAAACUUUAACAAUAGCGGAUCCUAAAAACAACGCUAGUGCUAAGUAGCAGUAGCACAUUGGUGUAAAGCGCAUUACCGAUAAAAUUGUAGCAGUAGCGCGCCUUCAGAUAACCGCGCUACUACAAAAAUUCCCACGGCUUAGCCGAUGGGCUACACAUAGUAGUAGCGAGCUGCGAAGAACCGCGCUACCGCUACAAGCUUUGUAGCAGCGCGUUUAGGCGGAAACGCGCUACUGAUAUAGGAAAUAAAAUUAAAUAGAAAGAAAAUAGAAAAGUAAAUGAAAAUGAAAAAAAUAGAAAAAGGAGAAAGGAAAAAUUAAAAUGUAAAGAAAAUUAAAUGAAAAAGGGGAAAAGAGAGAAAGGAAUAGCAGUAGCGCGUAUCCAGGAACGCGCAAUAGCUAGCUUAGCAGUAGCGCACUUUCUUGAACGCGCUACUGCUACUUCUAACUUAACCGCGCGAUUCUUUCUUCCCCACGGCCACUUCCCCCAAAUCGAAACUCCUCCGCUGUCGCCGUCGCCCGUUGGCCGCCGCGCGCUCUCCCGUCGCUCUCCGCACACCCUCGACGCCGCCCCCGCCCCCGAAUUCGACGCCGCCCUCGACCACGACCUCGACGCCGGCCCCGACCUCGAUGCCGCCCCCGACCCCGACGUCGACGCCGACCUCCGCCAUGCACCCGCGCCCCGACCACGACCUUGACACCGCCUGCCACUCCCUCGCCGCAGGCACCCGAGGUGAGCACGCCUGCUCCUCCCCCUCUCCUACCUCUGCCUAGGGUUCUUCAAAUUUUAAUUGCAUCAAAUUAGCUAGUUAGGGUUCAUCUAUGGGUGGAAACGAAUCGGAUGCGGAUAUUGCUUAAGUGUAUUAGUCAAUAGCUAUGUGACAUGAAGUAUUCAACUUGUGACAUACAAUAAGUCAAUGAUAAAUAGGUUUAUGAAUAAACAAUAUUGUAAUGCAUAAUAAUUUCUAAGAUCAAUCAUAAAACAAGUAAAAUUUAACCACUUAUUUGAAUUUUAAGUUGGAUAAUUGAAAUAUCCGAUCGAAUACGAAUAUAGGAUAUUUCAGAUUAUCCGCUACCACUUUUUACCCCUAGGUUCAUCAAAUUAGAUGGUAAUUAGAGUAGUUCCUAGGUACUAAUUAGUUAGUCAGAACUAGGUACUAAUUAGGUACUAGUUUGUUUUUAUUUAUAGUAAGUUUAUUUUAGUAAGAACUAGUUGAACAUGUCACUUUUGUUGUUAUUUUUUUAGUUAAAGCAAUUAUUCCCGUAUCGACGUCAACGAUGCCUAUCCCGCAUCCUCGUCAUCGACUCGGCGGAGGACACCUGCUUGAGCAGAUGGGCCAUGUCCGGGACUGGGCUCCGCCGGGCUGAUACUGGGAGGCGCUACCUAGCAGGGGGGCGCAACUUGAUGAGGAGUCAACCCGUCAUUGACCCGAACCUUUUUUGGUGACAGUCACGUGGGCCAGUGACGGUCUAGAGGCUUGAUGACCUCGCGGAGGUGGUGCGUCAUCGUGUCAGCGAGGAGGACACGCACGUCCAUCGCUACUUGGUUGUGUUGGAGCACAGGUUCUGCAAUACCUGGCAGGUUCUCCAGGGAUCACUAGAGCUUUGAUCCUAUGAUGGUUCCUUCUUUUUGGGUGUCCACCGCCCGCGCCGAUACCCGUCGUUCGCUAGGGUUUUAGUUGUAUUAGUGAUACUAUAGGUAUGAUAUUAUUCGGGAUGUUCCAGUGAUAAUAUUCGACGCAAGAGAUGAUUUACUUUUGCUAGUGAUAAUAUUCGACACAAGAUAUGAUUUACUUUUGCUUAUUGAAUGCAUGCUAAAUUGAAUACUUAUUUAUUUUACGAUUUGAUUUUGCUUAUUGAAUGCUCAUGUCAAUAUGAGUCCUAUAAGAUAUUUUGAAAUGUAUAUAUUGUGUUGCUCAAAUAGGAUAUGUGCUUGCCCAAGUGGUCGGUCAUGUUUGCAGGUUACACCUCCGAGUGGCCUAUGUUUUGCCGGAGUGUUGAUUCAUUUUCGUUCCGGCAAAUUUCAGGCGCUCGAUAUGUCCUAUUUUAGCAAAGUCAUGACGGAUUUUUUUCGUGAAUUUUGGCAUGACUUAUGCCAGAAUAUGUAGGAAAUAUCGAGUGCCCUGAAUUUGUGUGUUGAGUAUCCUGGUAGUUGUCUUCGAUCGAUUUUCAAUUAAUGUUUCAACUAUGAACAUAGGAAAUGUCUGACAACGAAAAUGAUUUCAGUAUUUGCAAAUACUGUGAAGACGAGCGCGACCUGUGCGACGGAAUCUUCCUAGAUGAUGAUAGGCGCUUCAGCAUCAAGCUGGACGAGAACUUCGAAGUGGAUACAGUAAGUCACAACGACAAGUCCUUUUUCGUAAUUAAGCAUGACAUCUGCUUCAUUUGCUUCAACUUAUAUUUUUUUUACUAUUCUACUAGCGUAUCCCCUGCCAUGCAAGAGCUUUUGUCUUGGAUAAAAUAGAUUUCAGUCGUAUGAAAACUACUAUGGAGGUAAAGAGAGUUUACUUGAAGAUCGAGUAUGGUUAUACUUUCCACGCAAAAUUAUACAACGCAGACACCUACACCUAUUUUGAAUGCAAAACUUGGCAAGCACUAUGCAAGGCCUAUGCAUUUGAGCCUGAUAUGGUUAUCACCUUUGAUAUUCGUCCGGAAGAUGAUAUUGAAGGUAAUACCGAUAUUUGGGUCGAUGUGCAGAUGCCUCCAGUUCUACCAUUAUGUGAGUGUUCCUCAACCAUAUUUAUGUCUUCGAUAUUGUUUAUUUCAAAAAUAGUUCACAACUAAUUUCUAUUGACAGCUUAUUUCCAUUCAAACAAACAUGUUCAGCGCUUGGUAGACAGGACCUACUACUGUCCCGGGGCUGAAAUAAACUGCUAGGAGAUAAGUCAUUAUGUUUCAUGGCUUGAGAAUCUCCAUACUGUCAAGACAAAUUAUUUUUCUGGACUUAAAAAUCUUAGUACUCAAAACGUGCAACCUAUAGUGUUCGUACCGAACUACGGUCACAUCUAUUUAGGAAAGAUGGUAAGAUUUUUACUAUUUGUCCUCGGUGCAUCUUUUGCAUACAUUAUUUUUUAAGCUAAACUUCAUUGCUAAGUAUGUUACUAUACGAUGUUCUUCAACAGGGACUCCCGAUGAAUGUUGUGCCUCAUUGGAUCGAGACUAAAGGUUGCAUGAGAAUUGUUAGCUUACGGCCAAGACAUCCUACAAUGCACUUUAGUGCAUUCAGGAUUCCUAAUAGCGAGGAAUGCUUAAUAGUGAAAGACUGGAGCAAAAUUGUGAACGAUCGCUGAGAAGUACUAGGGGCAGCAAUCAGAAGAGCAUCCCAUGAUUAGGAGACAGGUUCAUCUGCAUGCUCCAACAUGAUGAAGAAGGAGUGUGACACAUAUUUUAUGCUAUUUUACCUGAGAGAGAGCAGCAGGAGUGAUUAGCUAGCUAGAAAUGAGUUUGAAGAUGAUGAUGUGCUACACUAUGACUAUGAUGAUUAGAUAGCUAGUGUUGGUGGUAAUGACUGAUGAUUAUUAUUAGCUAGUGUUGGUGGUGAUUAGAUAGCUACCGUAGCUAGUGUUGGUGAUGAUUAGCUAGCUAGAAUGAGUUUGAAGAUGAUGAUGUGCUACACUAUGACUAUGAUGAUUAAAUAGCUACUGUUGGUGGUAAUGACUAUGAUGAUGAUUAAAUAGCUUGUGCUGGCAGAUUAGAUUCAAGUGGAGUCAACAUGUGGUGCACAUCGAAAUUACUACUAGUCCAAACUUGAUCAAGUUUGGAUUAGUAGUAUACUUUUGACAUGCACCACAUGUUGCCUCCACUUGAACCUAAUCCACCUUCAUUUGACACACUGUUAUGGACAUAAUGAUAUAAACCUCAUAAUUGGUAUUGUACCAAAAUUUGUAUAACGGCGUAUAAAUAUACUAAAAAUAAAAAAAUGAAAAAAAAAGAAUACUAGUAGCGGUUGACAGUAAACACGCUGCUACUAGCUAGAUUAGCAGUAGCCCGGUAGCGAACACAUGCAGCGGCUAUAUGUCUUAGCAGUAGCGCAUGUGGCACCCGCUACUGCUAAGUAAUAGCUGUAGCGCCUUACUAUUAGCGCGGUGUCCCGCGCUACAAGUGGGCAUUAAACUCGCGCUACUACUAGGGUUUUACCUAGUAGUGCAACCUCAAACUGGCAUAAAUAUAGUGCCCGAAGUAGAAAAAAUUGGGAUGCUCAGCUCAAACAGAAUUGAGUUAAUUGCAUGGAGAUACCACACUUGGGGCAGGUGUGAUGGAUCAAUACCACUAUUCAUUUUUUGCAUGUCGGUACCAUGUCUCGGGCAACUUGUUAUAAAACGGUAUAAACAACGUAUGACACCGUAUUGAUGAUGUAUCUGACCAUGCAGCCCCACAUGUUAGGUGACUUGGUGGCCAAUCGGCGCAUGCCACUCCGCUAAAUAGGACGAUGCCGGCUCGGUUAGUCUUGGAUGGGUCAAACCGAUUCAAACCAUACGAACCCUAGUUCCUCCUCUUCCUCUCCCCAUGCGGCUCUCAGGCGAUGGCGGUGGUGACUCAGGGUGGAGGUGCCGGUGGCUGUAGUAGCGGUGGCGGUGUGGGCGGCUAUGGAGACCUUCUUGGCCUUGGGAGUGAUGCACACGGAGGAAUCGACAGUGGCUACUCUAGUUCUUCAUAUUACUAUAACGACAAUGACGCGUGCAUGGAGCCGCCAUUUUCCAUGGAGCAGCGGGUGUGGCUGGCUGAGAUUUGGGCGGCCAACCCGACCACGAGCCAUCGUUGGACCCACGGAGUGGGUGGCGUGUUGUAAGUUCCUCUCCUGCCACUAGUAGAAAAAGGCCCAUUUGUCCCGGUUCAUGAGGCCAAUUUCUCCCGGUUGACGAACCGGGACUAAAGGGUCGGUACUAAAGCCCAACACCUUUAGUCCCGGUUCGCCCAAGAACUGGGACAGAUGGGCUCCAUGUGGCCGUUGCGGCUUUCCCAGGCAGGAGGGCCUUUUGUCCCGGUUGGUGCCACCAACCGGGACCAAAAGGCUUCCACGGGUCAGCNNNNNNNNNNNNNNNNNNNNNNNNNNNNNNNNNNNNNNNNNNNNNNNNNNNNNNNNNNNNNNNNNNNNNNNNNNNNNNNNNNNNNNNNNNNNNNNNNNNNNNNNNNNNNNNNNNNNNNNNNNNNNNNNNNNNNNNNNNNNNNNNNNNNNNNNNNNNNNNNNNNNNNNNNNNNNNNNNNNNNNNNNNNNNNNNNNNNNNNNNNNNNNNNNNNNNNNNNNNNNNNNNNNNNNNNNNNNNNNNNNNNNNNNNNNNNNNNNNNNNNNNNNNNNNNNNNNNNNNNNNNNNNNNNNNNNNNNNNNNNNNNNNNNNNNNNNNNNNNNNNNNNNNNNNNNNNNNNNNNNNNNNNNNNGUUAAUUUAGGGGUUUCAUAUAUUGUGUUAGCUAGCUAACAGAGAGAAGUGUCCUCUCUUAUCUCCGUGCUAGCUAAUAUAUUAUGUUAGCUAGUUAAUUUAGGGGUAUAUAUAGGCACAUCAUUGGUCCCGGUUCGUGGCUUGAACCGGGACUAAAGGACACCCUUUGGUCCCGGUUCAAGCCACCAACCGGGACCAAUGGUGGUGGGCCAGGAGCGAGGCCCAUUGGUCCCGGUUCAUCCCACCAAACAGGACCAAAGGGGCCAGAAAAAUCGGGACCAAUGCCCCCACGAGGCCCGGCAAGCUCCCCGGCCUCAUGAACCAGGACCAAUGCCCCCAUGGGUCCCGGUUCGUGACUGAACCGGGACUAAUGGACUUAUCUGGCUUGAACCAAAGCCCUGUUUUCGACUAGUGUCCCUUCUUUCUAUCUUCAUUUUAUGCCAUACUUGGGGGCUAGGGUUUACUGAAAAUGUACAAAUUUGCUGUCACUUGUAGUUUAGAUAAUGAUGUUUGGGGUGUUAGGAUUCACUUUGAUGCUCAGCAUAAUUUGGAUAGGCAGAUAUGCAACUCAUAUGUCACAUUUCUGAAUGUGUGUGCAUUCUUGCAAAUGCAAGGAUUUACUUUGUCAGAUAAACUGUACCACAUGGAUAAUCCAGGCAUAGGAGAGCAGAGAGAGCAUGUCUUAGAAUUGGUAGACACAAACAUCAAAUCGCGGCAACUUAAGAGGCAGUAUGAGGAGAGUAGAGUUCUGAAUUUUUUAGUGAGGGCAACAACACCUGACAGUACUAUAUCUCACAGAGAAGAAGAAUUAGCCGCAAUUGUAUAUGAAGCACCUCUUAUGUAUGAUCUCAGUGAGCUUGUUGUGCUUGUUGUUGAUGAUCAAGGUAUUGUUUUUGAGAGCCAGUGCAACAGCAGUAGUGAAGUACAACCUCCUGAUAUGUGCACACAAAAGAGCAGAAAUGUUUGUAAGUAGAAGCUCAAAGCUGUGGUGGAAGAAGUAGCGGAGAAGGGAUAUACGAGUACUGAUGACUCAGAGGGUGCAACAACCCAAAGUAAACUAAAGAACAUCAGAGCAUCCGCAUUGCAAACUAAUCUCCUGGACAAAUAAUUUAAGAAAUGAACUUUACAAAAAGUACAACAGCUAUAAUGCAUUGAACAUUGAGCAUCUACACUAAACAAUCAUCGAGUUGCCCAAUUAAACAAUGAGCACCUUCACUGCAAACUAAACUCUGGGUCAAAUAUAAAAUUAACAUCUUCUUGCCAAAUUAAAUAUACAAGGAGUGCAUGAGCACAUGCCUACACAACUUACUCAAAUGAUGAGCAUCAGUACUACUAAAUGGCUAAAAAAUGACCACUAGUACUACUAAGAGCAGAAUCUUACUUGCUAGCACAAACUAGUACCAAUUUUAAUACAGAGAACAUGCUACUACCAAUUUUAAUACAAGCAAUAGAGAAUACACAGAAUCGUACUCUCCGAGGACAAACUAGGAACCUCCCGCCCAUCUCAAAUCCUUCACAGACUACAUGCCUCUCAGCUGGCAGAAGAUGGAGCUCGCAACGAACAAUGGGUCCUGUCUCAAUGCCCAUGUAGUCUUGGUCUUCAAUGCUAGCAGGGAUCUAUAGGAGAAAAAUAAACCAAAACCACGAAAUCCAAAAUCAAAUCCCCACUAGUAGAAAAUGGGCCUUUUGUCCCGGUUCCAAAGGGCCUUUAGUCCCGGUUCAGGAACCGGGACAAAAGGGUCGAGACUAAAGCCCCCCCCCCCUUUAGUCCCGGUUGUGUUACGAACCGGGACUAAAGGCCCUUCACGUGGCCGCUCUCUGGAGCUUCACCUUUAGUCCCGGUUGGUAACACCAAGCGGGACUAAAGGUUGUUUUUUUGAAAUUUUGUUUUUCUGAAUUUUUUGAAAAAGAAAAUUGUAUUUUUUUUGAUUUUUUUUACUUAUUUUUAAAUUUCUGAAUUAUUUGACAAUUCAGUCUCUAAUCACCCAUCAUCACUGCUCAAUUAUGAACCACUCAUUCCAAAUCAUCUAACUUCUCGACCGGUCACUCAUCCUCUCACUACUCUAGCCUGAGCACGCUUAACUUACUAGUUCUAUUCCCCCUAGUUUUCAAGUCUGCACUUGUUGUUUUCCUGACAAUACUAAGUUGUCAAUCCUAUUAACCCUUAGGAGUUGAACUUGAGCAUUAAGCAUCGUUUGAGUUUGAAACUAUUAUUCUAAAAACAAUAAUUAUUUAAUAACAUUAAUAUUUCUUGAAUAAGUAGUUUACCAUAGUUUGACCACAGUUUGACCAUAGUUUGACCACAGUUUGCCAUAGUUUGACCACAGUUUGACCAAAAGUCAAAAAAACUAAAAAUAAUUAUUUAGUAACACUAAUAUUUCUUGAAUAAGUAGUUUGACCAUAGUUUGACCACAGUUUGACCAGAUUUGACCAAAAGUCAAAAAACUAAAAAUAAUUAUAUAUUAACACUAAUAUUUCUUGAAUAAGUAGUUUGACCAUACUUUGACUAGAUUUGACCAUACUUUGACCAGAUUUGACCGUAGUUUGACCAUAGUUUGACCAAAAGUGAAAAAAAACUAAAAAUAAUUAUUUAUCAAUAUUAAUAUUUCUUGAAUAAGUAGGUUGACCAUAGUUUGAUCAGAUUUAACAAAAAGUAAAAAAAACUGAAAUUGAGCAUAUAUUUUUUUUCCUUUCACAAUUUGAGGAUUCUAAAAAUUUGCAAACAGGCCUAUGGCUGUCAAAAUCAGAUGCGGACUUUCGUGAUGAUUUUUUUGAUGUAUUAUGCGUUUCUUUUCGACAUCUUAUGCAAAAGAUAUGGCCGUUUUACAUUUUAUAACACCUUUUUGCAAAAUAUGUCCAAAUUUAAGUUUUUUAAUUUUCCUAACUAAUAGAAGUAGUAACAUAACUACAUCUCGAAGGAUUUCAAUUUUUGAAGAUUUUGUCAUUUUAUUUUUGUUUUUUACAAACUGAAAAGGCGAUAAGGGGGGGGGGGGUAGAGUUUGAACUUUUAGUCCCGGUUUGAGAAAUGAACCGGGACUAAAGGGCAUCACACCCUUUAGUCCCGGUUCAUGUCUCAAACCGGGACUAAAGGUCCCAUUUGAACUGGGACUAAUGCCUUCCUGACGCCUUAGCCGCUCGAACCGGGACUAAUGCUCACAUUAGUCCCGAUUCGUGAUGCAACCGGGACUAAUGUGUACAUUGAGCUGUGACCAAUGCCAUGUUUUCUACUAGUGCCCCAAAGCAGAAACCCUAACCCUAGCUCUACCACUCACCAUCUACUGCGUGCCAUUAGAGGAGUUGUUGUACUACAUGUUGGAGUAGUCGUCGCUGCUCUCAUCCUCAUCCACCAUGGUGUGGAGGCGGUGGCGGACUACACGAAAGUCGAUGGCGAAUCAGAGACAGGAGGGCGGGAGCAAGAGAGGGGACUAGGGUUCGAGGGGAGUUCGUCCGGUUCGAAUCGGUUCGACUGGCGCACAUACACCGACCGAGCUCGCUUCGUCCUAGUCAGCGGAGUGGCACACGCCCAUUGGCCGUCGUGUUACCUGAAAGGUGAGACCGCACAGUCGGAUACAGUGUCAAUACGACGUCAUACAGUGUUUAGACCGUAUUGUAACAAGUUGCUCCAGACAUGAUAUUGACAUGAAAAAAACAAGCGAAUAGUAGUGUUGAUCUGUCACACCUGUCCGGAGUGUGGUAUCUUCAUGCGAUGAACCCAACAAAAUCUACAACACAACGAGUCUGUUUGGAUCCAUGGGUUAGAGUUAGUUUGGACUCAACUAACCUAAAAAUAUCCAAACAGGAGGGUUAAUUUGGGUUAUAGGCAUCUAACCCUCCCAAAAAAAAACCACCCAAGAGGUGCUUAUUUGGGUUAGUUUUCCUCGGGACCACUAAAAAGCACAUUUUUCUCUUGCUUUCUCCACAGCAGAUCCCUCCUCACUUCCUCAAAGCUUCUCGUCCUCUCCCUCCCUCCCUCUCGCACCACCCUUGAAAGUGCCUCGCCAUAUCCGCGCUCCUGUCCGCCGCCGGUAAGUAGCCCCGCCCUAUCCUCCAGUUCCAACCCCCUCGUCUCCUCGGGGCCCGUCCACCCGACUGUAAGCAGUCGCGGCUCCUUGCGCGGCCCGUCCCCGUCGGCCUCGGCCGGCGCGGCUCCUUGCGCAGGAACGGCGGAUUCGGCCGGCGGGCUACGCGAGAGGCCAGCACGGCUCCUUGCCGAGCGCAUCCCCGUCUGCCUCGUCCACACCAAAUCCGGCAGAAAAUAGGAUCCAAAGUAGCCAAAUGAUUGAGAAAGAGCAUUCAUUGACAAUCUAACCCUGCCAUCCAAACACCUCUUUAGAUAGAGUUAGUUCGGGAUCAAUUCAGGAUUAGAAUCUAACUCUAACUGAGUUACAGUAUCCAAACAGGACCAACAACGCAAAACUAUCCUGACCAAGACGAAGAUGGGUGUGCAUGAGAUGACACGAUCGCCACAGUGCAUUGUAUCUUUUGACGUCUGCAUAGUAAAACUACCCAGUAUUCUUCGUGUUCCAUCUUUUUUCUGUGCCAUGGAACCGUGGCCCCACGAGAUCACUGUAUUUCACUGAGAUUAGGCAUAUGUGACAGGAACCGUAUCUGUGUUUGCAUAGGGAAAUCUCCUCACUCUCUCUCUCUCUGACUACUCAAUUACCUCUCCGGCAUCAUGUCUACGACAAGCAUUGAUGGACUAUGGCCGAGCUGUCCAUGUCAACAGCGCUUGAGUUGCUACUAGCGCCUGCGCCCAUGCCACCCACGAGUAUACAGUAGCAUUGCCCUAGGUUCCAGGGGGAAUCAUCCACAAGCAUUCAUGGACUAGGGCCGAAUCUGUACACGACAACUAGAGUUGAGAAGGAGCGGUGGCCAGCUCUGAGUCCUUUGCGCCCACGGGUUUGCGUCGGCACACAACAACAAAAACCAAGAUUGAACCGGGAGUCAGAGCAUCUCCAACAGCCGCGCUAAACUAGCGCCGCGCCGCAAAAUAGGCCUUUUUAGCGCGCGCGCAAUGCGGCGGCUCGCUCCAGCGUGCGCGCAAAAACGGCGCGCGCGCAAUAACGGGUUGGGCGCGCGGUCAAAAACACUUAUCCGCGCGGUGUAUUUGGAGCGCCAGCUACAGCGCGCGGCACACUAGAGCACUCGCGCCCGCACUCUCUCCCUCUCCUCCUCCUACGCCCCGCGCGCGCCGGCGCCGGCGCCCUGCCCCCCGCCAUGGACGCGCACACCGGCGCCCCGCUCACUCCGCUGUACAUCCGCGACCCCCCCGCCGCCGCCGCCGGAAACCCUAGCGCGGCGAGCGCUGGCGUCGCCACCGCCGGAGCUCCGCCGCCUCGCGCGCAGUCUCUUCUUGCCGCCGCGGAUGACUACGGCGCCGGCGCCGGGUGGCGUCGCGCCGGCGCCAUCCCGUGCCGCCGCCGCACCGUCGAAGAAGGUACCCAAUGCGGCGCGGGCGAAGAAGGGCAAAACAUCCGCGAAGAAGAACAAGGCGGCGGACGGCUCCGACAUGGCGAGGGGGAAAAAGCUUGCAGGGCGUCCGCGAAGAAGAACAAGGCUCCGGCAGGCAUGGGUGCACCUCCGGCCGCCAUGGGUGCACCUCCGGCCGCCAUGGCUUCUCACACACAUUCCCAUGAAGAUGCCGUUGAAGAUCUUGCCAACACCGUCGGAGCUUCACAUGAUGCGGUGCGUGAUGCGGUGCGUGAUGAAGAUAGGGAGGAAGGUUCAUCUUCGGAGGCGGAAGAGUCGUCUUCGGAAGAGGACGAAGACGAAGAAGAGGAAGAUGAAGAUGAAGCUUGAUGUGUCUUUCAUGUCUUGAACUUUUAGUUUGCAUUUGAACUUGGUUGGAUGAACUUGUGGGCAUGAUUUUGAUGAACUUGUGGGCAUGAACUUUUAUUCAUCAACUUGUUUGUGUCAAAUUUUACAUGUUCAUUUUUGUCCAAAAUAUCCAUAUAUGCAAAAUGCCCGGCGAGUCGCGCGCGCUGCUGGAGCGGCAUUUCAAAACCAGCCGCAGCGCGCGCUAACAGGUUUUUUGCGCGCGGCGCUUUAGCGCGGCCGUUGGAGAUGCUCUCAGUCGUGGGCCUGGUGGCCACGGACUAAUAGUACUGUAGUAGUAGUACUGAAUCACUUGCAACACGUACGCAUGCUUACCACGCGCGCGCGCACACGCUAUAAGAUGAGACGCACCGCCCAGCAGGUUUCUUACAGAGUAGCUGCGUUCGUGUAUACAUAGCAUAUAGCAAACCACCACUGAAUCCAUCAUCCAUGGCGAGAUGCUGGCUGCUGCUCGUCUUCAUGGCGUUCAUCUUGCCGGCGGCGAACGCGACGCCGUGCCACCCUGACGACCUCCACGCUCUGCGGGGCUUCGCCGGGGAGCUCGGCGGUGGGGGAGCCCUCCUCCGCGCCGCAUGGUCCGGCGCCUCGUGCUGCGGCUGGGAAGGUGUGGGCUGCGACAGCACCAGCGGCCGCGUCACGGUGCUGCGGCUCCCCUGGCGCGGCCUGGCGGGGCAAAUCCCUGGAGGCUCUCUAGCGGGCCUCGUGUGGCUGGAGGAGCUCUUCCUCGGCUCGAACCAUUUCGUGGGCGUCCUCCCAGACGAGCUCUUCGGCCUCGUCAAGCUAAGGAAGCUCUCCCUCGCAUCCAACGAGCUCACCGGCGAGGUGAGCCCACGCCUCGGUGAGCUCACACACCUUACCUUGUUGGAUUUGUCUGCUAACCGCUUCUCCGGCCCCCUGCCCGACGUGUUCGGUGACCUCACGUCGCUAGAGCAUUUGGCCAUGCAUUCUAAUGGCUUCUCCGGCUUCUUGCCACCGUCUCUUUCAUCACUAUCUUCUCUCCGUGAGCUCAACCUCCGAAACAACUCCAUGUCCGGUCCGAUUGCUCGUGUUAGCUUCUCCGACAUGCCACUUCUUGCCUCGCUUGACUUUUCCACAAACUCCCUGACUGGGUGGAUCCCGACUAGCCUCGCCGGCUGCGGUGAGCUCAAGUCGCUCAACCUUGCCAACAACAUAUUGGUCGGCACCAUCCCGUCGUGGAUUGGUGAGUUUGACAACCUUUGGUACUUGAAUCUCUCAAAUAAUUCAUUUGUCGGCGAGGU
Molecule: long non-coding RNA, 90148 nt
Filed under: Triticum aestivum (bread wheat)
Lineage: Eukaryota; Viridiplantae; Streptophyta; Magnoliopsida; Poales; Poaceae
Description: long non-coding RNA (TAES_LNC008152)
Source: RNAcentral